CCAUAUGGCAUCUUAGCGCCGUAAAUGUUAACAUUUUCCUUAGUGUAAUCAUUGUUUUAGCUUCAAUUAAUCUGCAGAUGUUCAGUUUAGACAUCUCAAACACAAAAGCUUCAGCUUCUGACAGGCCACCACUUCCUAGUCUCUGCUCAUCUCCUUCCCAUUUAACUAUUGUCAUCAACCUUCGAUUUUUUUACAUCGUUGAUGGUAAAAGAAUCAUAAUUGUACUACAUUUGUUGAGCAUGGAUGCUACCAUUUAAUUUCCAUAUUCAAGCUUUUCUUGUACUUACAAAUGAUAAUGUGAGCUCUGGAUUUUCUUCUUUUAAAUUUGUGAUUCUGAGGCAGAUGCUUGGAGAAGAGAGAAGUCAAACCAUAUUCAAAGUCAUUGCAGUGCAGAGUAUGGUUUUGUUCCACCAAGUUCAGGUCAGUUGAGUGGAAUCUUAUUAAUACUUCAAGGACGCAUGAUCAAAUUGGCUGAUUUUCCAAACUUGAUGAGUGCCUCUAACCAUGAACGAACUAUUUUUUUUACCAGCUUUGUGUUAAGAAAUUGUGAUCGUGUUGGAUCUACUCAUACCACCUCCCUCCAUGAUGAAUUUUAACUACUCAAUACUUGGAGGAUGGCUACUCAACUGAAUUCUAUUUAUUGGAGCACGAUUUGAGCUUUUCUUCCUUACUCAGGUAUAGUGCUAUAAAAUUUUCAGUCUGAAGAGUAUUUAUAACCCCCUACGAAUUUUAAUGUCAGAUUCAGCUGAUUGGCAUGUGACCGUAUUUUUUUUCAGAUGGUAGCAUUUUGAAUCUUUGGAACAAUUGCAGGAGGAAGCUUUGCCAAAGCCUCCCUAUGCAAUACAUGGGCCUUUGGUUGCAAGUGAGAUUUGAGGAUUCUAUUUUCUCUUGGAAGACUUCAACUCAUUUUUUUUGAGUUUUGAGCUUUGCGCUUUUACUUCCAAGCAUAUGCAAAGAAGAAAGAAAGCAACAACAAAGGUCCAGUUAUAGAAGUUUUAUACGGAGUGAGACUCCCAUGAAAAAUAUUGUAGCUAUUGGUUUGUCAACCUUGAAGGAUAUAGUUUUGUUUCCCAUUGGAUCUCUGACGAAUGUGUUUGUUGAAUCAUACAUUUUGAACUUACUAUUGAUUUUGUGUAUAUACAUAAAUAUAAAUGAUGUUUUCUUCUUCCAAAUACUGCACAUGACAAGUCAGAACAAGAAACAUUUUAGAAAAAGUAGGAAACUGACAUUAGCAUUAAUCAUGAGGCCUCUAAUGGUGACCAAGAAAAUGGCAAUUGCAAAUGACUCACCAUCAAAAUGGCAAAAGAAUUAGCAACUACUAUGUCCCCAUCCACUAGUGCCGGCACAAAAUUGAGAGGAUUCAGCUUUGAAAACUCUAAAAUUCGAAAAUUGUAAAAAUAUUAAGAAGCUACUUGAAAAACAACAGAAUGAUCAAGGUAAGUCCAGUACUCAUAAAUUUUGCAUAUGUUUAAAGACAAAUUGGAAAGCUGAGAAUAUAACGGAAUUAAGCAAUGAAUAAGAACCCCCAAAUAUAUUCCUUUCACAGAAAAAAUCAGUGGAACGGGAUGAUCCCAACAAAACUAAGAAUUAUAUUAAAUCCAUGUUUAUCUCCUAGAAAUACAGGGAAAAAAAACAAUAAAAAGAAAUCAGAAGUUCUGAUGAUGCGUAUCAAGAAGAGUCUAACUGCCUUGUACCAAGUUCACUGCCUUGUACUCGUUUUUCAGCCCUGUUCAAAGUUGAAGCACAAAAGACCCAGAUAGAAUAACCAAAAAUUGAUUUAAUGAAAAGAAAAAGAAAAUUAGGGUUUGGAGUAAAGAAGGAAAGAAGGAAAAAGAAUGGAACGUUUCAAGUUGAGGGCUAUUCGAACACGACAGGAGCAGGAACUCCGCCAAUAUGAAUACAGCUUCAGCUGAGUAUCCUCCUAUCCCCAUAUCCCCCAUAGUCCCCAUACAACAUAAACAUAUCAGAAUUCAGAAAUAUAUAAAAAGAAUUAUGAUGGAGAAGACCCACUCACCAUAGUUGCAGUUUGAUGGAAAAACACUGAACACUGCCCACUGCCCACUGCCCACUGCCAUCUCCUUUACCUCCCCAAACAAUAUUAAUAUGGAGAAUUAUAAUUUAGGUUACAAAUAAUAAUUUUUCUAUAUUUUAAUAUUUUUUUUAAAGAUGAUGAGAUAACAUCCGUAAAGACGUUAUAUUUUUAUGUUUUUAAAAGGUAGAAUUCAUCUUUUUAGAAUAUUUUUUUAAUUAAAUAACCCUUUUAAAAUAUCAAAUAAUUUGGUAUACAUUUUCUCCUACAAUUUAUAAAUUUACUUAAUAUAAAAAUAUUUUACUACUAAGACUAUAAAAAUUUUCAAAAUUUUCUUUUCUUUAUAUUCUUCUUAUUUUCCAUAAUUAUUUUUCUUUCAUUAUUAUUAUUCACUUUAUUAUUUUUACAAAUAAAAAAAAUGAAAGGAUAAAUAAUAAUUAAAAAAAUAAAAUAAAAUAAUAACAUUUUUAUCUUUUUUUCUCAUUUAUUGAUUUAUAGUUUUUUUUUCUAAUAUUUUAUCUCAAUUACAACACAUUUUAUAAAGCAUAUUCUCCUAAAUUAAUAAGGAAGAAGAUGACAAAAAUGCAAGAAAAAAAAAAAAAAAAUAUUUCUUCGCAUCUUCCUAUGUCAUCAACUUCCAUGCUCAUUUUAGUUUUAUUGCCACGUGGGGCCCUAAGUGGUAAGAGUAGACACAUUGAUUUAUUAUUAUAAGGGAAAGUUAGGUUUUAGACUAUCAAUAUCAAAAUAAUAACAUAUUCAAAACCUAUGUUGCUAAUUUCAAGUUUAAAAUGCUAAUCUCAAAAAUAUUUUAUAUUUCAUGCACUUUGAAUUGAGCUAUUUUUUAAUACUCAACAUACCUUCUCUUUCUGUCAAGUCAACCUCCACAAGUUUUAAAAAAACAAAAGACCAAAAAUAAAAAACAACUUUAUAGCAAAAUCUUUGUUCUUCGUUGUUUUAUUUCUGCGUAAACCCUCAAAUCACUUUUCCUUCUUUUGCAUUUUGGUGUAUACAAGAGUUUACAUCUUACGCAAAUAACUUCCAAUCUAGCCUCUUUUAAAAUUUUUGGUUCCUUUUAUUUUAUAUAGUUUAAAUUGAUGUUGAAAACCCUUUAUAAAAAAUAAUUAAACAUAUCUUAAAUUUAUUCUUAAAAAUAACUACAAACCAAUUUUCAAAAUUCUUUUUUUUUUCCUUUAUCAAAAGCUUACCUGUUUCAAAAUCGCAUUAAUUUUGUCCUAGCCAAAUUUUUAUUUAUUUAUUUUCCUGUUGUAAACUAUCAUUUUGGUGGCUGCAGGGACUGUCUCCUAGUUCUGCCACUUGAUCUCUCCGGCCAAACUGCUGUUAAUUAAUCAGCAUGUCUCCGUCCUCUUUGUGGAACUUUUUCUUUUCUACUGUGGAACUUUUUCUUUUCUACCCUAAACUAAAAUUGCACUACCUCUAAAUUAUUAUUAUUAUUAUUAUUAUUAUUAUUAUUAUUAUUAUUAUUAUUAUUAUUAUUGUUGUUGUUGUUGUUGUUGUUGUUGUUGUUGUUGUUGUUGUUGUUGUUGUUGUUGUUUAAUAUGAUUGGAUUUUGGAUUUUUUGAAUAAUUUAUUUGAGUAGAGGCUCAAAACGGAUUUUCCACAAGGUGGGUUCAGCUGUUGGUUUGGGUGUGGUCACUGCAACAGAAUGGGUGUGAGCUCCUCCCCAAAACCCCCCUCACAUGACAUCUCUCUUUCAGCUGUUGGUUUGGGUGUGGUCACUGCAACAGAAUGGGUGUGAGCUCCUCCCCAAAACCCCCCUCACAUGACAUCUCUCUUUCCUCCUUUUUCCCUCUAUUCCCAAAACCCAAUGCCCGCCUUUCUCAGAGGGCUUUUUUUAACUUCUUCGGUUAGUUUUUUUUUUAAAAAGAAAAAUCUUAAAAAUUAUAAUUUUAAAAUUAUUAAUAAACUUAUGAUACUUUUUACCACGUUGAAAUAUAUGUUUAAUAAAAAACAUUUUUUAUAUUUUUCAUAUCAAUGAUAUGUGUUAAAAAAAAUUGAAUUUAGACUAAAAGUAUCUCUUCAAGAGACCUUCCAUAAUUUCAUAAAACUGAAUUUAUGUUACAAGCAUUUCUUCAAGAGACAUUUUUUUUAUAAUUUUUUUUAUUAUUCAUACAUGUUAAGCAAAUUGAAUUUAUAUUAAAGAUGUCUCUUUAAGAGACACCUUUAAUGUAAAUUUAUUUAUUUUUAUCGUGUGUUAUUGAUAUGAAAAUUGUUGAAGUAUUUCUUUAAGAGAUAUUUUUUAAUGUGAUGAAAAGUGUGAUAAAUUUAAAAAUAUUUUCCAAUGUACUGUUGAGAUAUUAUGAAUGUUUUCCUUAUAUCAUUCUUUCCUUAUAUCAUUUAGUGUUGAGAUAUUAGGAAUGUUUAGAUAUUAGGAAAGUUGAGAUAUUAUGAAUAUUGAGAUACUAGGAAUAUUGAGAUAUUAGGAUAUUAGUUGUUAUUUCCUUAUAUCAUUCUUUCCUUGUAUCAUUCUUUCCCAUUCUUAGAAUGGUGAUUACCCUCUAUAUAUACUCUGUACAUGAACGAAUGAAAGUAUGAAUGAAAAAACUACCAUUUAUCAAUUUGAAGAUGGUAUCAGAGCCAUGGAACUGAAAUCCUGGAUAUUUUGUUGCUAUGGUAGUCCGACAGCGAUCAACCAUCCUAAGACAAACCCUAAUAUUGAUAAGUCAACCUUCAAAUGCACUCACUUCAAUAAGACUGGUCCCACCAGUCUGGAUAUCCCACAAUUUCAAAGCAACGACUCUUGGUAUGACUAGGAAAACAAUAAGGAACCGAGGGUUUGAACCAUGGACCUUUAGAUCAUGUUUAGGCUAUCAACACUUUGUUAUUAAUUAUAAUAAUCGUGAUCAACGGAAGAAGGAUCCCAAAAAAACCUCGACUACAACUAUUGUCGAAAUAAAAAUAGAGGCUAAUGUUGCUGAUAAAGCCUUUGCAUUGGUAGUCGCUACUAAUCAUGGUGGUAAGUUUUUAAAUACUUUUACAUCUGUUAUUAAUAGUGCAUGGAUAAUUGAUUUUUGGUGCUACAGAUCAUAUGACUUUUGAUUCUAGACAGGUUUCACCCCUUAGACCUUCCUCACAAAAAAUUGUUUCCACAGCCAAUGGUAUCACAACCCCAAUCAUUGGGGAAGGAUCCUUAACUCUUACUGAUACUUUGAAUUUGGAUUCUGUUUUAGUUGUUCCAUCUUUAGAUUACAAUCUUUUGUCAGUUUCUCAAAUCACUACAGCCUUAUCUUGUAUUGUCAUUUUUUGGUCUGAAUUUUGUUUGAUUAAGGACAUCCAAACAAGACAGACGAUUGGUUGUGGUAUUAAACGAGGAAAACUCUAUUACUUGGACUUGCAAUCAAAGGAUUCAAAUAAGUUGCAACAAGCCUUGAUGGCAGAUGGAUUUGAGGGGGAGAAGAAAAAGUCUGAAAUUUGGUUGUGGCAUCGACGUCUGGGACAUGCUUCCUUUGGUUAUUUAAAAAAAUUGUUUCCUAGUUUGUUUGCAAAGAGUGAUAUUUCUGGUUUCCGUUGUGAUAUUUGUGAAUUGGCUAAAAGCCAUCGUGCUUCGUUUCCGUUAAUUUUGAAUAAAAGUCCGUUUCCUUUUAUGGUUAUACAUUCUGAUGUUUGGGGCCCAUCCAAAGUCCCAACUUUGAGUGGCUCACGUUGGUUUGUUACUUUUAUUGAUGAUUGUACCAGAAUGACAUGGUCAUGCUUGAUGAAGACCAAAGAUGAAGUGAACUUGUUGUUUCANNNNNNNNNNNNNNNNNNNNNNNNNNNNNNNNNNNNNNNNNNNNNNNNNNNNNNNNNNNNNNNNNNNNNNNNNNNNNNNNNNNNNNNNNNNNNNNNNNNNGAUCAUAUGACUUUGAUUCUAGACAGGUUUCACCCUUAGACCUUCCUCACAAAAAAUUGUUUCCACAGCCAAUGGUAACACAACCCCAGUCAUUGGGGAAGGAUCCUUAACUCUUAUUGAUACUUUGAAUUUGGAUUCUGUUUUAGUUGUUCCAUCUUUAGAUUACAAUCUUUUGUCAGUUUCUCAAAUCACUACAGCCUUAUCUUGUAUUGUCAUUUUUUGGCUUGAAUUUUGUGUGAUUAAGGACAUCCAAACAAGACAGACAAUUGGUUGUGGUAUUAAACGAGGAAAACUCUAUUACUUGGACUUGCAAUCAAAGGAUUCAAAUAAGUUGCAACAAGCCUUGAGGGCAGAUGGAUUUGAGGGGGAGAAGAAAAAGUCUAAAAUUUGGUUGUGGCAUCGACGUCUGGGACAUGCUUCCUUUGGUUAUUUAAAAAAAUUGUUUCCUAGUUUGUUUGCAAAGAGUGAUAUUUCUGGUUUCCGUUGUGAUAUUUGUGAAUUGGCUAAAAGCCAUCGUGCUUCGUUUCCGUUAAUUUUGAAUAAAAGUCCGUUUCCUUUUAUGGUUAUACAUUCUGAUGUUUGGGGCCCAUCCAAAGUCCCAACUUUGAGUGGCUCACGUUGGUUUGUUACUUUUAUUGAUGAUUGUACCAGAAUGACAUGGUCAUGCUUGAUGAAGACCAAAGAUGAAGUGAACUUGUUGUUUCAAAAAUUUCAUAAAAUGAUUGAAACUCAGUACAAUGCAAAGGUUUGGGUUCUACGUAGUGAUAAUGGUGGAGAAUAUCAAAGUUAUGAUCUUCAAAAGUAUUUGGAAGGACAUGUCAUCAUUCAUCAGACUACUUGUUCCAAUACACCCUAGCAAAAUGGAGUCGCUGAACGAAAAAAUCGACACUUGUUAGAGGUUGUUCGUGCUUCCUUGAUAGCAGCAAAAACACCGAUAUCUUAUUGGGGAGAAGCAAUCACAUCUGCCGCAUACUUGAUCAAUCGGGUACCUUCUAGCUCAAUUAACUUUCAAACACCUCUCCAAGCUCUUACUAAUGCCGUAGUUGCCCCAACCGUCCGAAAUCUACCUCCUCGUGUUUUUGGUUGCUGGCAUUUGUGCAUCUACACAAGCACCAACGCACCAAGUUAACUUCCCAUGCAUUGCAAUGUGUGUUUGUUGGAUAUGCAUUGCACAAAAAGGGAUAUCGAUGCUACCAUCCUCCAACUCGACAAAUGUAUAUUACAAUGGAUGUGGUGUUUCAUGAAGAUUCAAUGUAUUUUUCAUCUGAGUCUGAACUUCAGGGGGAGUACCAAAAGGAAAUUUAGACUCUCGAUUAUGAUUAUCAUAUCUCUGAGGAAGAUGAAUCUGGACAAUCUGAACUAGUGAACCAGGAAGUGGGUGAGUUGGAUAUGAGUAGUCAACAAUUUGGGUCCGAAGAUGUCUUCACUGAAAUACCAAACCAAUCGUUGUCUGUUGAGGGUGUUCUUAAUUUGGAACCUGAUCCAUUCAUGAAACGGUUACGACAUCGUCAUAAUAGAGGUAUUCCUAAACCCACAUAGGAACCUGAAUUGUCUACUAAAGUCAAAUAUCCCAUGAGCAACUAUGUGUCUACCCAUCGUUUGUCUGAAUCAAAUAAGUCAUUUGUAAAUCAAUUAUCUACUAUAGCUAUUCCAAGGUGGAAAGCAGCCAUGAAUGAAGAGAUGAAAUCAUUGCAAAAGAAUGAAACAUGGGAACUCGUAGAAUGUCCACUAGGAAAGAAGCCAGUUGGGUGUCGUUGGAUCUAUACUGUGAAGUACAAGGCAGAUGGUAGUAUUGAACGAUUUAAAGCAAGACUGGUAGCAAAAGGGUACACUCAAACUUAUGGAAUUGACUACACAGAGACAUUUGCACCUAUAGCUAAGAUCAACACAAUUCGAGUAUUAUUGUCUUUAGCUGCAAACCUAGAUUGGUCAUUACAACAAUUCGAUGUGAAAAAUGCAUUUCUGCAUGGCGAGUUAUCUGAAGAAGUAUAUAUGGAUCUUCCACCAGGAUGCAUGGUAUCAGAAAAGCAAUGUCAGAAGGUGUGCAAAUUGAAGAAGUCAUUGUAUGGGUUGAAGCAAUCCCCGAGAGCAUGGUUUGGAAGGUUCACAAAGUCAAUGAGAGCUUUUGGCUAUCGUCAAAGUAAUUCAGAUCACACUUUGUUCCUAAAAAAACAACAUGGUAAGAUUACGACACUCAUUGUAUAUGUGGAUGACAUGGUAGUUACAGGAAAUGAUCCUGAAGAAAGAAAAGCUCUGCAAAAUUAUCUAUCUAGAGAAUUCGAAAUGAAAUAUCUAGGUCAUCUGAAAUACUUUCUUGGGAUUGAAGUUUCUCGAUCAAGUGAAGGAAUUUUUCUGUCUCAAAGAAAGUAUGCCUUAGAUCUUUUACAGGAGACUGGAAUGUCGGGAUGUCAACCUAUUAAUACACCAAUAGAAGAAGGUCUGAAAUUGUGUGUUGAGCCUAAUCAAGUAUCAACCGAUAAGGGAAGAUACUAGAGACUUGUGGGGAGAUUAAUGUACUUAGCUCAUACAAGACCAGAUCUUGCUUAUGCAUUGAGUGUAGUGAGUCAAUUCAUACAUAAUCCUAGAGAGCAACAUAUGAAUGCAGUCAUGCGUAUUUUUGAGGUAUUUGAAGAAUGCUAACGGGAAGGGGAAUUUUNNNNNNNNNNNNNNNNNNNNNNNNNNNNNNNNNNNNNNNNNNNNNNNNNNNNNNNNNNNNNNNNNNNNNNNNNNNNNNNNNNNNNNNNNNNNNNNNNNNNGUGACAAUAAAGCCGCAUGUGACAUUGCUCAUAAUCCAGUACAACAUGAUCGUACAAAGCAUGUCGAGGUGGAUAGAUUCUUCAUUAAGGAAAAGUUGGAUGAUAAGAUUGUGGAAUUGCCUAAGAUUCGAUCAGAAGAUCAAUUGGCCGAUAUCCUUACCAAAGCUGUCUCAAGUCAAGUGUUCUCAAAAUUUUUAGACAAGUUGGGCAUGUGUGACAUCUAUGCACCAACUUGAGGGAGAGUGUUGAGAUAUUAGGAAUGCUUUCCUUAUAUCAUUCUUUCCUUAUAUCAUUUAGUGUUGAGAUAUUAGGAAUGUUUAGAUAUUAGGAAAGUUGAGAUAUUAUGAAUAUUGAGAUAUUAGGAAUAUUGAGAUACUAGAAAUAUUGAGAUAUUAGGAAUAUUGAGAUAUUAGGAAAGUUGAGAUAUUAGGAAUAUUGAGAUACUAGGAAUAUUGAGAUAUUAGGAAUAUUGAGAUAUUAGGAAAGUUGAGAUAUUAGGAUAUUAGUUGUUAUUUUCUUAUAUCAUUAUUUCCUUGUAUCAUUCUUUCCCAUUCUUAGAAUAGUGAUUACCCUCUAUAUAUACUCUGUACAUGAACGAAUGAAAGUAUGAAUGAAAAAAACUACCAUUUAUCAAUUUGAAGAUGUACUAUAUUUUGAAAUUUUAAUUUUAAAUUCACCAUACAUCUAUGAAAAAUCCCUUUCUCAUACAACCAUUUAAAAAAGGCUACCAUGGCCCCAUACUUUUCCAAUUCCAUGAAUGAGAUCGGAAAUGCACAUCUACCCACUUCUUCGUCCCCCACACUUUGGUUUCCCCUUUUAAUGGAACAACUCCAAUUAAUUGAGGUAUAUGCAAGCUUUCAAAAAAUGGGUAUAUGUUAAUUUAGAUAUGCCAAUCCAAUGGCCCAAAAUGAACUUGUAAUCUAGCUGUACUUUUUCUCCAUUAUAAGGCACUAAAAUGAAUUCCAUGAUUAAGAUUUUGUUACAUGUUUUGGUUUGGAUCCAAUUACCCAUUUGGACCCAAAACCCUAAUAUGUGUUAUUUUCCUAGAUGAUGAAUCUCACUUCAUUAGGGUUUCAUAUGUAAACAAGUAGCUGAUCAAAAACUACCACAGUCAAAAAGUGGAACUCGAUCUUCACAUAUAAAAAUUUAAUACUAAAUCCACUCAUUGUUGCUUUUAGUCAUAAUUCCUACAGAAAAAUUAGAGCAAGCUAUUAUGAAAAAUUAUGAAUGAAGAUAUGAGAAAUAUUAUAUUAUUUAAUUGUUAUAAAAUUUAUCUUAAUCAGGUCUUUUCCUAUUGCAAAAUAAAUAAACAAAUAAAUAGAGUUUUUUUAAUUGCUAUAAUAUAUUUAUUUGUAAGUCUAAAAGUGAACUCAUUGGGAGCUCUAAACCUACUAGUGUGAACAAUUGGAUUACUUAAUUUGGUGAUAGCUCAUUCAUUUAUUUUUUUAAUUGAUUUUUAAAUUUAUUCAUUUCUUUCUUUAUUGGUCUUAUCUCUUGGAAAAUGAUGUUGGACAUCUGGGGCAACCUUCCUAGAAAUUGUAGUGUAUUUUAUAAUCUCAUACACCAAUAGUGAUAUUUCUUGGAAAAUGUGGCUUCUUUUCUUCUUCUUUUUUUCUUUUUUUUCAAUUAAUCACAAAGGUGAUCCAAUGGUCACGCCUUUAGUUGUUUAGAAACCAAACUUUGGUUCCACAUUGCCCUUGGCUUUUAGUCCAAGUAGUAGGUGGUAGCCACAGCCAUAUAUGAUAGUGUUUUCCACUCCCAAGAUUCCAUGAUAUCCCUCUGGUUAUCUAUUCUUAAUCCUAGUAACAAAUAUUGUUAUGAGCAUAUGGUUCUACACCUCAUGCUCAUAUACUUUAUUGAAUUUAACGUGAUUGUCGAAUAAAGGUGCGACAAGUCCAUAUUUUUUUUUAUAAAAAACAAAUGAUUACGAAGACUCUUAUAACAAAAAAAGUUAGAAAAUUUUUAUAAUCCCUAUAAUUUUGUACAUAUCUAAUCCUUAAGAUUAUGAUCAAUCAAGAUUAACAUAAUCAUCAAUGGGUGAGUCAGCUGAAUUUUACUCAUUUACCACUUUGAUUAUUAAUUAUUAAAAGAUUAUAAAUCAAUUUACUCUACCCUUUCUCGCUAUUCUAAGAUUACAUCCGCAUUCAUGAAGGAAGAAAAAAAACAAAGUUGGUGCUCCUUUUAACUUAAAAACCCCAUGAUUAACAAGCAUUGGACAUUGUGCUCAUUUGACCUAGAUGUACCAAUCUAAUGGUUGAAAAUCAAUUUAAUCAAUGCUUCUUAUUAUUUCAUAUCUAACUUAUAUAUUUGUACAUCCUUCCCUAAAAUAUAAACAAUCAUAAAUCACUCAUAAUAAAAGAGUGUAAAAAUCUAUAUAGAUGAUAAAUUGUUGCAUGUGGAUAAUGUUAGGUUCAAUUUAAGUUGAACUCUCAAGGCUUGAACUCACGCCAACUAUGCAAAUUUAGAUGGAAUUAGGACUUUUUAAGUCCAAUUUAAAUUCAAUUGUCUUGAUUCUAUUUAUUUAUUGAUCAUACUCUGAUAUGAUUUGUUUCAUAUUAAAUGUCAGAUUUUUUUUCUUGCCUGUUAGGUCCAACUAGGAGGUGGAGUCACUGCUAAGGUCCUCUCCUUCUCUCUCUCUCUCUCUCUCUCUCUCUCUCUCUCUCUCUCUCUCUCUCUCUCUCUCUCUCUCUCCAUCCAUAAACCUUUGAUUGAUUAAAAAUAUACAAAACAAUAAUGGUGUUCCCCACUAUCCAAAGAUAUCUCUUUGGAACAAACAUGUAUUCAACAAUUAUACAAAACAAUAAUUGUUUCCAUUUCAUAUUUAAUUCAUGCAUGUUAUAUAUAUUGAAGAUUCUAAAAUAAAGACCAGGCAUUUCCAAUAAAGACUAUAUUGCAGUGCAUUUCAUAUACAUGAAACAAAAACUACUCUCUUUUACCUUCUACUUGAUUUCUCUCAUUCACCACCCACUUCUCUUCUCUUUGUGAAGUUUCUACUUGAUUUCUCUCAAUUCACCCACUUCUCUUCUCUUUUGCCAAGCUUCUACUCGAUUUCUCUCAAUUCACCCACUUCUCUUCUCUUUGCUAAGCUUCUACUUGAUUUCUCAUUCACCCACUUCUCUUCUCUUUGUGAAGCUUCUACUUGAUUUCUCUCAUUCACCCACUUCUCUUCUCUUUGUGAUACUUCUACUUGAUUUAUCUCAAUUCACCCACUUCUCUUCUCUUUGCGAAGCUUCUACUUGAUUUCUCUCAUUCACCCACUUCUCUUCUCUUUGCGAAGCAAAGACAUGGCUCUAGUUGGAGAGGCAUUGCUCACAGCUUCUAUUCAAGUUUUGUUGGAAAAGAUGGCUUCUCCCGAGGUCCUGAGCUUCUUCGGGGGACAGAAACUCAAUGCUGCACUCUUGAAUAAGUUGAAGAUCACAUUGCUCACUGUCCAUGCAGUCCUCAAUGAUGCGGAGGUGAAGCAGAGUGAGAAUCCAGCAAUCAAAGAGUGGCUCCACGAACUUAAAGAUGCUGCCUACGACGCGGAGGACUUGUUAGAAGAGAUUGCUACAGAAGCUCUUCGGUGCACGAAGGAGUCUGACUCCCAAACUAGUGGAACUCUGGUAUGGAACGCCAUCUCGACCUCUCUUAAUCCAUUUGGUGACGGGGUGGAGUCCAGGGUUGAGGAGAUAUUUGAUAGAUUAGAAUUUCUUGCUCAAAAAAAAGAUGCUCUUGGGUUGAAAGAAGUUGUUGGUAAGAAACUAGCAAAAAGAUGGCCGUCCACUUCUGUGGUGGAUGAAUCUGGUAUUUAUGGCAGGGAGGGUAGUAAAGAGGAGAUAAUUGACAUGUUGCUCUCAGACAAUGCAAGUGGCCAUGUCAAAACUGUGAUAGCUAUAGUUGGCAUGGGCGGCAUUGGGAAGACCGCCCUAGCACAACUUUUGUAUAAUGAUGAAAGGGUAAAAUCAUAUUUUGAUAUGAAAGCUUGGGUCUGUGUAUCUGAAGAAUUUGAUCUUUUCAAGAUAACGAAAACAAUUCUUGAGGCCAUUAAUGGAGCCGCUUUUAGUUGUACUCGUGAUGUAAAUGACUUGAAUCUGCUUCAAGUGGAGCUAAGAGAGUCCCUUAUUGGGAGGAAAAUUCUAAUAGUUCUGGAUGACGUCUGGAAUGAGAGCUACAAUAACUGGGACAUGCUACAAACUCCGCUUAAAGUUGGAGCAAGUGAUAGUAAGUUUAUUGUAACCACACGCAAUGCAAAUGUUGCAUUAACCAUGCGUGCGCAUCACACUCAUCAUCUCGAGCAACUAUGCUUUGAAGAUAGUUGGCGGCUAUUCACAAAACAUGCAUUUGAAAAUGAAGAUCCUGGUGCACAUCCAAAACUGGAGGCCAUUGCAAAAGAAAUCGUGCAAAAGUGCCAGGGCUUGCCUUUGUCCAUCAAAACACUUGGGGGUCUUUUGCACUAUAAGAUGGAUGAAAAAGAAUGGGAUAACAUAUUGAGGAGUGAAAUGUGGGAUUUGCCGAGUGAUGAACUUCUUCCAACUCUGCGGUUAAGCUAUUAUCAUCUCCCCUCAAAUUUGAAGCGAUGCUUCGCGUAUUGUGCAAUUUUUCCUAAGGGCUAUCAGUUCCGAAAGAGGGGGUUGAUUUUAUCGUGGAUGGCAGAAGGUUUUCUGCAACAACCAAAAAGCAAGAAAAGAAUGGAAGAGAUAGGGGACUGGUACUUUCAUGAAUUAUUGACAAGGUCAUUUUUUCAUAAAUCGAGUAGCAGAGACUCGUGUUUUGAAAUGCAUGACCUUAUAAAUGACAUGGCUCAACAUGUAUCUGGAGAUUUUUGUACUCGAUGUUCGGAAGAUAAGAUGAAUGAUGUGUAUAAGAAGACUCGCCACUUCUCAUACCUUGUAAGUGAAUAUGAUUCCUUUGAAAAAUUUGAGACUCUUGUUGAAGUUAAAUGUCUCAGAACCUUCUUCAAAUUGCAACCACUAUUCAUGCAGUCUUGCUUAAGUAAUAGGGUUUUACAUGAUGUGAUACCAAAUAUUAGAUGCCUCCGUGUUUUGUCCUUGUGUGGUUAUUGGAUUGUUGAUUUGCCUGAUUCAAUGGGCAAUUUAAAAUGUUUACGUCUUUUGAACCUUUCUCACACACCUAUCAAAAGGUUACCAGAAUCAGUGUGUAGUUUGUAUAAUUUACAAAUAAUUCUACUCUCUAAUUGUCGUUGUCUCUGUGAGUUGCCUCGUGGAUUGACGAAAUUGAUUAACCUACGUUAUCUUCGUAUUCGUGAUUCUGGAAUAAAAGAGAUGCCUGAUCAUAUUGGUCAAUUGAGAAAUUUACAAGAAUUGAGCAGAUUUAUUGUGGGUCAAACAAGUGGUCGUAGGAUUGGAGAGCUCAGGGGGCUUUCAGAAAUUAGAGGGAGGCUACACAUUUCAGAACUCCAGAAUGUGGUUUGUGGUAUGGAUGCCUUAGAGGCAAAUUUGAAGGAUAAGAAGUAUGUUGAUGAUUUGGUGCUGGAGUGGAAGAGCAACUCUGAUGUUCUACAAAAUGGAAUUGACAUAGUCAACAACUUGCAACCGCAUGAAAAUGUCCAGAGGCUUACCGUUGACUCCUACGGGGGUACAAGAUUCCCCGAUUGGUUAGGAGAUCAUUUGUUCUUAAAUAUGGUGUUCCUAAAUCUCAAGAAUUGUCAACAUUGCUCUUCUUUGCCGUCACUCGGCCAGCUGUCCUCGCUUAAGGACCUUUAUAUCUCAGGGGUGCAUGGCAUAGAGAGAGUUGGUACUGAUUUCUAUGUCAAUAAUUCUUCCUCAGUAAAGCCCUUCACAUCCCUGGAAACUCUCGUUAUUGAGAAGAUGAGACAGUGGAAGGAAUGGGUAUCUUUCGGAGGAGGCGAAGGUGGAGCAUUCCCUCAUCUGCAGGUGCUCUGCAUAAGGCACUGCCCCAACCUCACUGGAGAAGUACCCUGCCAACUUCCUUCCUUGACGAAACUUGAGAUUUGUGGAUGUCAGCAGCUUGUGGCUUCAGUUGCAAGGGUUUCAGCCAUUCGAGAAUUGAAGAUACUCAAUUGUGGUCAGGUUCUGUUUGGAAGCCCGCCUUAUGACUUCACUCAUCUUCAAACUUUAGAAAUUGAAAUUUCAGACAUCUCACAGUGGAAGGAACUACCUCAGGGAUUGCGGGGGCUCACAAUUCUAAAAUGCUUCUCUGUGGAGUCUCUACUAGAGGGAAUAAUGCAAAACAACAGUUGUCUUCAACACUUGACUCUCAAAUGUUGUUGCCUUUCCAGAUCCUUGUGCAGAUGUUGUUUACCCACUGCAUUGAAAUCAAUAAGCAUAAGUAGGUGUAGGAGACUACAUUUCCUCCUGCCUGAGUUCCUAAAAUGCCACCAUCCCUUCCUUGAACGAUUGUGUAUUGAAGGUGGUUACUGUAGAUCUAUCUCAGCCUUCUCAUUUGGCAUCUUCCCUAAGUUGACUCGUCUUGAAAUCAAUGGUAUUGAGGGGCUUGAAUCCCUCUCCAUUUCGACUUCAGAGGGAUCUCUCCCAGCUCUUGAUAUUCUAAAAAUCCAUAACUGCCACGAUCUCGUAUCUAUUGAGUUUCCAACUUUCGAGUUGACACACUAUGAGAGCAUUCAUUGCAGGAAGCUCAAGUCGUUGAUGUGCUCCCUCGGCUCUUUUGAGAAACUAAUUUUACGAGACUGUCCCCUAUUGUUGUUUCCAGUUCGAGGUUCUGUGUCCAGCAUAAAUUCACUUAGAAUUGACGAGUGCGACAAACUCACACCCCAGGUGGAGUGGGGCUUGCAAGGGCUGGCUUCUCUUGCACAAUUCAGCAUUAGAUGUGGAUGCCAAGACUUGGUGUCGUUUCCAAAGGAAGGCCUGCUGCCCUCAACUCUCACCUCUCUUGUAAUUGAAAGUCUUCCAAAUCUCAAGUCUCUGGAUGGCAAGGGGCUUCAACUGCUUACCUCUCUUCAAAAAUUACACAUCGAUGAUUGUCAGAAUCUUCAAUCCCUGCCAAAAGAGGGGCUUCCCAUCUCCAUUUCUUUUCUAAAAAUUAGCAACUGUCCCCUGCUGAAAAAUCGAUGCCAAUUCUGGAAAGGGGAAGAUUGGCAGCGUAUAGCUCACAUUCCACGCAUUGUGGUGGACGACCAAGUUCUGUAAUGAAGGUACUUAUUCUGUCCUAUAAAUGAUUUCCUUCAAAAGAAAGUAGGUUGUGAUUGAAGCUUUCUAGUCAUAAUAAUAAUAUCUUGUAUUAUUUGUCACUUUCCUGUGCUGAAAAAAUAUUACACCAAUUUAUGUCAUGGCAGGCCUAAAAGCAUUUUUCUCUGGAAAACUGACAUGCUUAAAUACCAAUUUUAUUUUGAUCCAUAAUAAAUAGGAAAAAUAUUCUUUAAAUUUUCUAAUUAUUAUAACAAUUUCUCGCUUUCUUUCAGAUUAUCUGUAUGUCUUGACUCUGGCACUGAUUCAACAUGUGGUCGUGAGGAAUAUUUUAUGACUCCCUUGCUUAAUUAGCGCCUUGAAAAAAUGAUGCUUAAAAGGCAAGCAGCUCUUCAGGUCUGAUUUCGUAAAAUGAGUAAUUUUGUGGACAUUGAGUUUGUUUUCACUGGCUAAUUUGUUGAACUGUCAUGGCAGGCCUUCGAUCCUAGUUUUCUCAACAAAUUCAAGCUGCCUAGAAAUGAUCCUUCCAAUGGGACCAUUUUUUGCUGUGAGUUCAGAGUCAUGAUUCUCUUUCUGGAAGAAAGUGGCAGAGAUUUUUUUCCCAUCCCAAGACUCAUGAGUUGAUACUCCCCUCGAGGAACUACAGAAAGCUUGACUCUGUUGGAGAGUAAAGUAUGUGGCAUGCUCUAUGAUUCCAAUUAGUAAGACAUUUCAAUUGCUUUGGUUUACCUUUCUCAGCUACAAAUUACAAUAUUCAUAAUCUCAUAUGCAUUAAUUCUUCAGGUUCUGAGGCUGCAUCUGUGUUGAUAUCUUAGUUCUUCUCUAGAAACAACAGGUAUAUUUUGAUUCGUACUUUUCAUAAGCUGACACAUUGUGGAGUUCCAUGAUUUUCAAAACGAGAUAAACCUAAUACUAAAUUAUACUGAAGCUAAAACAAAAAUCUUACUGCCUGAGGUUAUGUCUUUGAUGAAUUUUAUUCACUAUGUUCAUACAGCCUCCCGGUGACCUAGACUUUAGCAUGUGCCUUAGUGCACACAUUGUUUUCAUCUCUUUCAGCUUUAAUUGAUCUGCAGAUGUUCAGUGUAGGCACCGCUCAUCUCCUACUCAUUUACAUGAUUGCCAUGGACCUUUGUGCUUUACUUUGUUAAUGGUAAGGUAAUCAUAAUAGUACUACAUUAGUUGAGCAUGGCUGCAACCAUUUUCAUAUUCAGGCUUUUCUUGUGCUUACAAAUGAUAAUGUGAGCUUGAAUUUUCUGUUUUUAAAUUUGUGAUUCUGAGGCAGAUAUUUGGAGAAAAGAGAAGGCAAACCAUAUUCAAAGUCAUAGCACUGCAGAGUAUGCUUUUGUUCCACCAAGUCCAAGUCAAUUGAGUUGAAUCUUAUUAAUACUUCUAGGACACAGGUUCAAAUCAGUUGAUUUUCCAAACCUGAUGACAGCAUCAAAUUCUGCUGAUUACCAUGUGACCAUUUUUAUUUUCAGAUGGUGGUAUUUUGAAUCUUCAGAGCAGUUCCAGGAGGAAGCUUUGCCAAAGCUUCCCUGUGCAAUAUAUGGGCCUUGGUUGCAAGUGAGAUUUGAGGAUUUUAUUUUAUCUUGGAAGACCUCAACCGAUUGUUUUGAGUUUUGAGCUUUGAUCUUUUACUUCCAAGUAUGUGCAAAGAAGAAAGAAAGCAACAACAAAGAUUGGUUUGCCGAAGUUUUAUAUGGAAUGAGACCCCAAUGAAAAAAAUUGUAAUUAUUGGUUUUUCAGCCUUGAACAGUAUAGUUUUGUUUCCCAUUUUGUUCUUUGAGCAAUGUAUUUGUAGAAUCAUACAUUUUGAAGUUACUACUGAUUUUGUGUAUAUACAUACAUAUAAAUGAUGUUCUCUUCUUCAUUCAUAUGGCAUUUGCUUCUUUGGUAUAUGCCGAAAAGUUACAAGUUUGCUCUAGGGUUUUACUUGAAGUGAGGUUAGAUAUGGUUUUUUUUUUUUUUUUUUUGGUGCAUAUAAGAGUUUACAUCAUAGGCAAAUCACUUCCAAUCCAGCCUCUUUUAACAUUUUUGGUUCCUUUCAUCCUCCUCAAUGUGACUUUGGUGCAAGUUGUCUUGAUAUAAAUGUUUGGAGUUUAAGCUUUUGGGUCAAUUUAAUCUUUAACUCAGCAUCAAAGUCUUUGUUUUCAAGAUUUCCUGGUGCUCAUAAGAUGUUUAAAUUGAUACCCAAGUGGAAUUCUAGGACAAAUAUAUAUAUAUAUAUAUAUAUAUAUAUAUAUAUAUAUGUAAAUCAAAAAAGAAAAAGAAAACAUAUAUACCAAGUAUCAAGUAUCAGCGCACUUCAAAUGAUUUUCUAAAUUUUUAAUUUUUUUUUUCAAAUACUUAACUUUAAAAAAAAUUAAAUAAAUAACACUUUAAAAAGUGCUUUUAAUUCUAAUAGAAUCACUUUUAAACGAAUUUGGAUAUAAAUCAAACAAGUUGAUAUUUAGUGCAUCUAAGGCCCUUUCAGUAAUGUUUUUAAAAAUAAUUCUUUUACAGCUUUUGAAAAUAGUUUUUAAAAACGGUUCAUAAUUAUUUUUAGUAUAAAAAACAGUUUUAUUAGUUUAUUAUUCAUAAAGAUAUCAUAUACUUAUCUACUAUGUAAAAGUUUUUAUUACCAAUUCAUGAAUAAGAUCAUAAACCCAUCCACAUUUACCCACUUUUCCAUUCCCCACCCAUGGAGAAGAAGAAAAAGGAAAAUUUUGGGUUCCCCAUGGAACAACACCAAAUUGAGGUAUAUGCAUGGAUGAAAAUUUCGCUAAAUAUUGAUAUAUUGCAUAUCGGGGGAUAUGGAAAUAUCGACUAGGCAAAAUUUCAGGAAAAAUCGCUGAAAAUCGCCAAUAUUUCCCUAUAUAUUGGUGAUUUGGUGAUAUUUCGCCGAUUUUCCCAAUUUUUUCAAGUGGUCAAUGCUGGUCAACACGCGUUACAGUAAAAGCUUAAACUUGUUGUUGAGGGGACUUGAACCCCAAACAAAAGGCUUAAAUUUGCUAUUGAAGGGACUUGAACCCCAAACAAAAGGCUUACCUGAAGCUUGGCCUACCCUUGUUUAAUAUAUUGCACCAAACAUGUUUAUAUUGAAAUUCAUCAAAUAAAAAAAAAUAUUAAAAGAAUAUUUUAGAGAACAAAAUAAUUAUAAUUAUUUUAUAAUUAAAUAAAAAAUUUCAUUUAAUUGAUUACCCAAAAUAUAAAAGUUAUCAUGAUAAUUUUCUUCAUAACGUUUUUAAUAUCAUUAAUAGAUUAAUUAAAUAUUAAAAAAUUAUAUAUAUAUUCUAUAUCAUUUAAUAAAAUGAAUCAUAAUUUUAAUGAUAAAUAUAUUUUAAAAUUAAACAUAUUAUAAUCAAUAUCACAAUAUUAUUAUGAUAUAAUAUUUGAUGUAAUUUAAUAAUAAAUAUACACUUAUAAAAUUCAUAUAUUUUUAUCAAUACAUAGAAUAUUAUUAUCAAAUAUGAUAAAUCAUAUUAUGCAUGCAUCAAAUUCUUCAACAAAACAACUUUAAAAUAUCUAUUAUAUUUCUAAUUAUAUUUGUAUAAGGUUUUUCUUACAUUUCUAUGAAUUUUGAUCAAUUUUAGGUCUACCGAUAUUUUUUUCCAAUAUAUCUAUAAAAUCGAAGUACCGAUAUAUUCGUGAUUAUUGAUAUUUUCAUCCUUGGAUAUAUGCAAGCUUUCAAUGAUGGGUGUGUUAAUUUAGAUCUUUCAAUCCAAUGGCCCAAAAUAAACUUGGAAUCUGGUUGUGUUUUGCUCCAUUAAGGCACUACAAUGAAUUCCAUGAUUAAGAUUUUGUUACAUGUUGUGGUUUGGAUCCAUAUACCCAUUUGGACCCAAAACCCUAAUUUCAGUUAUUUUUUAUGAAAUAUUGAAUCUCACUUCAUUAGGGUUUAAUAUGUAAACAAGUAACUGAUAAAAAAUUACCACAAAGUGACAAAGUAAAACUCUGUAAAAAGGGUCUUCACAUAUGAAAAUUUAAUACUAAAUCCACUUAUUGAUGCUUUUGGUCAUAAUGCCUAUAGAAAACUUAAAAGCGAGCUAGAAUGUAAAAGUAUAAGUGAAGAUGCAAAAAAAUAUAAUAUUUUCUAAUUUUUGUUAAAUCAAUCUAUGGACCCCGCAUUUCGGCUCAUGCGUUUUCCACUCGAUGGCUAGCUCGAUUUUAAUUUGAAAAAUGAUUUUUAUUGAUUAAGAAAAUGACUUGGAGUCGCCACUUAUUUUUGUUUUAUUUUUAAAGGGUAAACAAAAUAAGAAAGAAGAACCCUAAGUGUGACUCCUUAGUUUGGAAAAGGUGGUCUGUGAAAAAUCAGAUCGGGCUCGGGGGUCAGGUUACUUAUCAGGAAGGUUCGGUAAAGACCGUAGCACCCUUCUAAGUCCUAAAGUUGGGUCUCUACUAAUAAAAUGAAGUUGACGUGGCAAUCAAUAGGAAAAUCAAUGGGUACUCAAACCGAUUAAGCGCAUAUGGAAAUCAAAACAUGCAAUAGAGAAUGACCAGAAUAGGAGUAGAUGCAUACCUGGGCCACGAACGAGCAAUGCGCUAUCAUAAAAAUGGGGUUAGUGCACAAUAUAGAGCACGAAACACGUCACAUGCAUCACCAAACGGAAAUUAAAAUUGUUUGAAGGAAAAUUGGAUUUUCGAAAUUCAUUUGAAAAUUGGAGUCUUAGAGGUUAUUUGGAAAUUGGAGUUUUAAAAAUUAUUUGAUGAGAAUUUUAGAAAUUGAAUUUGAAAGAAAUUGGGAUUUUGAGGAAUUAUUAGAAAGUUCGGGAUUUUUAAGGAAAACUAAGUUACGAAAAUUGGGGCUUUGGGAAUUAAAUUUUGAAAGAAAUCAAAAUUGUAAGUUAUUUGAGAAGUAGAGAUUAUGAAAGUCGAUUUAUAUAUAUAAAAAAAAAAAAAAAGUGGCAAUCUUGAAAAUCAUUCAAAGGCAGAAUUUAUAGAAAUAAUGAAUAAAGUAAUAGUGAUAAUGAUAAUAAUAAGUAGCGGGAUAAAUACGGGGAUUGGAGCAUGGGAAAAUGGAAAUUAAGUUUGGAGAUAGGACAAUUGGAAUUUCAGAUAACUAAACUUAGAAAUCGGAAUUUUGAAGAAUUAGACUUUAAUGAUUGAGAUUUUUAAGAGAAAUAAAUAGGUAAAUAUGGGAUAAUGCUACUAAUUAAUCAAAGCGAUAUUGGAACGGAUGACAGUGAAUAGUGAGAUUUGUGAGAUUAAAAAUUAAAUUUUGAAAGAUUGAGAUUUUUAAAAGAUACAAAUAAAUAAAUAUAGAAUAACAUUACUAGUUAAUCAAAAACGAUAUUCGGACGGGUGAAAGGGGAUAGUGAGAUUCGUGAGAUUAAAAAUUAAAUUAGGGAGUCAGGUUUUUGAAGAAUUGGACUUUGAAUAAAUAAAUAAAUAAAUAAAUAUAGGAUGACAAUUCUGCUUAAGGAAAAUAACAUUUAAAUGAAUAAAGAAGAAUAGUGGAAUUUUUAGGGUUGAAAAUUAAGUUAGGACAUCGGAUUUUUGAAGGGUUAGACUUUAAAUAACUAGAUAAAAACGGGAUUGUAAUUCUAAUUGAUGAAAAUAAGACUUAAACGAAUUAUUGAAAAAUUAAGUUAAGGCGGGGGAUUUUCGAAGGAUUAGACUUUAAAUAAGUAAAUGAAUAUGGGAUACUAAUUCUAAUUAAAGAAAAUAACAUUUAGACAAAUAGUAGAAUUUUAGGAUUGAAAAUUAAAUUAUGACAUUGGAUCUUUUUAAAGGAUUGGAUUUUGGAUAAAUAAACUAAUAUAGGAUGAUGAUACUAAUUAACGAAAAUAAUCAUUUAAACCGAAUAAAAUGAAUAGUGGAAUUUUUAGGGGAUUGAAAAUUAAGUUAGGACAUUAGGUUUCUGAAGGAUUGGAUUUUAAAUUAGUAAACCCGUAUAGGAUGAUAAUACUAAUUAACGAAAAUAACAUUUAAACGGAAUAAAAAGAAUAGUGGAAUUUUUAGGGGUUUGAAAAUUAAGUUAGGACAUCGGAUCUCUGAAGGAUUGGAUUUUAAAUUAGUAAACUCGUAUAGAAUGAUAAUACUAAUUAACGAAAAUAACAUUUAAACGGAAUAAAAAGAAUAGUGGAAUCUUUAGGGGUUUGAAAAUUAAGUUAGGACAUCGGAUCUCUGAAGGAUUGGAUUUUAAAUUAGUAAACUCGUAUAGGAUGAUAAUACUAAUUAACGAAAAUAACAUUUAAACGGAAUAAAAAGAAUAGUGGAAUUUUUAGGGGUUUGAAAAUUAAGUUGGGACAUUGAAUUUUUGAAGAGUUGGACCUUAAAUGAAUAAAAAACACAAGGGAUAAGAAUUCUAGUUAACGAAAAUAACAUUUAGGCGAAUAAUAGAAUUUCUAAGGUUGAAAGUUAAAUUGAGAUUUUUGAAAGAUUGGACUUUAAAUAAAUAUGGGAUGAUGAUUCUAAUUGAUAAAAAUGAAAUUUAAACGAAUUGUAGAAUUUUUAGGAUUGAAAAAUUAAAUUAAAAUAUGGAAUGUUCGAAGGAUUAGACUUUAAAUAACUAAAUAAAUACGGGAUUGUAACUCUAAGUGAUGAAAAUAAGAUUGAGUUGAAUUGUAGAGUUUUUAUGAUUUGAAAGAUUAAAUUAAAACAUGGAAUGUUUGAAGGAUUAAACUUUAAAUAACUAGAUAAAUAUAUGAUAAUAAUUCUAAUUGACGUAAAUGAGAUUUAAAUGACUUAUGGAGGGAUUAAAUUAAGACAUGGGAUUUUUAAAAGGGUUAGACUUUAAAUAACUAUAUAUGUAUGAGAUAAUGAUUCUAUUUGAUGAAAAUAAGAUUCAAACGAACUAUUGAAAAAUUAAAUUGAGGCAUAGGAUUUUUGAGGGAUUUAGACUUUAAAUGACUAGGCAAGUAUGGGAUCAUAAUAUUCCAUUUAUAAAAAUAAGAUUUAAGCAAAUAUUUGAAGAAGUAAAUUAAAACAAGGGAUUUGUGAAAGAUUGGUAUAGGGCCCUUCAUCCACACGAACUGGGCCUGGGCUGCAACUCAAAUCCAAGCCCAAAGUCUUCAUGAGUAAGCCCAAUACAAAUAUCCAUCACAAACUUGGGCCUAGUGCCCCAACUCAAGCCCAAGUCCAAAGAUUUCAAUGGGCAAGCCCAAGACACCCAAUGCCUUCACAAACUUGGGCCUUUCAUCUGGGUCCAACCCUCUAAAGCCCAAAUCAACUCUCAUAUCUCUUUGGGCCAUUCAAUCACAUGUUCUUCUCCACUUCAGGUGACGACGACGGAGGAACUGGAGAUGAGAGGCAUCGCCGGGGGCCCUCGAAGCUGGUCCAAGCUGCCAACGCUCCGCGCUGCCUCGCCACAGCGUCGUGCGUGCACACUGUCCCCUUCGUCGCGUCGAACAGUGCACCACCAUUGCCUGCACCGCCACGGAUCUCAACCGGCUGCCUCCCCGCGAUCUCUUCAUUCGAAUUCGCCGAAAACGACGAUGGAACUUUGACGACUUGGCAACUGGCGCGACAGAGACAUGGAUGGGCUUCUUGACGACACCACUUCCAUGGCGAAUCCGCUUCAAUCUGUGACGAUAGGGUCGAGGUUUGGACGCCGAAAGGAGAAGAAAGUAGAGAGAUAUAGAGAGAGAGAGAGAGAGAGAGAGAGAGAGAGAGAUGCGGCGUGGGUGUGGGCACGUAUGCAUGAGGUUGGAAGGUUGGGUUGCCAGCAGCAGGUUUCGAAGAAGGAAAUGUGGGCAAGAUGGUGAAUACGACUGUGGGUAUAGUGAGGUAUGAGCAUGGAAGGUGAAAGUGUGAGGAUGGAAGGUAUGAAAGGAGCGGGUUAGUGAGAUAAAUAGGUAUUCGAAAGGUGGCUAUGCAUGGUGAAAAUGUGGGGGGUAUGGUGGUGCUAAAAAAAGUGAUAAGCAUGGAGGCAUGAAAGAUGGAUAUGAGGGUAGGUAUAAGGAUAUGUGGGUUUGAUAAAGGACGUAGAGAAAGAAAAGGUGGUGGCUGAUUCAUGGGGUUUGUUGGGUAGAGGAUGUGUGCAUAGGAUUAAUGGAAUGGGUAGUGGGCUGGUUUGAUGAGUAGUAAAAGUGGCCAUGGCUAGGGAGGUGGUGAUGAACGACGAAGGUGUCAUGGCGAGAGUGCUAUGAUAAUCAGCAAUAUCAACAAUCAACAACAAGAAAAUGAUCCAGAAAAUCAAUGAAAUACAACGUGUAAUCCAACCCAAACUGAUAAGCAAUGCAAAGAAAACCCAAAAUGAGAAAGAGAUGAGAAGAAAAUGAAUCAAACGGGGCAAAAGACCCACCUCAAGCUCGCCUGUAGCAGCUUUCUUCCUCCGUGCUCUCCCUCUCCAGUCCGCUCCCGCUCAAGAUCCCCCCCUUUCCUAUAGAUAUCUCAUAUCUUUCUUUUUCCUGUUUGUGUCUUCUUUCCCAAGCCAUUACUGGCUCCACUGUUCUUCCAUCCGUCAGCAGGCAUGGCUUCUCAACUACCUACCUGCAGCUGCAUGUCCAUGCCUAGAGAAGGGAUCAAGCCUCCAACUGGGGGUCCCCUACCCCUUUUAGAAAUACAAUGAAAAGUCAAGAAAAAACAACUCUCGGGCCCUCACCACCAAAGGGGGUCUACACAAUCUUAAUUAGGUAAUUUCCUAUUGCAAAAAACAAACAAACAAACAAACAAAUAAAUAAACUUGAAAUUUUUUGUACUUGCUAUAAAAUAUUUAUUUGUAAGUCUAAAAGUUAGCUCAGUGGAAGCUCUAAACCUACUGGUACGAACAAUUGGAUUACUUAAUUUGAUGGUAUCUUAUUCAUUUAUUUUUUAAAUUAAUCUUUAAAUUUAUUUGUUCUUUCAUUAUUGGUCAUGUUUCUUGGUAAAUAAUGUCGUCCAUUUGUGGCAAUUUUCCUAGAAAUUGCAUUGUAUCUUAUAAUCUCAUACACCAAGAUCAUGUUUGAUUUCCAAAAUAGAGAAAAUAUAGAGGAAAGAAAAUAGAGAAAAAAUAGAAAGAAAUAAGAAGUGAAAGAAAAUAAAAAAAAUAAAUUUAAAAUUAAUAAAUUAUUUUUUAUAUUCUGCUUCAAAUUUAUUUCACUUAAAUAAUUUUAAAAUAUAUAAAUUUUUAUUUAAUUUGAAUUAUAUUUGAUUUUCUUUUAUAUUUUUCAUGAUGAAACUAAAUAUGAGAAAAUAAUUUUUCUUUAACAUUUUUUUUUCUUAAUAAUUUAUGAGAGGAAUUUUUAUAUAUAAAAGUACAAUCAAUUUAAAUUUAAUUUUUUAAAAUACAACAUAUUGGAAAAUAUAACUCUAUGGUACUUUAUGUCAUGUUGGAAGUUGUCUUUUGAAGAGGCACAUUUUACAAUUUUCAUAUUAAUCACACCAUUGAAAAUAAAAAUAUAUUUAUACUAAGGAUAUCUCUUGAAGAAACACCUUUAGUAUAAAAUCCAAAUUUGUGAAAUUAUGGAAGGUAUGUCUUGAAAAGACACCUUUAAUGUAAAUUCAAUUUUUUUUUUCAUGUGGCUAAUAUGAAAAUUGUGGAAGAUGUCUCUUCAAAACACAUAUUCAGUACAAAUUCAAUUUUAUGGAAAUGUGAAAGGUAUCUCUUCAAGAGACAUGUUUAGUAUAAAUUCAGUUUGUGGAGUUAUGGAAGGUGUCUCUUGAAGUGACACUGUGGACCCCGCAUUUCGGCUGCUCAAUGUGUUUCCCACUCGAAGGGCGAGCGCGAUUUUUAUUAUUUUGAAGAAUGGAUUUGUCGAUUAAAAUGACUUGGAGUCGCCACUUAUUUUUGUUUUAUUUUUAAAAGGUAAACAAAAUAAGAAAGAAAAACCCUAAGUGUGACUCCUUAAUUUGGAAAAGACGAUCUGCGAAAAACCGGAUCAGGUUCGGGGGUCAGGUUUCUUGUCGGGAAGGUACGGUAAGGACCGUAGCACCCCUCUAAGCUCCUAAAAUGGGUCUCUACUAAUAAAAUGGAUCAAACGUGGCAAUUAAUUCGGAAACCAAGGAAUACCCGGAACUAUCAUGCACAUGUGAGAAUCAAAGCAUGCAUGUAGAAAUACCAUAAUGGGAAUAAAUAUGUACCUGGUUAGCAAACGGCAACGCGCUAUCACAAAAUAGGGUUAGUGAACAAACACAGGUUGAUUAUAUACAUAUCAUGGAACAUAGCAAAACAAUCAAUCAAUUAGUUAGUCAUGAAUUCACAUAUGUGGGGCCCCCACCAAAGCCCAUUUUAUCUUGCUUGAAUCAAUUCCGAUAACUCCAUUGUUCGGAAUUAUGGAAUUUGAUUCCUUGCUUAUUUCAAAACAUUAAAAAAAAAAACAAAAAAAACAGAGGAAGUAUGAAAAUUGCUUGCCAGAAAUAAAAGUGGCAGCGAAGCUUUAUUAAAAAUGUGAUGUUGGAACCUAAAAAAACUUUAAGGAUGAAGUAUGAGGCGAUUGGGACCAUUUGAAUACCAGGAUUUAGAAGAAGUUACAAAAUGGGAUUCGAGGAGCGAGGUACCCAGGAAAGAUGGCGGCGGAGGAAUUCCGGGUACAAUGGGUGUUUUUCCGGACGCGAUGGGCGUCCGGAGGAAAAUGGCGGCGGAAGAAAUUCCGAGUACAAUGGGCGUUCGGAGGAAAAUGGCGGCGGAAGGAAUUUCGGACUUGAUAGGCGUCCGGAGGAAAAUGGCGGCGGGUGAUUCCGGACGCGAUGGGCGUCUGGAGGAAAAUGGCGGCGGAGGAUUUCGGGUAUAAUGGGCGUCCGGAGGAAAAUGGCGGCGAAAGGAAUUUCGGACGCGAUAGGCGUCCGGAGGAAAAUGGCGGCGGAGGAUUCUGGACGCGAUGAGCGUUCGGAGGAAAAUGGAGGCGGAAGGAAUUCCGGGUACAAAAUGCCGUCCAAGUGUAAUGACAGCGGGGGAAGGUUCCGGAACGUGAGGGUGUCCGGAUGGAAUGGUAGAACGUGGUUAUGAGUAGCAUGAAGGAUAGGUAUGGGUGGUAUGGAUAUGGGGGCUUGGGUGAGUAGUUUUAGUGGGUAUGUGUGGGAAUGAAGGAUGGAAUGCACCCCUGAAAGACUAAGUAAGCGAGGGAGCGAGAUGGAGAAUGAAUGAGAAGAAGAUGGGUGUGGGCAUAUUGGAUAAAACGAUGAAUAAGAAACGAAAAUGGGUAUAGAGAUGCUGAUGAGGGGAGCUUUGCUGCCAUGACAACUACUCCAGAUUUUCUAGGAUCUCUUUCGAGCAGGGAUGAGAAAAUGGAUGCGUACCAUGGACGGAUAUCAAGAAACAGGGGAAGUAGAGAAACAGAGUGUGAAAGAAGACGAAUAAAUAAAGAAAAAUCUCAGAAAAUCCAUUUCAUGAAUCAUCCAUGAAUCUUCUGAGCGGGUGGGUAAAUCAUAUCAAAUGCAACCACCCUCAUGAUUCUCAAGCAUUUCAUAACCACAACAGAAGCAUAUCAAAUUUAAAAGAUGGACAAAUCUACGCAAACGCAGGCAUAUAUAUCAACAAACAGAUCGGUGGCCUUCAACAUCCACCCAAAACAACAUUAUGUUAUGGAAAAUCAAUGAAUAAUGAGGGACGAGGAGAAAAACUGUGUACAUACCUGGUUCCUCAAGCAAAAAGAAAACCGGUCUCAGCUCUCUCAAUGAGUUUCCCUCUCUAAAAGACUCCCAAGUAAAUCAGCUAGGAAAAGUCUCCCUCUCUCCUUUGCUCCCUCUUGGCAAUGGAAGAAAAACCAGAGAAAAAUCUCCUCUUCUCUUUCCCCAAAAAUCCUCCUUUCCCACCAGUUCUCUCCAGCUAAAACUCUCCUCUCGUUUUUCUUCCUAUUCACUGGUCAGCACGCAUGGUUCUCCCAACCACCCUCCUGCUGCACGUCUACAAUCUUGUCCCCUCAAACGAUCUCUGCCGCAACCACCUUUUCUCCCUGCAACACUCCUUUUGCAGCCACCUUUUUUCUCUGCCAUCUGCGCCCCUUAACGGCCUACGGGACCCCCUUCCAAAACGUUUCUCCACGUAUCAAAGUCAUACUGCAGCCUCAAAAAGCGAGGUUGAUUCCUUAUGACCACUAAGGAUGUGACACGUGGCCCGCUAGGAUAGUGACACCUGGCUAAAAUGAGCUGCUGAAAAACGAGCCCCAAAUGGGGGUCUACAGACACCUUUAGUAUAAAUUCAAUUUUUUUCAAUGUGUGACCGAUAUGAAAAUUAUGGAAAGACGUCUCUUAAGAGACACUUUUAAUAUAAAUUUAAUUUUAUGAAAUUGUGGAAAUUUUCUUUUAAAGAUACAGUUUUAGAAUAAAUUCAAUUUUGUAAAAUUGUAGGUGUCUCUUCAAAAGACACCUUUACUAUAAAUUAAAAAAUUUCAAUAUGUGGCUGAUAUGAAAAUUAUGGAAGGUGUCUCUUCAAAAGAUAGCUUCUGACAUGAAAAAAAACUACCAUAAUUCCUUAAUAGUUUCACAAGUACCUUUUUUAAAUUUCUUUUGUUUUUUAUAAUUCAUUGUAGAAGUUUUUUUUUUUUUUAAAAAAAAAAACCCCCUUUCCAAGAACCAAGCAUAGUUUAAAUAAUGUUGAUAAUUUUCUACUGAUUCUCCCCAAACUUUUAUUGGAAACUAACAAAAUGGGGCUUAUUAUAGAAUUUUUAAUCUACCUAUCAUUUUGUUGGUCUUCGAAACCACUUUACAAAAUUAAAAAUAAAAAUAAAAAUAAAAACAAAACAAAAGUAGAGGGAACAUUGAUUUCUAGCUUUUAACAAUAAAAAAAUAAAAUAAAAUAAAAUAAAACCCAACAAUUUCUUAAAGUAGGUUUUGGACCUAAUGAAAUACAUAGCAGUUAAACAAUGUCAAAUGACAUAUGACUAUUUGAAAACAAUGUUAAAGACAUUAGUUUGAUCACUGUGAUUCUUAUUACAGCUAGAAUUUUAUUUAUGUAUUUUUUGUUCGUGUGUCACAUUAUAGAGUCUACCAUUGUGAGAACUACAACCCCUUAAGCUUCAAUACUCAUCUCAAUUUUAUGAAGGUUCUUUUAACUAUUAUUUUGAAUUGGGAUUUGGCCACAACCUAAAUUAACCAAGAAUUGACAAUUGAGACAAACUCAUACUCAAAAUCCAAUUGGUUGAACUAAUUGCACUAUGGAAUGCUCAUAAUGUUGGUUCGGUUCAAUAAUUGAGUCGCUAUAGGUAUCAAACUGAAAACAAACUAACUAAACUAUCAUUGAACCCUUUGGACCAAUUCUAUGGUCUGUGCUGUCGAUUUGGUUUAGCAAUCUAGUCGUGCUGGGUAAUGAAUUGAAAACAAAGUUGGGUUGUCUCUUGACCAGUGAACCCAAUAUAUUAGAAUGUAAAAGGCAAAUGAUAAUUAUGCAUGCGCUACUUUUGUGUUUGUUGUAGUGUUAAAUUAUUUUGAAUGUGUAUUCAUAUGUUAUCAUUUUUAAUAAUUAAAUAUAUUGUACCAAAAUGCAAAAGGCAAAUAAUAAUCAUGUCUCUUGCUACUUUUAUGUUUAUUGUGGAGGUAAAUUAUUUUGAAUGUGUAUUUAUAUGUUAUCAUUUUAUAAUUUAAUAUACUAUUUAUCAAGAUUAAUACAAUAAUGUAAACUUAAUAAUUUUUAAGAUAAUAGAAUAGGAUAAUGUAAUGGAUAAAAUUUUAUUAUUUCAUUCUAGAAUAUAUCAUUGAAAUAGUAAAUCAUAAAUAUUACAUAUUCAUACUAUUUAAUAAAUAUACAAAUAUGGAAAUGAUAUAUGCUGGCAAUUUUGUUUCUUUUAAUGUUUGACCUUAUAAGUCUUUUUAGAUAGUGACUUACUCUUCAUUGAAGAUCAAGAGUUGUUGUUCGUCCAAUUAGGAAGUCAUAGUUAUGUUUAAAAAUGUUUGGCUUAUGGCAAGUUAGGCUCUCAAGAGGUAUAAAGAGAAACAAUGCCUUCUUAAUUAAAGAAAAAUGAUUUUUUAUGAAUAUUGAAAGAAAUAGGGGAUGCUCAAGUGGAAAGCAACACUCAAGCACUAGGAUCGCUCAAUUGCUAAGCAUUGUUUAAGUGCCCAAGGUGCUCAAACGAUGGUUAACUAUGCCCAAGGCGCUCAAGAUUUUUCUAUUGAGAUUUGGAAGAUAUUUUUGAGAAUUUCAUGCAAAUCUCAUUUGGAAACCUUAUGAUACCGAAUCUCUUCGGGAUAUUUGCCUAUAAAUAUCUCAUUAUAACCCUUCUAGGGUUAAAUAUUGGAGAGAUUUCGAAGAAGUCUCCUUGAGAGAAAGCAUAAUGAGCCACACCAUUCUCAAUCUCUCAUUCGAAGGAUUCAAGCAUUGAAUCUUAGGUUGAAGACCUUCAUCUCUUCAACAAGGUUGAAGAGUAUUUAUUGAAGCAAUCAAAAGUUGCUACAUCGCGAAUGUGGAUCAAGUUGUAGUUACUUGAAACUAAGUCUUUAGAGUAAAGUGGUCAAGUAAAUUUGUAUAACUUGAUCUCAAUAGUGGAUUUAGAUUAACAGUCCUAAACCUCAUGAUUUUUUAUAUCCACGGUUAGUGUGGGGGGUUUUCCACAUAAACAUCCUUAUGCUUGAUUGCAUAUCUUUAUUUUCUUGUUUGCAUUGCCUAUUAUGGAAAGAUUUGAUAAUUUUUAACUACUCGUAGGGAAAAGUUAGUUAUAAUAUAAAAAUAUUUAUUUAAAAUUUUUUAAUUACACCCAUUCACCCUCCUUCCCUCCCCUAGGUGUUACCCUAUUGAACUUCAGUUUUUCAAUUGGUAUCAGAGUGAGAUAAAAAUUGAUCUUUUACUAAUCAUAUUGAUUAAAAAUCAAAAUUUUAUUGAUAUUUCUGGAUAAAGAUCAAAAUUUUAUUAAUUACAUAGAAUAAAUUUUUAUUGAUCUUGUAAGUCCAAUAAGGAACAAUCAAAAUCUACGGCUUCUCUAAAUAGUCCACCUUACUUCGAUGGCAGUAACUAUUCUCAUUGAAAAGCCUAGAUCAAGUUUUUUCUUAAAAUGCAAGGUUAAUGGAUAUGGAAUUCAAUCAAAUAUGAAUAAGGACCCCCAUUGAUUAUUGAUGUCCAUGGAAGAUCAAUUGAAGAAUUAAAACCUAAACAAGCUAGAUUGGGGCAAAGCCAAUAAUGAAGGGAGUGAAGUCAAUGCUAGGACUUUAUUUAGUAUCUUUAAUGGAGUUUGUCCAUAUGAGUUUCACAAGAUAGCAAAUUUUACUCGUGGUAAGGAAGCAUGGGAUAUUCUUCAAGUCACCUAUGAAGGUACGUCCGUUGUUAAAAUUUCUAAAUUGUAAAUGCUUACUACUAAGUUUGAGAAUAUUAGGAUGCAUGAAAACCAUAACUUUUUUUUUUUAUGAACUAAGUGAUAUAAUUAAUUCUUCAUUUAACCUUGGAGAACCUGUUCUAGGUUCAAAGGUAGUAAGAAAAAUAUCAAGAUCCCUCUUAGAGAGAUUUAAACCUAAAGUUAUAGCCAUAGAGGAGAGUAAGGACAUUGAUUCGAUGAGAGUUGACAAACUUGUUGGCUCCAUACAGACAUAUGAGAUGACCUACCUAAUUCUCAAAGGCCUAAAGACUCUCUGCCUUUAAGGUUUUUGAGAAUAAGGAAAAAGAUACUGAAAUGACAUAUAAUAUAGCUAGGGAUAAAUUGGCUUAUAUGGCUAAAAGAAUUAAAAAGGUCAUGAAAUUCAAUAAAAAGUUUUUCAAAAAUCAAGAAUCUGGAAAAGAAAAAAGACCUAAUGAUAAAUCUUCUAAAGAAAAUGAUAAAGGUUCCUCCAAAGGUAAGAAAGUAGAAUGCUUUAACUGUGGUGGUCUAAGACAUUUUACCAUUGAUUGUCCUAGCCCUAAAAAUAUAAAAAAGUCUAUGUAGGCCACAUGGAGUGACAUUGAUUUUGAAGAAAGUGGUUUCACAACUUCUGAAGAUGCAAGGUAUGAUCCUAAUGACUUUUUAGCCUUUGUGGCAUCUAUGGAAUCUAUGCAUGAUAGUGAAUGUGAUAGUGAUAGUGAUGAUGAAUUCACAGAUGAUCAAAAGCUGUUUUUUUUUAAAUAACUUUGUUGUUAAACAUGAAAAACUAAUUAAGAAUUAUUUAAGAGACCAUGAUAUUCCUGAAGCUCACAAAACUAAGGUUGAUGUGCUAAACGAACAGAGUAUUAAUCUUCUUGAAAAAACAAAAAAUAGAUUUCUUGAGUUUGAACAUCAUUAUUUUCUUAACAAGAAUAAUGCUCUCUCAUUCAAGAGAUGAAAAGUAAUAAGUCCUCUUCAUCUACAAAUGAGAUCUUUCAACCUGGAACUAAAGUGUUUAAUGAAAUACUUGAUAAAUGUAAAACCUAUGGUAAUAAAAGAGGUUUGGGAUACAUUAAUAAAGAUGAAACUCUUUUUAGUGGAGAAACAAUUUUCGUAAAAGAAAACAAAGAAACCCUUAACCAAGUUGGAUCUCUUAUCCUUACAUUACUAUGCACACACUAAGAAAUAGGAUACACUCAAUAUAGGUGCUACAGUAAGUUCCUAGAGAGAUUUGAAUCUCAAAUGAGUAGGCUAAUGAAUGACUUUAAUUCCCUUGAAAAUAACAUGUUUCAAUAAUGGGAAAGGGAAUAAACCUAAUCAAAAGCCUAGAAAUCAACAAAUCUUCUCUAAGUCAUCACCUAGGAUUAAACAAGUUUGGAUGAGAAAAGAUUGGGAUAAAUGUUAGGUUGUCUUCACUACUCUUAAAGUUACGUCUUCUAGUGAGUGGUACUUCUAUAGUGGCUGCUCUAGACACAUGAUAGGAGAUAAGUCAUUUUUCACUUCUCUUGAGGAUUAUAAUGGUGGCACAGUUACCUUUGGGGGUGGAAGCUUAGCUCAUGUGAAAAGAAAGAAAAGUAUAUCUAUCCUAAUGUCCUAAAUUAGAUAGAGUUCUCCAUGUAGAUGGAGUAAGAUCAAACCUCCUAAGUAUUAGUUAGAUAUGUGAAAAUGAACAUAGGGUGAAUUUUUGUCAUGACUUAUGCAAGGUAGUGAAUAAAGAAGGAAACACUACUACAAAAAUAAUAUAUGAUGUCACUAUUUAUGGUGUCGCAUUUAAAAUAAUGACACCAUUGAACUUAAAAUUUAUAAAGGUGACACAUCAUAUAAAAAAUCUUCAAUUAGGAUAGUUAGAUGAUGCUAAUUUCAGAUUUACGGUGUCAUUUUUUGGAAGUGACACCAUAUGAAAUAAAAAGUUUUAAAUUUUAUAACUUAAUGGGCCCUUUUUAAAAAUAGUGAGUAGGAACAAUUUAUGAAAAGUCCAUUGUUUCCAUAUAUACAUUAACUAAUAUAAAAGAUCUUAUUGCUUAACCCUAACCAUCGUUUUCUUCUCCUUCUUCUCACACCCAUGGUCAGCACACCCAUAAUUGAUAUUCUUUGCUUCGUAAAAUCUCGGGUAAGUCAAAAUCUCUUAUCUAUCAUCUUCAUUUUUUUUAUUAAUGCAAAAAACUUUGUUAGUAUAAUUGUUUUAUAUCUCUUGAUUUAGUAUAUCUAUGAUGUGGGUUUUGUAAAUGGUGUUUUUUAUCGAGUUCCAAUGAAGUAAAAACUAGGUUUAACAUUCUAACAUAUUUUUUGUUUCAUUGCUAAUAAGCCCCAAAACAAAUGAAAACAAGAAAAAUGAAUUAUUUUUAAAAUUUUUGUCUAAUUGAGAAUGAGAGAUACACUAGUUUGUAGUAAUUUUUCGCAUGAAAUAGUAUUUUAUUGAAGACUUGACUAUAUUUGAUACUUUUUUCCACCGUGCUAGGAGCUUUUUGGUGAAAUCUAACAAUAGAGAUUGACAUCUACUACAAGAUGAUACUCAAUUAAUCCAAAAGCACUUAAGUUAUUUAGGGUUUUCUUCAGUUAACCUAAGAAAACAUUCCCACUUUCUUUGUAUUGAGUCACCUAAAUAGAAUAGAAUAUUGGGUAUCAGAGUCGUAAAGGGUAUUAUAAAUAUGACUUUUUUUUUAGAGUCACCUACGUGGAAUGAAUUAUUGGUAGGUGAACAAAAUAUUGGGGUGAUUGUAAUAGUUGAAUUAGUAAAUGGAAGAUAAGUGUAUGUUGCUUUGUUUAUUCUAUAAAAACAAUAAUUUUAGUAGUUGAAAUUUACAUGCUUUGUUGUUUUAUAAAAACAAUAAUUUUAGUAUUUGAAAUUUUAAAAUGUGAAUGAAAUGCCUGAAAAUAUGUUUUGAAAAAUAGGAUAGUAAUAAAUGGAAAAUAACUCAUUUCCUAAAAAUAUUUUGAUAAAUUAAAAUAAUAUGUGGUUAAAAUAUAUUUUUGUGAAAGUAUUUAAAAAUGAAUNNNNNNNNNNNNNNNNNNNNNNNNNNNNNNNNNNNNNNNNNNNNNNNNNNNNNNNNNNNNNNNNNNNNNNNNNNNNNNNNNNNNNNNNNNNNNNNNNNNNAAAAUAUUUUUGAAAAUAGAAAUAUAAAUGAUAUAGCUCAUUUCCUAAAAAUCUUUGAUAAAUAAAAUAACUGUAGUUAAAAUAUAUCUUAUGAAAGUAUUUAAAAAUGAACCAAUAUAUUUAUAAUUGUUAUUUGUUUAAAAAUAAUUUAAUAGUAAAAAAAUAAUACUGAGUUCAAAUAUGACUACUUUGUUAUGAGAUUCAUUAAAGAAAUAAUUGUUGAUUUUACAGUUAUUGCAUAAAAUGUUUUACUCGUUUAAUGAAUUGUACAUAAUUUCAUACUUUCAAUUAUUGUGAUAUUAAUGUUAUUCUCAUUUGAUUUCAGUUUGAUGACAAAUAAAACAUAUUCUCAAGUAGAAUUUGAUGAAAUUAGAGAAAAAUAGAUUACUUUUGUGUUAUAACUAAUCAUGAAUCAUAUUGAUGUAUCGUGAUCAUUCAUGGUAAGUCCCUUAGUUGUUAUAUGAUUGAAUUUUCCAUUGAUAUUGUAUAACAUUACUUAUUCUUUACGAACUAUUUUUAUACCAAAAUGAGAAAAAGGAAAAAGAAAAAGAAAACAUUAGUACUUAGAUUUGUUUAUUGUUUAUAACAUCACAUUUUUAUUUUCAAUAAGAACUCUAAAACUCAUUAAACUAUGAAAUGCAGGUAUACACUCUUGGGAGGACAAUAUGAAGAAUAAAAAGAAAGGCGAAAGAGGCAACAAGAUUUAGGUUUUUAGAUAUGUCUCUUAUGUCAUACAUUAUAGGACAUAAAUGUUACUUUAUUUGGAAUUGAGAAUUUUGGGUUUUUGGAUGCAACUCUUGUGUCUUUUUAUGGUUAGUCAGUUUUAUGCAUAUGAAAUGCAAGUAUAUAUGAAUGUUGGGAAGCUUAACAUUUCUAAAUCAUGUUUUAAUGUGUAUUCACUUUUCUUUUUUAGUUUUGGUGGGUUUGAUGUGUUUGAUGUACUAUCAUUUUGUGAACAUUUGAUAUACAAAUAUUAUUGGAUGAUGUAAUAUGUUACAAAUUAAUUCAUAAGCNNNNNNNNNNNNNNNNNNNNNNNNNNNNNNNNNNNNNNNNNNNNNNNNNNNNNNNNNNNNNNNNNNNNNNNNNNNNNNNNNNNNNNNNNNNNNNNNNNNNUAUAUUUUUGUGAAAGUAUUUAAAAAUGAAUCAAAAUAUAAAUAAUUGUUAUUUUGUUUGAAAAUAAUUUAGGAAUAUAAAAUAAUAUUGGGGAUAAUUUUUGAGUUUAAAUUGGGUUAUAAAUGGUUAAUUUUUUUAGGACUGUCCUUUUUGAAAAUAAUCCAAUGAUAAUUUUUUUAAAUAAGAAUGUUGAAAAUAAUUUUAAAAAUAAAAUUUUGUUGACAAUGAUUUUUCUAAAAGUAUUUUAGGCAUAAAUGGAAAUUUCUUGUAUGAAAAUAAGAGAAUUUAUAUAUAUAUAUAUAUAUAUAAUAGACAUAAAAAUAGACUUCUUUGAUAUUUAAUAAACAAGUGAAUUUUUCUCUAAAAAAAGAAUGAAAUAAGAAUUUCUCUAUAUAAUAAAAUAAUUUAUAUAUGAGAUAGUUUUCAAUAAGAAAGUUUUGAAAAUAAAUUUGGGAUAAAAUAUUUUUUAGUAAGUUUUGUUUAGAUAAUUCAAGAAUAAAGUGGUUUAUUAACUUUUCUUAAAAAAUAACAUUCUUCUUUCUUUUUUGAAUUGAUCAAUUUUUUUAGAAAUAAAAUUGUUAGAUUCUAUUUUUUGUAAAUGUUUAAGAAAUUCUAAAAAAUUCUUUAAAAAUGAAAUGACCUUUCUACCACAUUCCUUGUAAUAAAUAAUUGUUUUUUUUAUACAUAUUGUAAAGUAAAAAAAAAAAGUAUUUGUUUAGUUAACCUAAGAAGACAUUCCUACUUUUCUUUGUGUUGAGAGUCACCUAAAUGGAAUAAAAUAUUCAAUAUCAUAGGAGAGUAAAAAGUAUUGUAUAAAUGAUUUUGUUGAGAGAGUUAUCUAAAUGGAAUGAGAUAUUGGUAGGUGAAUAAAAUAUUAUGGUGAUUGUAAUAGUUGACUUAGUGAGUGGAGGAGAAGUGUAUGUUUCUUUGUUUAUUCUAUAAAAACAAUAAUUUUAGUAGUUGAAAACGUGUAUGAAAUGACUGAAAAUAUUUUUUGAAAAAUAAGAAAAUAAUAAAUGGAUAAUAGCUCAUUUCCUAAAAAUCUUUUGAUAAAUUAAAAUAACUUGUAGUUAAAAUAUAUUCUUAUGAAAGUAUUUAAAAAUGAACCAAUAUAUUAAUAAUUGUUAUUUUGUUUAAAAUAAUUUAUAGUAAAAAAUAUACUGAGUUCAAUAUGACUACUUUGUNNNNNNNNNNNNNNNNNNNNNNNNNNNNNNNNNNNNNNNNNNNNNNNNNNNNNNNNNNNNNNNNNNNNNNNNNNNNNNNNNNNNNNNNNNNNNNNNNNNNGCAACUCUUGUGUCUUUUUAUGGUUAGUCAGUUUUAUGCAUAUGAAAUGCAAGUAUAUAUGAAUGUUGGGAAGCUUAACAUUUCUAAAUCAUGUUUUAAUGUGUAUUCACUUUUCUUUUUUAGUUUUGGUGGGUUUGAUGUGUUUGAUGUACUAUCAUUUUGUGAACAUUUGAUAUACAAAUAUUAUUGGAUGAUGUAAUAUGUUACAAAUUAAUUCAUAAGCAUUAUGAAAAUAUAAGUUAAAUGUAAUAUGAUUAUUAUAUUUAUGGACAAUUUACACAGGUUAGUCUUAUUUAUUAAUAAGCAUUACAAAAAUCUACAAACUAAUCAAUAAAAAACAACCAUAUCUUCCAUAAUCAUUUACAAUGAUGUGACACCAUAAAUUAAAGGUGAUACAUUUAACGUGACACCAUAACUCAAAGAUGAUGCAUUUAAUAUGACACCUUAUAUAUCUCAUACAACUCUAUAUCAAAUUAAGCAUCACUAAAAAUAUAUGGUGUCUUUUCUGAAUGUGUCACCAUUUAUCUACUUUGGUGUCGCUUCCAAAUACGUCACCAAUUGAUACCCUCUAUGGUGUCAGUGGAUAAGGUGACGCUAUAUUGUAGUGACACCCUAUGUUUAUAGCGACUUAUUAUAAAUGUCACCAUAUAUUUUUUUCCUUGUAGUGAAAAGUCAUUAUCAUAGGACACAUGAAAGUUAACAACUCUUAUGUAAUAAAUUCUAACUCUAAAAGUGCACUAGGGCAAAGGUAGAUCUUACUGAACUCUAGUAUAGAAGGCUAGGUCACAAACUAUAGGGAUCUUGUACAUGUAGUGAAUAGUGAAAAAGUUAGAUGUGUCCUUAAACUAAGUGGUGAACCUAAACCCAUUUGGUAGUGAGUGUAUGAAAGGUAAACAAACUAAAAGUUCACACAAAAAGGUUAAAGAAAUUAGAAUCACUAGACCUUUAGACCUACUUCAUAUGGAUCUUAUUAGUCCCAUGUGUACUAAAAGUAGAGAUGGUAAGAGAUAUGUCCUAGUUGUUGUGAAUGAUUUUUCAAGAUACUCAUUUGUGAGUUUUCUUAGAGAGAAAUCAGAGACCAUAGAGCAUUUGAAGUCAUUGUUCACAAGAAUACAAGUGGAGAUAGGCCAUCCAAUUGUGAGGAUUAGGAGUGAUAGUAGGGAGAAGAGAGUUUGACAAUGUGGAUGUUGACCUCUUUUGUGAGUAAAAAGGUAUCAAACAUGAAUUUUCAGCCUCUAGAACUCCUCACUUAAAUGGAGUGGCUGAAAGAAAAAAUAGAGUGUUACAAGAAAUGGCUAGAGUGAUGAUUCCUACGCAUAAUACCCCUAUGCAAUUUUGGGUUGAAGCUAUAAAUACGACAUGUUAUACUACCAAUAAGAUUUUUCUUAGGCCUGCAACAAUGAAAACAUCUUAUGAAUUAUGGACUAGGAGAAAACCUAACCUUACGUAUUUUAGAACUUUUGGUAGUGAGUGCUACAUACUCAAGGAUGGGGAGAACCUAGGGAAAUUUAAUGCAAAAUUUGAUGUAGGUAUCUUCCUAGGCUAUUCUACUAAGAGUAAAGCCUAUAAGGUUUAUAAUCAAAAUUCACACAUUGUCCAAGAAUCCUCUAAUGUGGUUAUAAAUGAUAUUGGGUAUGAUCAUGAUGUAUUAAUUGAGAAUCAAAUUUUAACCCAAGAAUUAAUUGGGGAUAACCCUAAAAAUGUGGAGAUCAUAGAAGAUAACCCUAAUAAUAUCCCUAAAAGUAAAAUCAAACCCUAACAAGGAUGAAAAUUUAUCUCAAGAAGACACUAUUGAAGAAACAAGGAAUAAACAUAAAUCCAGAGUAGAAAAAAACCACCAUAUCUCAAAUGUUAUAAGUAACAUGAAUGAACGUGUGGUUACUAGAACAAAAUCAAGAUUAAAUGAGAUGUUGUAUGCUACACCUCCCAAUUGGAGCCAAAGAAUUAUAGAGGAAGUUUUAGGAUAUGAGUCUUGGGUCUAAAGAUAAGCAUGUCAGAAGUACAAAAUAAAUUUUAAAAAAUAUACAAAAUGAAAAUAGGGUCAUUGUGAGGAACAAAGUAAGAUUAGUAGCCCAAAGAUAUUCAUAGGCAGAGGGGAUUGACUAUAAAGAGACAUUUGCACCCGUAGCUAGAUUAAAAUCAAUUGGGAUACUUUUGGUCAUAGCAUGCUCCUUGAGGAUGAAGCUUUGUCAAAUGGAUGUCAAGAGUGCUUUCCUAAAUGGGAUUCUUCUUAAUUCAAACAUUAGGUUAGAAAUUAUGCAAAUUUCAUUAAAAUGAUUUUUCUUUACAUGACCAUUAUUCAAAACAUUAUUAAUUUUUUUAUAUAAAAAACUUCAAAUCAAUAGGAUUAGAUAGAAAAAAAAAAAACAAUUUGAAGCAUUUCUAAAAGAAAACCAAAUGCUUAUAUCCUUCUUGUACCAAUUUGAUACGUUUGAUGAUGAUUGACAUUGCCUUCAUUUCCUUUGGAAGAUUAUUUGUUUUUUUACUCUAUUUGUUGUGGAGUUUUCUUCAACUUCACUUGACCUUUCAUUCUCCUUCACCUGCCCUUGUUGUUGAGCUAAGCAUCAUCAAUUCUCUCUUCCAAUUGACUAGCUCAAAAUCAUCGUUGACAUAUUCUCAACCAAGAGAGUUAGAAGAAUAAAAAAUUAAGAAAUGCUCCAUCAUUGAUAUAAAUCAAGUUUUUGCCAAAAACUUUCUUUUGAUUUGAAAAAUCGAGCAUUUGCAUCCAAAUGACAAGUCCAAAGAUAAUAUUCAAAAAAAAUUCUUUAAAGAUGAUUUAUGCGUAAAAAAAAAAAAUUAUAUUUCACAUUAUCAACAUAUCUAUUUUAAAGUAUGAGAGGGACAACAUUACUUAAAAUUACCAAUUUCAAUUUUAUCCAAGGUAAACAUAUUCUUCUUUUUCAAGCAUGGAUUCCUACAAAACCAAAUAGAUAAUCAUUGGUACCCAUAUCUCCUUAGGUCCUAAACACUUAGUCUCUCAUUCCUUUAGAAUCUAAAAUGAUCUAGAGUUGAACAAUAUGAGAAGAUUUUCUUAAUGAACAAUUAUUACCAUAGUUUUAAAACCAACUGUCGACCAGCAGCCUUUCCGGUCCAAUCCUUUCUUUUGAGCCGAACACCCAUCGAACCAUUCUUAAGUUGCCUGAACAAGCUAAUGAGUUGGCGAACCAGAUGAACUAGGCUAUUUUGUAAUAACCGAAUAGUUCAAAACUCACUCUAUUUGCUACCCUUUUCUUUUUGGCAAAAUGUGGCCCAAAUUGCUUUUCGACGUGGAAUAACUGGAAUGAAUAUUUUAAAGAAAAAUUACAUUUAUAACUACAUGAGAAGAGCUUAAACCCCAAACCCCAAGUUAAAGUAAAGUCGACAACACCACUCUAUUACGCCCCAUUUGUUGUUAAAAUUGAUUAAAAAUAAAUAAGUAAAUUACCUAUGUUAUUUCAAAAAAAUAAUAUAUAUAUAUAUAUAUAUAUAUAACAAAAGCACCUCUACGAGGGGGUGCAACCCUUUGAAUGGACCGUAAAGGCUAAUCCUUGGAAAAUUUGGUUUUGGGUAUAUAUCAUCAUUAAGUUAGAUUAUUUUUAUUUAUGUUUCUAGAUUACACUCAAUGACAGUUUUUCAAGACUUAAUCAUUUAGGUAGAUUGUGUUUUCUAGAUCUAAUUGAAUAUAAAGUUAAUUGUUUUUUCCAAAAUUUGUUUUCUAUAUAUUAUCGUUAAGUCCAAAUUGAGUAAUAAAUACAUCACUUUUGAUAAAUUAAGUAAUACAACAUGACUCAUACCUAUUUUUCCUUUGAUUUUAUUUUCAAAUAAUAAAAAAAUAAGUUGACAAGACCUAUUUUGCCUUAAAUUUUAUUUUCGAAUACUAAAAGAAAAUUGACAUGAACUAUUUUUCCUUAAAUUUUAUUUUUGAAUAGUAAAAAAUAAUUUGACAUGAACUAUUUUUCCUUAAAUUUAUUUUCAAAUAGUAAAAAACAAGUUGAUACUAUACAUAAUAACCUAUCCUAUUUAUUAUGGUCAAUUCCAAAAUGAGUAAUAUGACAUCACUCAUGAUAAAUUAGGUGAUACAACACGAUAUGACCUAUUUUUUCUUAGAUUUUAUUUUCAAAUAGUAAAAAAACAAGUUGAUACAACCUAUUUUUCCAUAAAUUUUAUUUUUUGAACACUUAAAAACAAGUUAACAUGACUUAUUUUUCCUAAAAUUUAUUUUUGAAUAGUAAAAAACAAGUUGAUAUCAUAAUUACCUAUCCUAUUUAUUAUGGUCAAUUCCAAAUUGAGUGAUAUGAUAUACCCAUGAUAAAUUGGGUGAGACCACCUAUUUUUCCUUAGAUUUUAUUCUCAAACAAUAAAAUAAAAUAAAAAGUUGACAAGACCUAUUUUUCCUUAGAUUUUAUUUUUGAAUAGGAAAAAUAUAAGUUGACAUGACCUAUUUUUCCAUAGAUUUUAUUUUUGAAUAGUAAAAGAAAGUUGACACCACCUAGUUUUCCUUUAAAAAAAAAUGAACAAUAAAAAGCAAGUUGACACAACCUAUUUUUUCCUUAAAUUUUAUUUUCAAAUAGUAAAAACAAGCAGACACCACCUACAAGUUGACAUGAUUUAUAUUUCCUUAUAUUUUAUUUUCAAAGAGUAAAUCCAAGUUGACAUGAUCUAUUUUUCCUUAAAUUUUAUUUUUGAACAGUUUGCAAGGACUACCCUCUCCUACCUGUCUUAGAAUCUCAAGCCUUCAAAAGAAGUUAGAGAUCUAUGACUGCCCCAAGCUCCAAUCUAUAUCCUUGACAGAAGAGCAAUUGCCCCCCAACCUUUCUGUUCUAACAAUCCAGAAGUGCCCAUUGUUGAGAGGUCAGUGCAAAGUUUUGGACAAGGGAAGAUUGGCAUAAGAUAGCACACAUUCCACACAUUGUGAUCGAUGACCAAGUUUUGUAAUCAAGGUAGCAUUGCACCAAUUUUUAGUCAAGUAUUGGUUUUGUCCUGAAAGUAAUUUUCUCACGAAAACUUAUAUGCUUAAAUACCAAUUUUAAUUUGAACAAUUAUAAAUAGGAAAAAUAUGCUUUAAAUUUUCUAAUUAUUACAAUAUUUUCUUGCUUUCUUUCAAGUUAUCAAUAAUUCUUCACUCUUAUAAAUUGAUGCUUCAUAUCUUCGUAAGAAAUCUUCUUUUAAUCAAUAAUGUCUUAUUGAAUGCUUCAAAUUAUUAAGGAGCACAAUAUGCAUAUUGAACCAAAAUCCUUCAAGUUCAAGCUUUUAGGGAAAUUGGUAGUUCAAUAAGGUAUUAGAACUUGAUUUGCUAAGAGUCAUGAGUUCAAGCCACUUGCAAUAUGCAUGUUUGUUUCCCCUAUUUGUUUCUCAUCUCCCCCUUUGCAAUUCUUCAAUAUAUCUAUCCCCCAAUUUACAAUCCUUUAGUAUCUCUCUCCCCCAAUUUACAAUUCUAUGGUAUCUCUCCACAUGAGGGAGAGGGUUAAGGAGCAUGAUAUGCAUAUUGAACCCAAAUCCUCCAAACUUAAGCUUUUAGAAAAAUUGAUAGUUCUACCAAAAAGUCAAGCAAUUCUACAUGUCUGGUUUCAUAACUCGUGUUUCUUGUAUAACUUUAUGGACCUUGAAUUUGUAACUUGUGUUUCUUGAAUUCGUUUUCAUUGGCUAACUCACUGAAACCUCAUGGCAGUCCUUGGAUCCUAGUUUUCUCAACAAAUUCGAGUGGUCUAGCAUAUUUUUUUUAGCAUCCAAAGACCCAUGAUUGAUACACUUCUUGAGGAACUAGAGAAAGCUCAACUAUAUUGGAGACUGCAGUAUGCAACAUGUUCUAUGAUUCCAAUUAGUAAGACAUUUCAAUUCCUUUAUUUUAACUUUCUAAGCUACAAACUAAAAAGAUUUUCAAUCCCAUAUGCAUUAUUUUUAAGAUUCUUUGUGUUAAUAUCUUAGAUCUUCUCUAGAAUCAACAGGUAUGUACCUUAUGAUUCAUACUUUUCAUAAAGAAAAUUGUCAAAAAUUUAAUUUUCUUUUCUUUAACUUUUUCAUGUAGAAUCAAACAAGAAUUUUUUAUAUAGAUAAUUUUUACUAUGUUUUUUUUCCUUCUCUUUUUUCUUUAUGAUUUUUUUCCUUCAAAUUUUUAAGAAAUAAAAAAUUAUCUGACUUACAUUUAUAAAAUGUAGUCAUAUAGUAUAGUAUAAUGUUGUGUGGGCUAUGAGUUGAUAUGAUAUUCUUAAGGCCUUAGCUCAUGACCAAUAUGCAAGUUUAGUUUGAAUCAGAUUUUCUAAUGUACUAUAUCCUAGAUAGUCUUUUCUGAUGAUAAAAAUUCAAAUCUUUCUAGAAAUUUUAUUAUUUAAUGUGGAUGCGUAAACUUUGAUUUGCAACUUUGAAAAUUUAAGGCAAUUGUUGAAUAAAGGUGUGAUACGUUUGUUUUUUUAAUUAAAAAAUAGAUAAUAUAAAACUCUUAUAAUAAAAAAGAUUAAAUUUCUAAAAUCCAUAUCUAAUCCCCAGAUUCACAGUCGUCAAUCUAGAUUGACGUAACCAAUUGGCAUGCUAGAAUUUCACUCAUUUGGACACUUUUAUUAUUAAUUACGUACUAACAUGUUAAAGUCAAUGACAAUAAUCUAAUUUAGUCCACUCUUUUAUGCUAUUCUAAGAUUUCAUCCUCAUUCAUGGAGAAAGAAUAAAAAGGUGUUCCUUUUAACUUAACAAACCAAGAAUGACAAGCAUUUAGACAUUGUGCUCUCAAAAACACCAAGAUAUACCAAUCCAUUAAUGGUCUAAAAUCAACUUCACAAAUGACAAAUAUAAGCAACCAUAAAUCACUCAUUAUAAAAAAUGUUAAAAGAGAUAAAUCAAAAGUGAUUGUAGGUUUGUAAUGUUAGGUCCAACGGAGUAAAAAUUCUCAAGGUCUCAACUCAUGCCAAAUAUGCAAAUUUUGAUGGAAUUAAUUAGGAUGUCUCAACUUUUUCUUUUCCUUUUCUUAGGUUGGAUUUAUAUUGGUUGAUAGUGAUUCUAUUUAUCUAUUAAUAAAAAGUUUACUUUUUAAAUCUAAACUAAAAGUACAUUAUAUUUAUUAAUCUAUAGCAUUAUAAAAGUUUGAAAAAUCUUUAGGGUAACAAUAUCCAUAUUAUGUUCAUUCAUAUCUCAAAUAUUAAAGCUAUAUUAAAACUAUUAACAUUGUAAAUAUGAAUACUUAUUCUUAUAUAUUCUUAAAUAAGAUAUUGAUAGAUAGUGACUAAGUAUAUCCCGAACAAAUACUAUAAUAAUGUGUAAAAUAAAUAUAACAUGUGUUUAUUUUAUAGAAAAGUAUGAUUUAUAUAUAAUUUCACAUAUUUUAUAGGAUAUUUCUUUUCUAAAAAUGAGCUAUCUCCUGCUGAAACAUCAAUACCAAUUCUGGAAAGGGGAAGAUUGGCAGCAUAUAGCUCACAUUCCACGCAUUGUGGUGGACGAUCAACAAGGUUCUUAUAAUGUGCUAUAAAUGAUUUUUCUUCAAAAGGCAGUAAGUUGUGAUCGAAACUUUCUAGUCAUAUUGUUUUCUUCCAGCUUAGUACAUGCUUUUUCACUCUGGGGUUUAAUCCUUUGGCAAUACUUUCUAUUAUCAUGAUUGCCUCUAAUUAACCAUAAACUUAACUAUUUUUUAUAUCGGCUGUAUCCAAUCUACUCGUAUCACAGCUCUAUAAAUUUUCUUCCCUGCUACUUUGCGUAAGGUUAUGUUUGAUUUCUCGGAAAGUACUAAGAAAAGGAAAAAAAAAAAUGCUAAAAAUCGGAGGCUUACUAUCACAAACAAUCAGAGGCUUACUCCAAUCAAUUAAUGAGGGCAAACUAAUGAUACAUGAAUGAGUUUCUUCUAACUCAACAACUUAAGUUUAGGUAAAUUUCAGGCUCUAAUAGGCAUCUCCACUUUAGUCACAGCUUGUUUGGUAGCCUCUCCUAGUACUCAAAGAUAGACUCAUAAAGGAAGAAAAAAGAACUCAACCUCAUAAAUGAGAAGUAAGAAUUGAAAAAUCCAGGGAAACAAGCAAGCUAGAGCAGCAAGAGAAGAAUGGAGGCUAUCAAGAGGACUGUCCGGUCCUAUGCUGAGGAAAGAACAAAACUUGGACAACAUGCUUUGUGUUGCAGUUAAUACGGCAUAUACCCUUUGGGCUUGGACAACACUAAUUCUGGUCGGAAUAGGCAGGCCUAGGUUGGUGGGAAGGGUCUUGUCUCAGUGGAAGGGCCAAUGCUAGCAAGCCUGGCCCGAAGCUUGUUUUUCCUUUCUUGUUUUUUUGUCUCGGUCGGAAGCUUCUCUUUUUUAAGAAUGGGUUCCACAAUUGACACUGCCUAUCCGCUAGGUGUGCUGAAUGGUCAGCCGGCCUUAUCAGGAAUCUUGCAUAUUAUACUCUAAUUGUCGCAACUUGAAUAAAGUGACAACCCCAAAGGUCUUAUCCUUUCAAUAUUUUACAUAUUGUUUUCUUCCAGCUUAGCAUUACUUUCUAUUAUCAUGACUGCCUCUAAUUAACCAUAAACUAGCUAUUUUUUAUAUCGGCUUUUCCAGUAGUUGUGCUAAAUGGUCAGCCGGCCUUCAGGAAUCUUGGAUAUUAUACUCUAAUUGUCGCAACUUGAAUAAAGUGACAACCCCAAAGUUCUUAUCCUUUCAAUAUUUUACAUAUCAGAUAGGUGAUUUUGUUAAUAUAUAUAUAUAUAUAUAUAUAUAUUAUUAUUAAGAAUGGGUUCCACAAUUAACACUGCCUAUCCACUAGGUGUGCAUCUUAUACUCUAAUUGUCGCAACUUGAAUAACGUGACAACCCCAAAGGUCUUAUCCUUUCAAUAUUUUACAUAUCAGAUAGGUGAUUUUGUUAAUAUAUAUAUUAUAGACUAUUGAAGGGCAGGUUUAAUCCCUACCACUCAUAUUUUGUUUUUGGCAGCCAAAUUGCAAGUCACAUGACUGAGAGUUCUUGCUCACUAGUUAAUAUUUUUUUCUUUACUGGCCCUUGUGUUUGGUUAAGAAUGGCGAAGUUGUGAUAGGUCCCAAUCAGUACAAGCACAACAAACACAAAGAAAGUAUUCUCUUUGGGUGAGAAUGAACCACAAAUUCAUUAACUUCUCCUCUCCCUUUUCCAUUCUCUUCUUUCCAAAGUUAUACAUCAAAGAAACAACUGAAAUGAAGCUAAUGGUGUCCGAGUCUGUAGGAGACUCAUUCACCCACUACCCAUGACUUGCAGUCGUGCUAAUAACUGCCCUAAAACAAAAGUAAACCAGCAAAUACAAUAAAAGGAAAUGAUGCUGAAGUAGGAAAAAUGGGCUUGGCUUCUGAACAUGGACAUCAGUCCAUAUAGCGUGAGUUGGGCCUCAGGGUCCGACAGGAUCUUCUAGGCUUAUCAUUGCCCACCCCAUGAAGAGGAUGCUUGUCCUCAAGCAUCAGAUGAGGAAACUGGUGGCAAAGAGUAUCCGUGGACUCCCAGGUGACUUCUUCGUGGGGUAGAUGCUUCCAAUGCACCAAGCUUUCUUCCAUGAAGGUGUCACCCCGCUUAAUCCAUCGUGUAUCAAGUAUCUGUUGAGGUUCAAGGGUUAUGACACCAUUAUCUGCAAGUGGAGGUAAGUCAAGUGGAGUGACAGCUGGAGUGCCAUUGUAUGGUUUAAGCAAAGAGACAUGGAACAUGGGGUGAAUUCGAGCUAUAGGUGGCAAUUGCAGGCGGUAUGCUACUGCUCCGAUUUUCUCCAAAAUAGGAUAGGGUCCAUAGUAGCGGCUGGAUAAUUUUUGAUGAGCUCGUUUGAAGACUGUUUGCUGACGAUAUGGACGGAGCUUUAAUAGGACUUGAUCACCAACUGCGAACUGGAUAUCUCUUCUCUUGGAGUCGGCUUAUUGCUUCAUUCGGUUCAUGGAAAUCUCUAAAUUUGUCUUGAGUUGGUGGAGCAGCUCGUCACGAUGCAGGAGCGUUUGAUCCACUUCAUGAACUGGGGAAAGGCCCUCCGGAUAGGCUGGGAUAAGUGGUGGAAGGCGGCCAUAAAGAGCUUGGUAAGGUGUCAUUUUUGUUGAGGCGUGGUAGGUGGUAUUGUACCAAUACUCUGCCCAAGCGAGAUAAGUACUCCAUUUUCGCGGCCAUUGGUGAACGAAGCAGCGCAAAUAUUGUUCAACACAGCGGUUAACAACUUCAGUUUGGCCGUCUGUUUGUGGAUGGUAAGCUGAACUGAGCAUGAUUUUGGAGCCGAAGAGUUUGAAGAAUUCUUGCCAGAAUUUGCUGAUGAAGAUUGGGUCGCGAUCACUGAUGAUGGAGCGUGGCAUUCCAUGGAGUUUGACAUUUCCCUCAAUAAAGUUUUCUGCAACAACUUUGGCCGUAAAUGGGUGAGUUAAGGGAAUAAAGUGGGCAAACUUACUGAGCCUAUCAAUGACCACCAGAAUUGUGUCUUUGCCAUGAGAAGUGGGCAACCUUUCAAUGAAGUCGAGAGUGAUGUCCUCCCAAACCUGUGCAGGAAUUGGUAAGGGCUGUAAUAAUCCCGCCGGUGCCUUGGUCUCUGGUUUAAUGCGUUGACAUACCUCACAUUUCUGGACAUACUCUUGAACAACUUUAUGCAUCUUUGGCCAAUAAAAUUGUUGCUGCAAUCUUCUAUAAGUUCGAAGGAUCCCCGAGUGCCCUCCAACUUUAGAAUCGUGAACUUCAUACAACAAUUUAGCCCUUAAAGAGUGAUCAGCAGGCACCACAACCUUCCCUUUGUAAAGCAGCAAACCAUCACGCCAAGUCAAGUUGCCAUGAGGAGGAUCACCCGCCUUUUUUCCCAAAAGCUGCACAUAGGAAUCUGAUUUAGAGGCCUCGCGGAUCUGCUUCCAAAUAUCCACCUCCGAAAAAUGAAGAGCAGCCAAUAAUGGGCUUUCUUGCCGCCUAGAUAAAGCAUCUGUAGCAGAGUUUUCACGACCCGGUCGAAAGAUGAUUUCAUAAUCGUACCCCAGUAAUUUGGCCACCCAUUUUUGCUGCUCCGGAGUUGCAACACGCUGAUCUAAGAAAAAUUUGAGGCUUCGUUGAUCGGUUUUGAUGUAGAAUUUGCGGCCAAGUAAAUAUGGUCUCCACAUCCGUAUUGCUUCCACGAUGGCUAGCAUUUCCUUUGCAUAGAUUGACCAAGUUUGCUUAGUGAUUCCCAAGGCUCGGCUCAUAUAGGCAAUUGGUCUAUUUUGUUGAGUUAGAACAGCGCCAAUUUCGUUUCCCGAUGCAUCCGUUUCAAUGUGAAAGGUUCGGAAAAGUUUGGCAUGGCUAGUGUGGGGAUGGAUGUCAUGGCUUGUUUCAAAGCUAAGAAAGUCGCUUCCGUUUCGUCAUUCCAUUGAAAAUUCCCUUUUUUGAGGAGGUUAGUUAAUGGUCGAGCUAUUAAUCCAUACCCUUGAACAAACUUGCGGUAGUAGCCGGUGAGGCCUAAGAAUCCAUGGAGCUCGGUAAUGUUGGAGGGUCUUGGCCAAGCAACCAUUGCUUCAAUUUUCUUUUCAUCAACUUUGACUCCACGAUGUGUAAUUAUGUGGCCCAAAUACUCUAGCUCUUGUUUGCCGAAUGCACAUUUGCUCAUCUUGACGUAGAAUUGGUGUUGCCGAAGGACGGCUAAUGUAAGUUGGACAUGCUCCAAGUGCUGCUCCCAUGUCGGACUGUAAAUUAAAAUGUCAUCAAAAAACACCAAGAUGAACUUCCGCAAAUACGGUCGAAAAAUCGAGUUCAUUAUUGCUUGGAAUGUAGAUGGUGCGUUGCAUAGCCCAAAUGGCAUAACCAAGUACUCAUAGUGGCCAUUGUGAGUGCGGAAAGCAGUUUUAGGAAUAUCAGGGGUGCUAACUCGUAUUUGGUGGUAUCCUGCCUUGAGAUCCAGCUUAGUAAAAAAUGCAGCUCCGUGUAACUCAUCAAGCAUAUCAUCUACUGUUGGAAUUGGGAAACGAUCCUUUACGGUGGCAGCGUUUAAUGCUCGGUAGUCUGUGCAGAAUCGCCAUGUGCCAUCUUUUUUCUUCACUAGCAGUACUGGAGAAGAAAAGGGGCUAGUGCUUGGUCGAAUCAACCCUGCAUUGAGCAUGUCUCGAACCUGAUUUUCAAUCUCAGUUUUUUGGAAAUAUGCGUACCUAUAUGGCCUCACAUUAAUAGCUUCGGUUCCGUCUUUGAGUGGUAUUUUGUGAUCAAUUUCGCGUGUUGGUGGUAACUUGGUAGGCGCAGCAAAGACAUCUGAAUAUUCCUCCAGCAAUGCCUGCAUAUCUGAUGAGAGUUCCUCAUUGUUCUGUUGUCCUUCGAGCUGAACAUAUAAAGCAAACACAGCUUGUCGUUGUCGAAAGUCCUUAGUGAAGCCCUGCAAUGUGGUGUCUUGGAUCGGUGGAAUUUCAAUUCCCUGGAGUUUCUUAGGCUGUUGCUCCCAGAUGAAGUCCAUGGUUCGCUUUUUCCAAUCACAAACCACUGAACCCAACGUCUCUAACCACUGAAUGCCUAGCACCAUAUCCAAACCAUUUAAGGGCACAGAAAAGAAGUCGAGGUGGAACUCAUUACCUUGUAAAUUAACCGUGAGCUUCUCAUAUUUCCCUUUACAAGAUAAUCUUUCCCCAUUGGCAACUCGGACAGUAAACGGUGUUGUGGGCUUCACGGGCAAACGAAGCGUUUCGGCUACUCGGUCACUGAUGAAAUUAUGAGUGGAUCCACUAUCGAUUAAGGCAACCACCUCAUGCGCUCCAAUAAUUGCCUUAAUUCGCAUUGUUCUCGGUACAAUCCAUCCAGUUAGUGCAUGUAGAGUGAUCUCGGGCUCCUUUCCGUUGUCAUCUUCCUGAAUCUCGGAUAUUUCCCUUGUCGUGUUUACCCCUCCCAUUUCCUCUGGUGUUUCAUCUUCCUGUAUACAGCCCUCUAGGAGCAUCAACUGUGGUGCUUGACACUUGUGUCCAGGGGUGAACCUUUCAUUGCAGUUGAAACAUAAUCCUUGAGCUCUACGUUUCUGCAUCUCAUCCCAUGACAGCCUUUUGAUUGCCACUUGUGUGGAACCCUUGGGAGGAUUGGGGUUACUUACAGGAACAGAAGCUUGUAAGGCACUCGGCCGUGCGAAUCGCCUCUGUCUCGCAAGCUGAUCGUCCCUCAUUUUCGCCAAGCUAAUUGUCUCUUUCACAGAUUGAGGCUUGAACAUUCUUAUUCCAUCAGCUACCUCUGGUUUCAAGCCUCCCAUGAACGUACCCACAAGAGCCUUUUGGGUCCAUCCACGAACUCGAUUCCCAAGCCGUUCAAAUUCCCGUUGAUAGUCUCGCAAUGUUCCCGUCUGUCUCACUCAGGAUAGCGCUUCGUCGAAGUCUUCAGAAUCAGGGGGUCCAAAACGAGCCCUUACUUCAUCUUCGAAGGCUUCCCACGGGAUACUCCCCUGUCCUUCAGCGAAUGCCUUUCGGAACCACUGCCACCAUUGAUUCGCCUCGCCUUUGAGGUGGAACGAAGCUAGACGCACCUUUUGAUCAGCGGCUAUCUCUUGAAACUCGAAGAACUGGUCCACACGAUUGAGCCAUUCCGUUGGGUCAUCUCCAGAAAAUCUUGGAAAUUCCAACUUUGCAAUCUUGGAAGAAAAUGGCCGGAUGUUUUCGCCGGUAUCUCGGUUGGUUCGGUGGGGUCCUUCUUGCUGAUAAUUAUUAUGGCUAGGUGAUCCUCUGCUUGAGAGGAAUGCUUCAGAUAGUUGUUUUGCAAUAGUUUCUUCUAGUCGUUGGAUCUUGUCGGUGAUUCCCACCUCCAUUCGCUGCAUUCCUUCUUGAACUCCUCCAAGCUUCUCCUCUAGAAGCUCGAUCCGUUCCUUGUUUGUCGUCAUGAACCUGCUCUGAUACCAAUGAUAGGUCCCAAUCAGUACAAGCACAACAAACACAAAGAAAGUAUUCUCUUUGGGUGAGAAUGAACCACAAAUUCAUUAACUUCUCCUCUCCCUUUUCCAUUCUCUUCUUUCCAAAGUUAUACAUCAAAGAAACAACUGAAAUGAAGCUAAUGGUGUCCGAGUCUGUAGGAGACUCAUUCACCCACUACCCAUGACUUGCAGUCGUGCUAUUAACUGCCCUAAAACAAAAGUAAACCAGCAAAUACAAUAAAAGGAAAUGAUGCUGAAGUAGGAAAAAUGGGCUUGGCUUCUGAACAUGGACAUCAGUCCAUAUAGCGUGAGUUGGGCCUCGGGGUCCGACAGGAUCUUCUGGGCUUAUCAAGUUGCAGUGCGUUUCAUAUCAUAAACCGAAAUUCCACAGUUUGGUUUGCAUCUGCUUAAGUAUUUGUUUGCCAUAUGUUCAAUAAUGUGGACAUACCUGUAGGGUAGGGUAGGGUAGGUGGAAAAUAUUCUUCUUUGUUUAUGUGGACAUUUGGACCAUUAGUAGAGUAACUGACAGGCCAUGUUCAUCUGCCUCUUUAUUGUAUCCAAGGGCCUCCCUAUUUGGUGACAAGGUUCUUCGUUGUUGACCAAAACUACUCUGCUUGAUUUGCAUCUGCUUUCAUUCAUUUUUCUUUGAUCCUGUAUUCACUUCCCUUGCAAACCAACAGACAUGGUCGGGGCUAUAGUAGGAGGAGCAUUUCUCUCCGCUUCUAUCCAAGUUCUACUUGACAGGUUGGCUUCUCGCAAUGUCCUCACCUUCCUCCGGGGACAGAAACUCAGUGCUACGCUCCUAAGGAAGUUGAAGAUAAAAUUGGUGGCAGUUCAGGCAGUGCUCGAUGACGCUGAGGCCAAGCAAUUCACAAAAUCAGCUGUAAAAGAUUGGAUGGAUGACCUGAAAGAUGCUGUGUAUGAUGCAGAGGACCUGUUGGAUGAGAUAACCACUGAAGCUCUACGCUGCAAAAUGGAGUCUGAUGCUCAAACCAGCGCAACUCAGGUACGUGACAUCACCUCUGCCUCGCUUAAUCCGUUUGGUGAGGGAAUCGAGUCCAGGGUAGAGGAGAUCACUGACAAACUAGAAUUUCUUGCACAAGAAAAAGAUGUUCUGGGAUUGAAAGAAGGCGUUGGAGAAAAAUUGUCACAAAGAUGGCCCGCGACUUCCUUGGUAGAUGAGUCUGGGGAGGUGUACGGAAGGGAAGGUAAUAUACAGGAGAUAGUUGAAUAUUUAUUGUCCCAUAAUGCAAGUGGGAAUAAGAUAAGUGUGAUCGCCCUGGUGGGUAUGGGCGGUAUUGGAAAGACCACACUUACUCAACUGGUCUAUAAUGAUAGGAGGGUGGUGGAAUGUUUUGACCUUAAAGCUUGGGUUUGUGUUUCCGAUGAAUUUGAUCUUGUCAGGAUAACGAAAACCAUUCUUAAGGCAAUCGAUUCUGGGGCUUCUGAAAAAUAUUCUGAUGAUAGUGAUUUGAAUCUGCUUCAACUUAAAGUGAAGGAGAGACUUAGUAAGAAGAAAUUCUUACUUGUCCUUGAUGAUGUUUGGAAUGAAAACUAUACUAAUUGGCAUAUGCUACAAACUCCAUUGACGGUUGGUCUAAAUGGAAGUAAGAUUAUUGUGACUACACGUAGUGAUAAGGUUGCAUCGAUCAUGCGUUCAGUUCGUAUUCAUCAUUUGGGACAGUUAUCCUUUGAGGACUGCUGGUCGCUAUUUGCAAAACAUGCAUUUGAAAAUGGAGAUUCUAGUCUACAUUCAGAACUAGAAGAAAUUGGCAAAGGGAUUGUAAAGAAGUGUAAAGGAUUGCCUUUGGCUGCAAAGACCCUAGGGGGUUCCUUAUACUCAGAGUUACGAGUAAAAGAAUGGGAAAAUGUGUUGAAUAGCGAAAUGUGGGAUUUACCGAAUGAUGAAAUUCUCCCCUCCUUAAGGUUAAGCUAUUCUUUUCUUCCUUCACAUUUAAAGCGGUGUUUUGGAUAUUGCUCAAUUUUUCCUAAGGACUACGAAUUUGAAAAGGAAAAUUUGAUUCUAUUAUGGAUAGCAGAAGGUUUUUUGCAACAAUCUGAAGGCAAGAAAACAAUGGAAGAGGUAGGUGAUGGGUACUUUUAUGACCUAUUAUCAAGGUCAUUUUUUCAGAAGUCUAGUACCCAGAAAUCAUAUUUUGUAAUGCAUGAUCUCAUCAAUGACUUGGCUCAGCUUGUUUCCGGAAAAUUUUGUGUUCAAUUGAAGGAUGGUAAGAUGAAUGAAAUUCUUGAAAAGCUUCGACACUUAUCAUAUUUUAGAAGUGAAUAUGACCACUUUGAGAGAUUUGAGACCCUUAAUGAAGUUAAUUGUCUGCGGACCUUCUUGCCAUUGAAUUUGAGGACUUGGCCUCGGUUUGACAAGGUUUCAAAGAAUAGAAAUCUAAAUGCUACUAAGUAUAUUGUAGAUUUUCAGUUGAGUAAUAGAGUUUGGACUGGUUUAUUAUUGAAAGUUCAAUAUUUACGAGUAUUAUCAUUGUGCUACUAUAAGAUAACGGAUUUGUCUGAUUCAAUUGGUAAUUUGAAACAUUUGCGCUAUUUGGACCUUACCUACACACUUAUCAAAAGGUUACCGGAGUCGGUUUGUAGUUUGUAUAACUUACAAACAUUGAUAUUAUACCGUUGUAAAUUUCUGGUUGAAUUGCCUAAAAUGAUGUGCAAAAUGAUUAGCUUACGUCAUCUUGAUAUCAGGCAUAGCAAAGUGAAAGAGAUGCCAAGUCACAUGGGUCAAUUAAAAAGUUUACAAAAAUUGAGUAACUAUAUAGUGGGCAAGCAAAGUGGGACAAGGGUUGGAGAGUUGCGGAAGCUUUCCCACAUUGGUGGGAGUCUUGUCAUUCAAGAGCUGCAGAAUGUGGUUGAUGCUAAGGAUGCCUCAGAAGCCAAUUUGGUAGGCAAGCAAAAUCUGGAUGAGUUAGAGUUGGAAUGGCAUUGUGGCAGUAAUGUUGAACAAAAUGGAGAAGACAUAGUGCUCAACAACUUACAACCUCAUUCAAACUUAAAGAGACUCACUAUUCAUGGUUAUGGUGGUUCAAGAUUUCCAGAUUGGUUAGGUCCUUCAAUUCUGAAUAUGUUGUCGCUACGUCUCUGGAAUUGUAAGAAUGUGUCAACCUUUCCACCGCUUGGGCAGCUACCCUCUCUUAAACAUUUAUAUAUAUUGGGGUUGAGGGAGAUAGAAAGGGUGGGAGUUGAGUUUUAUGGCACUGAGCCCUCCUUUGUAUCCCUAAAAGCUCUAUCAUUUCAGGGUAUGCCAAAAUGGAAGAAAUGGUUGUGCAUGGGAGGCCAAGGUGGAGAAUUCCCCCGUCUCAAGAAGCUUUAUAUAGAGGAUUGUCCCCGGCUAAUUGGGGACUUCCCAACCCAUCUGCCUUUCUUGAUGACAGUACGGAUUGAAGAAUGUGAGCAGCUUGUGGCUCCACUUCCAAGGGUUCCAGCCAUCCGUCAAUUGACGACGCGCAGCUGUGACAUCUCACAGUGGAAGGAACUACCACCACUACUGCAGUAUCUCUCAAUUCAAAAUUCCGACUCUUUGGAGUCCCUACUAGAGGAGGGAAUGUUGCAAAGUAAUACUUGUCUUCGAAAGUUGAGAAUCAGAAAAUGUUCUUUUUCGAGACCGUUGUGCAGAGUUUGUUUGCCUUUUACAUUGAAAUCAUUAUCUAUAGAGGAGUGUAAGAAACUAGAGUUUCUCCUACCUAAGUUCUUAAAAUGUCACCACCCUUCCCUUGCCUAUUUUGGGAUCUUCAGUAGUACUUGCAAUUCUCUCUCAUCCUUCCCGCUCGGCAACUUCCCAAGUUUAACUUACCUCAGUAUCUGCGAUCUCAAGGGGCUUGAAUCCCUCUCCAUUUCAAUUUCAGAGGGCGAUGUUACAUCUUUUCAUGCGUUGAACAUCAGAAGGUGCCCUAACCUUGUGUCUAUUGAAUUGCCAGCUCUCGAGUUCUCACGAUAUUCCAUCCUCAAUUGCAAGAAUCUCAAGUGGCUGCUGCACAACGCUACAUGCUUUCAGUCAUUAACAAUAGAAGGUUGUCCUGAAUUGAUAUUCCCAAUACAAGGUCUGCAAGGGCUGUCCUCUCUUACCUCUCUCAAAAUCUCAGAUCUUCCAAAUCUCAUGUCCCUUGACAGUUUGGAGCUUCAACUGCUCACCUCUCUUGAAAAAUUAGAGAUCUGUGACUGCCCCAAGCUCCAAUUCUUGACAGAAGAGCAGCUGGCCACCAACCUUUCUGUUCUAACAAUCCAGAACUGCCCAUUGCUGAAAGAUCGGUGCAAGUUUUGGACAGGGGAAGAUUGGCAUCAUAUAGCUCACAUUCCACACAUUGUGAUCGAUGACCAAGUUUUGUAAUGAAAGUGGCAUUACACCAAUUUAUAGUCAGGUACUUGUUCUGUCCUAGAAAUGAUUGUCUCAGGAAAACUAACAUACUUAAAUACCAAUUUUGAUUUGAUCCAUUAUAAAUAGGAAAAAUAUGCUUUAAAUUUUCUAAUUAUUAAAACAAUUUUUUGCUUUCUUUCAGGUCAUCUGUGAUGCUUCACUCUGGCUCUGAUCAACGUAUCUUCAUAAGGAAUCUUUUAAGACUCCCUUCCUUAAUUAGUGCCUUGUCAAAUGCUUCAGAUUUCAUUUAGAGUGAAUUGAUGCUUAAAAGCCAAGCAGCUCUGCAGGUCUGAUUUUGUAAAUUGUGUUUCUUGUAUAAUUUUAUGGACCUUGGAUUUGUUUUCAGUGGCUAAUUUGCUGAAAUCUGAUGGCAGGCCUUUGAUCCUUGUUCCCUCAACAAACUCUAGCUGUCUAGCAAUGAUUUCCAAAGGGACCAUUUUUUUGUUGAGUGUUCUGGUUCAUGACUCUCUUUUUGGACAACAGUAGCCGAGAUUUUUUGCACCCAAAGAAUCAUGAGUUGAUACUCUGCUGGAGGAACUACAGAAGCUCAGGUCUGUUGGAGAGUGGAGCAUGCAGCAGGCUCUAUGAUUCCAAUUAGUGAGACAUUUCAAUUGCUUUGGUUUAACUUUCUAAGCUACAAAUUACAAUACUUAUAAUCUCAUAUGCAUUAUUUUUCAGGUUCUUUGAGGUUGCAUCUGUGUUGAUAUCUUAGUUCUUCUCUAAAAACAACAGGUCUGUUUCUUUUGAUUCAUACUUUUCAUAAGCUGACACAUUGUGGAGUUCCAUCAUUUUCAACACCAGAUAAACCUAAUACUAAAUUCUACUGAAGCUAAAACAAAAAUCUUACUGCCUGAGGUUCUGUCUUUCAUGCAUUUUAUUCACUAUGUUCAUAUGGCAUCUAAGCAACCUAGACAUUAACAUUUUCCUUAGUCUACAUACUGUUUUCAUCUCUUUCAUCUUUGAUUAAUCUGCAGAUGUUCAGUUCAGGCACCUCAAACUCAAAAUCUUCAGCUUCUGUCAUGCCAUCUCCUUCUCAUUUACAUGAUUGUCAUCCACCUUUGAGCUUUACUUUGUUAAUGGUAAGAUAGUCAUAAUAGUACUACAAUAGUUGAGCAUGGAUGGAGAACAAUGCAUGCUUUCAGUCUUUAACAUUACAUGGUUGUCCUGAAUUGAUAUUCCCAAUGCAGGGUCUUCCCUCCAACCUAAAUUCACUUACAAUGACAAACUGCAACAAACUUACAUCCCACAUGGACUGGCCUGCAAGGGCUGGCCUCUCUUAGCUCUCUCAAAAUCUCAGGCAUUCCAAAUCUCAGGUCCCUGGACAGUUUGGGGCUUCAACUGCUCACCUCUCUCCAAAAAUUAGAGAUCUGUGACUGCCCCGAGCUCCAAUCCUUGACAGAAAAGCUGCUGCCCACCUCCCUUUCUUUUCUAACAAUCCAUAACUGCCCACUGCUGAAAGGUCAGUGCAAGUUUUGGACAAGGGAAGACUCGCAUCAUAUAGCACACAUUCCAAACAUUGUGAUUGAUGACCAAGUAAUGUAAUGAAGGUAGCAUUACACUAAUUUUUAGUCAAGUACUGGUUCUGUCCUUACAGUAAUUUUCUCAGGAAAACUGAUAUGCUUAAAUACCAAUUUUAAUUUGAUCCAUCAUAAAUGGGAAAAAUUUGCUUUAAAUUUUCUAAUUAUUAUAAUAAUUUCUUGCUUCUUUCAGGUUAUCAGUAAUUCUUCUCUCUUGUAAAUUGAUGCUUCAUAUCUUCACAAGGAAUCUUCUUUUAAUAAAUAAUGCCUUGUCAAAUGCUUCAGUUCAGAUUUCAUCUAGCAAUUGAUGCUUAAAAGCCAAGCAGCUGUGCAGGUCUGAUUUCGUAACUUGCGUUUCUUGUAUAAUUUUAUGGACCUUGAAUUCGUUUUCAUUGGCUAAUUCACUGAAACUCAUGGAAGGCCUCUGAUCCUAGUUUUAUUAAUAAAUUUGAGCUGUCUAGCAACAAUCCUUCCAAUGGGACCUUUUUUUAUUGAGUUCAAAGACUCUUUCUGGAAGAUUGUAGCAGAUAUUUUUUAGCAUCCAAAGACUCAUGAUUGAUACUAGGCUUGAGGAACUGAGAGAGCUCAACUCUGUUAGAGAGUGGGGCAUGCAGCAUGCUCUAUGAUUCCCUUAGUAAGAUAUUUUAAUUGCUUUUGUUUGACUUUCUAAGCUACAAAUUACAAGGAUUUAUAAUUCCAUGUGCCUUAUUUUUUAGGUUCUCUGUGUUAAUAUUCUAGUUCUUCUCUAGAAAAAAACAGGUAUGUUUCUUCUGUGUUAAUACUUUUCAUAAGAUGACACAUUGUGGAGUUCCAUCAUAUGCAUGACAAGAUAAACCCAAUUCUAAAAUCAACUCAGGCUAAAACAAAAUAUCUUACUAACUGAAGUUCUCUCCUUAAUAAUUCUAUUCACCAUGUCCAUAUGGCAUCUUAGCGCCGUAAAUGUUAACAUUUUCCUUAGUGUAAUCAUUGUUUUAGCUUCAAUUAAUUUGCAGAUGUCCAGUUUAGACACCUCAAACUCAAAAUCUUCUGCUUGUGACAGGCCACCACUUCCUAGUCUUUGCUCAUUUCCUUCCCAUUUAAUUAUUGUCAUCAACCUCUGAUUUUUUUAUGUCGUUAAUAGUAAAAGAAUCAUAAUUGUACUACAUUAGUUGAGCGUGGAUGCUACAAUUUAAUUUCCAUAUUCAAGUUUUUCUUAUACUUACAAAUGAUAAUGUGAGCUCUAGAUUUUCUUCUUUCAAAUUUGUGAUUAUGAGGAAGAUACUUGGAGUAGAGAGGAGCCAAACCAUAUUCAAAGUCACAGCACUGCAGAAUAUGGUUUUGUUCCACCAAGUUCAGGUCAGUUGGGUGGAAUCUUAUUAAUACUUCAAGGACACAUUUUCCAAACUUGAUGACUGCCUCUAACCUGAACUAAGUAUUUUUUUUACCAGCUUUGUGUUAAGAAAUUGUGAACGUGUUGGAUCUGCUCAUACAACCUCCCUCCAUGAUGAAUUUUAACUACUCAAUACUUGAAGGAUGGCUACUCAACUGAAUUCUAUUUAUUGGAGCACGAUUUGAGCUUUUCUUCCUUACCCAGGUAUAGUGCUAUAAAAUUUUCAGUCUAAAGAGUAUUUAUAACCCCAUAUGAAUUUUAAUGUCAGAUUCAGUUGAUUAGCAUGUGACCAUUAUUAUUUUCAGAUGGUAGCAUUUUGAAUCAUUGGAACAAUUGCAGGAGGAAGCUUUGCCAAAGCCUCCCUAUGCAAUACAUGGGCCUUUGGUUGCAAGUGAGAUUCGAGGAUUCUAUUUUCUCUUGGAAGACUUCAACUCAUUUUUUUUGAGUUUUGAACUUUGAGCUUUUACUUCCAAGCAUGUGCAAAGAAGAAAGAGAGCAACAACAAAGGUCCGCUUAUAGAAGUUUUAUAUGGAGUGAGACUCCCAUGAAAAAUAUUGUAGCUAUUGGUUUGUCAACCUUGAAGGUUAUAGUUCUGUUUCCCAUUGGAUCUUUAAGGAGUGCGUCUGUUGAAUCAUAUAUUUUGAACUUACUACUGACUUUGUGUAUAUACACACAUGUAAAUGAUGUUUUCUUCUUCAUUCAUGUGGAAUUUGAUUCUCUAGUGCAUGUUGAAAAGUUAUAAGUUUGUUCCAGGGUUUUACUUGAAGUGAGGUUAGAUAUGCCCUUUUUUUGCAUUUUGGUGUAUAAAAGAGUUUACAUCAUAGGCAAAUCACUUCCAAUCCAACUUCUUUUUAACAUUUUUGAUUCCUUUUAUCCUCCUCAAGGUGACUUAGGUGCAAAUUGGGCUUUUGGGUUAAUUUAAUAGUUUCACAUUUCUGAGUCCUUGUUUUCAAGAUUUUAAGGAGCAUUAGGUGGCUCAUGAUGAAUGCAAUUGGAUGGAUUCAGCUUCCUCAAGAUGUUUGAACAUAUACCCAAGUGAAACUCUCAAACAAGUUUUGACAUUAUUUUUGGAUAAUUAAUCAAAAUAAUAAUUUUUGAAAGAAAUAUCUAUCAAUUUUAGUCCAAUAAUUAUUUUGACUAACUAUUAAAAGUGAUUUUUAGGAUUUUAUAGAGUAAUAAGUUUUAAAAAGAAGGCAGUUUUAAAAUUUAAAAAGUGCCUUUAAGAGUCUACUUGGUAAUCUUUUAAAAAACAAUUCUCAGAUCAAUUUUAAAAAUAAGUCCAAUUAUUUUUAUAAUAAAAUAGUCUUGUUAGAAAUACUGAACAAUUGUAUUGUAUUUCAUAGGAGAAAGAAUAUACAUCAGUGCCUUUAUAUAGGAGGCAUAUGUGUGCGGUACAAGUAACCUAACUGGGCCUAAAGCCCAUAACAUAAUAUACCCAUAUAAUAUACCCAUAAUAUACAUUAACAGCCCCCCUCAAACUCAAGGUGGAUGUGAGACCAACUUGAGGUUGUCAAUUAAAUCACGAGUACGUCUUGUAGGAAGUGACUUGGUGAAGAUAUCUGCAAGCUGAUCUUUGAAGGAGACGAAGAAAAGCUUAAGAGCACCAUGGACAAGAUGAUAACGGAUAAAAUGACAAUCAAUCUCGAUGUGUUUAGUCCGUUCAUGAAAGACAUCAUUGUGAGCAAUAUGAAUGGCACUCUGGUUGUCACAAUAAAGGGGAGUAGCAGAGGAGGUGGACACACCCAAAUCCUUAAGAAGCCAUCUUAGCCAAAGGAGCUCAGAUGUGGUAUCAGCAAGGGCACGAUAUUCUGCUUCAGUACUGGAGCGGGCCACAAAAGUUUGUUUCUUACUUCUCCAAGAAAUCAAAGAAGAACCAAGAAGGAAGCAGUAACCUGUAGUGGACCUGCGAUCAGUAGGAUCUCCUGCCCAAUCAGCAUCAGAGAAUGCACGGAGUACAAGAGGAGAUUGAGCUGAGUAGAAAAGGCCAUGAAAAAUGGUACCCUUCAGGUAUCGAAGAAUGCGCAGAACAGCAGCAUAGUGAGUUGAUCGUGGAGCAGACAAAUACUGGCUCACCUGAUGAACAGCAUAGGAGAUGUCUGGACGAGUAACUGUGAGAUAAACUAAGCUGCCAACCAAUCGUCUGUAAAGAGAAGGAUUGGACAAUGGUUUCCCCCCGGAGGGUGUCAGAUGCGCAUUAAGUUCGAUUGGAGUGUCAACAUUCUUACUGUCAGUGAGUCCGACUUGAGACAGCAGAUCAGAAGCAUACUUGGCUUGAGUAAUAUAAAGACCAUAUGUGGAAUGAGUAAUUUCAAGACCCAGGAAAUAGCUGAGAUGUCCAAGAUCUUUCAUCUCAAACUGCUGACUGAGAAAAUCCUUGAGUUCUUGAAUGCCACUAAGGUCAUUACCAGUUAUGAUCAUAUCAUCCACAUGUAGAAGAAGCAAAAUAGUGCCUUUAUCAGUACGAUGAAGAAAUAAGGCAGAAUCAUACGGACUGGCAGUGUAACCCAAGCGAAAAAUAGUGGAGCUGAACUUGGCAAACCAAGCUCGUGGGGCUUGUUUAAGACCAUAAAGUGCACGUCGAAGAUGACAAACCUUGUUUGAUUCAACAAAGAGACUAGGAGGAGGUUGCAUAUAGACUGCUUCACUCAGAUCCCCAUUAAGGAAGGCAUUUUUAACAUCCAUCUGAAAAAGGUCCCAUUGACGAGCAGCAGCAACAGCUAAGAGAGCACGAACAGAUGAGAUACGAGCAACUGGAGCAAAAGUCUCUUCAUAAUCAAUCCCAUAUUCCUGUGUAAAGCCUUUGGCAACAAGACGAGCCUUGUAGCGCUCAACGGAUCCAUCAGAGCGAGUCUUGAUCUUAUAGAUCCACUUACAACCAACCACAGACUGUCCAGGAGGGAGAGGAACCAGGUCCCAAGUAUGGUUUUUGGUUAAUGCAUCAAGUUCCUCUUUCAUAGCAAUCUGCCAUAAAGGGUCAGUAGAGGCCUCACGAUAGGUUUGAGGCUCGUGAAGUGUAGCAAGGGCAGUGUAACAAUGAUAGUCAAGUAGGUGUGGAGGAAUGGAUCUUACCCGGGUUGAGUGGCGAGGUGGAAUGUCUUGUGGAGGAUCUUCAGGCAGAGUAGGAGCAGGGGACCCAGUCUCAAAGUGGGGUAGCUCGUCAUCAAUCUGUUCAUCUGCAACCUGUCUAGGAGAAGCAUCAAAAAUAUCUGGAGAGAAGUCCAAAGGAGGAUCAAAAGUAUUUGUAGAAGGAACAAGAGACUCAUCUGGAAAGAUUUCUAAAACAGAGGAGUUAGUCAAGGAAGAAUGAAAGUGAGAGAGUUCAACAAACAAUCGAUGUUCCCAAAAAACAACAUUAUGAGAAACACGAAGACGAUGAGAGACAGGAUCAUAACACCUAUACCCCUUUUGAGUUUCACCAUAACCAAGGAAACAACAGAGUCUAGAGCGAGGCUCAAGUUUGUUGUGCUCAUGAGACUGAAGAAGAACAAAACAAGCAGAUCCAAAUGAGCGAAGGUGAUGAUAGACAGGGGGUGACCCAAAGAGACGCUCAUACGGAGUCUGAUUAUGGAUGACAGCACUUGGAAUACGGUUAAUUGCAUGAACAGCAUGAAGAGCCGCUUCACCCCAAAAUGGGGCAGGAAUUUUGGCAGAAAGAAGCAGAGCACGAAUAGUGUCAAGAAUAUGACGAAGUUUUCUUUCGGCUCGACCAUUUUGCUGAGAGGUACCUGGACAAGUUAGAUGAUGUACAAUGCCAUAGGAAUGUAACAGAGCUUGAAACGCAUGUUGAGUAUAUUCAAGAGCAUUAUCAGAUCGAAAAGUUUUGAUACGUUUGGAGAAUUGUGUUUCAAUCAUUUUUGCAAAAUUGCUAUAUAUUGAUAAAAUUUCGGAACGAGAUUUCAUAGGGAAAAUCCAACUAUAACGAGAAUAAUCAUCAAUAAAAACAACAAAGUAUCGAGAUCCACCAAUACUAGCAACAGGAGAAGGUCCCCAAACAUCAGAAUGAAUUAACUCAAAAAUACUAUUAGAAAUGGAUUCACUGUUAUUAAAAGGCAAAGCUGGCUGUUUUCCUAACUGACAAGAAGUACAAUAAAAAAUGUCUUUAGACACAGAACCCAACAGACCCCUAGACACUAACUGUUGUACCCGAGAAGAUGAUGCAUGACCAAGACAAAAAUGCCAAAGUGCAAGAGAAGGUAAGGAAGAAACUGCAGCAGCUGCAGUAGCAAUAGAAACAGAAGCAACAGGUGGAAGAUGAAGAUUGCUCACGGGAAACAUACACCCAACUCUAGGACCGGUCCCAAGCUCCUGCCCCGUCCUUGGAUCCUGCACAAUACACCCAGAAUAGUCAAAAAUAAGGCGAUGACCUAGUUCAGCUAAUUGUCCCACAGAGCACAAAUUAUAGGAUAGGUCAGGAACAUGGAAGACUCCAGGAACAGAAAGAUUAGAGGUUGAAACAAAACCUAGACUAUUCCCAUGCAUGGUGGAACCAUCAGCUAUAUGAAUAUUUAGAGGAUGUGGUGCAGGGUCAAGUUUGGAGAAUAGGGAUGAGUGAGGUGUCAUGUGAUUGCAGCAGGCAGAAUCAAAAAGCCAAGUUUGAGACUUACCAGGUAGAACAGAUAAGGUAGUGGAAAGAGAUGCAUUACUAGCCAUACGAACAGCCUGAGCUAUGAUCUCCUGUAGUUCAGUGGAGGAGAGGUUGAUAGUAGAUCCAGAAGACUUGGACUCAACUGAGGUGGAAGCCAUUGGCGGAGUAGGCUCAAUAUUAGCAACAGCAGCAGUAGAUUUGUUACGACGGUAACAAGUCUCAAUGGUGUGGCCAGGACGCUUGCAAUAGUUGCAGAACUUUUUGUUGGUCUGCUUGCGACGAUUGCUAGAACCAUAAGAAUCACCUGAUUGCUGGGGUUGCUCUAUGAGUGGAGUAGAUGGAGUAAUAGCCAAAACAUUGAACUUAUUCUGGGCUUGAAGGGUUGCAAGACAAGCUUCUUCUCUAACCAACUCAUUUACAGCAGUAUCAAGAGAGGGAGUAGGACUGCGAUUGAGUAGCUGACCACGAAUGGGCUCAAAGUCCUUGUGAAGUGACAUCAAGAAUUCAUAGAGGCGAAAUUCAUCUCUAAUGGAAGCAUAUUGCUGAGCAUCUUUUGAGCAUGUCCAAGUUGGAUCAGAAAGGUCAAUUUGGUCCCAAAUAAAGCGAAGCUGAUCAUAAUAGUCAUUGAUGGAUUGCCUUGGUUCUUGCCUGAGUUGAUGUAAUUCAACCACUAAUUGAUAUUUUAGGGAUCCAUGAGUAGUGGAGUACCUUUUGGCCAACAUAUCCCAUGCAGAUUUUGCAUCAUCAAAGCUGCCCAUCAGAUUGGAAAUAGAGGGAAUGGAAGUGUUCCGAAUCCAUGUGAGGAUCAUGUGGUUAUGACUAUCUCAUUCAAUCAUGCGAUUAAGAAAAACAGCAUCUCCUUCACUUGCUCCCUUGACAGGAAUAGUCAUUACACCAGUACAAUAAUGCCAGAGCAUGCGACCCUUAAGAAAACUGCGCAUAGCUUGAGACCAAGAUAAGUAAUUUUUAUUUCCCUCCAAUACAGUAUUGAUGGGGCUAGAAAGAAAAAUAUCCUUUUUAUCCAUUUAGAGACACAAUAUGCAAAAACAGACUGCAAAAGUGAAAUCUACGCGAAAAACUGGGUAAGGAGAACCUGGUCAGCCCUGGAAAAGUCAACGGUCAACACUGGUAAAAGUCAACGGUCAACAUUGGUCCACGUGGGGGUCACGGUCAAAGUCAACGGUCAACGAUGGCAAAGUCAAUGGUCAAAGCGGGUCAACGGUCAACGCUGGUCAACGGAUGACGUGGAGAUGAUGUCAGCUAGGGCUAACGUGGCACUGACGCGUUAGUAGUUGUGACGUAGCUAGGGCUGACGUGGCAGAGAGAAUGACGUACGGGCUCCGAGGGCGACGAGGUUUCCACGAAUGUGUAGAUCGGCGUUGGACGAUCUCAGUGGUACCGUCAAAAUUGAAAUCGGAGCAAUAUUCGCAGCGGUGAUGCGAAAAACAGUGAUCUUGUGCGGUGUGAAACUCCUUAAGGACUGCAGGUCCGGAACCCAAGGACGACGCCUGGAUGACGUCAGAGGUUCAACGGCAAAAGGCUGUGACGACAGUUGUGAUUGGCAGAAGCGUUAAAAAGAAAGGAAGUCACACUAAUGAAGACAGACUGCUAAGAAAGGGUCAGAGCAGUGGCUCUGAUACCAUGUUAGAAAUACUGAACAAUUGUAUUGUAUUUCAUAGGAGAAAGAAUAUACAUCAGUGCCUUUAUAUAGGAGGCAUAUGUGUACGGUACAAGUAACCUAACUGGGCCUAAAGCCCAUAACAUAAUAUACCCAUAUAAUAUACCCAUAAUAUACAUUAACAAGUCUUCUUAAUUCAUAAAGGUCAAAAGUUCCUAUUUUCUAUAUUUUAUAUGGAUGCAAAGGACGCUCUAUACUAUUUUAAAAAUCUAUCCCCAGAAGUUAUUUUGAUUAGGUUAUUUUUAAAACGCUUUUUCUUUUUUUUUUUUAAAAAAAAGGAUAAGUUAUUUUUAAAAAUAAUUUUUUAUUUUGAUUUUGUAAAAAACAAAUUGUUAAUUCAAUUUAAAUAAUAUAAAAUAAAUUUAAUUCAAGUAUUAUUAAACAAAAAAAUAAUUUUUUAAUUACAAAUAAACUAAAAUAAAUAAAUAGUUUUUAAUAAAAUAUGAAUAAUAAUAUUAUAAUAAAUCAUAAAUUACAUUUUUUUUAUAUAAAUAUUAUUAAAAUAUAGAUAUUAACAUCUUAUAAAAGCAUUAUUUAUUUUGUUGAAACUAAAUAACAAUAAUAUAAAAUUAAUAAUUGCUAAUACUAUUUUUAAAAAUCAUUAAACUUAUGACUUUGCUUUUAAAAAAUUGUACUCAAGAACAACAACCAAACAAUGGUAUUAAUUUUUAAAAACAAUUUUAUUUUUAAAUCAUAAGCCCAAAUAGUUUUUUAUUAUUUAGCAAAACAAAAAACCCUCAAAGUUGUUUUUUUCUUAAUUGAAAAUAAAAAAUUAUUUUAAAUUCAGAUUUAAAAGAAGGAAAAUAAAAUAUUAUUUUAAACUAUACAUAAAUAUUGCCUUUUUUUUUCAUUCCCGUUCCAUUAUUACUUAACAUUAAAAUGGAAAUUAACAAAUAUACAUCCAAGUACAAGAAUUGAAAUAACCAAAUUAUUCAUCCCUAUUCAAUGACAAGUAAGAAUGGAAAGAAAAUUUUCAUUCUCAGUACUUAUUCUCAUGUACCAAAUAUUAUCUCAAAGAUUUGAGACCCUUAAUGAAGUUAAUGUUCUUCGGACCUUUUUACUAUUAAAUUUUAGGACUUGGCCUCAGUAUGAUAAGAUUUCAAAGGUUAUAUAUCCAUCGGAUGGGCGUAAAUAUCUUCUACAGAUAUGCUUGAGUAAUAGAGUUUUGGAGUGAUUUAUUAAUAAAGUCCAAUAUUUACCGAGUGUUGUCACUGUGAUAUUUAGACCUUACCUCCACAUCCACCAAAAGUUAUUUGAAUCAGUUUGCAGUUUGUAUAACUUACCAACAUUGAUACUAUAUUAUUGUGGUUCUCUUGUUGAAUUGCCUGCAGUGAUGUGCAAAUUGAUUAGGUUGCAUCAUCUUGAUAUUAGUCAUAGUGGAAUGCACGAGAUGCCAAGUCAAAUGGAUCACUUUUUACAAAAAUUGAGUAACUAUAGAGCGGGCAAGCAAAGUGGGAACAGGGUUGCAGAGUUGAGGGAGCUUUCCCACAUUGGUGGAAGUUUUCAAGUGGUGCGGGUGGUGGUAGAGGUAGAGGGUAUGCCUUCAAGUGGGUCCUCUAGACCACGAGUUGGAGUUCAUGCACGCGUUCUUUAAUUUUGAAGGAUUUGCAAAGAAACUUUCAAAUAUCCAAAAUCUUAAAUUAAAAAAAUAAAAAAAUAAAAAAAAUAAAAAGGACCCAGUAGAAUAAUUUUGUAUCAUAGGAAUAAGAGUUGAAUCCACCAAUCAGCAAGAAUAAUUAUUAAAUGAAUCAACCGUAUUGAGACAAAAAGUCUUCAGGUGUGAAACGCUUGAGACUUUCCCAAAGGCAAAAUCAUUCAAUAGAAAAAGGACUCCAGCUACAAGCAAAACAAAGGGGCAAAUGUAUAUAAAGAUAAAAGUCUGCAUUCAUUCCCAAUCUUCCUUGGAUCAACUGUAGACCACAGGGCACGCCUCAACCCCGCAAAGGAUACUCAUUUCCUUCACCUUGAUCAACAGACCCUUCACUCUUUUUCUUAUACGUCCUCCUGGCUGUGUCAUUCAUUAUCCAUUGGAGCUUGACCUUCUUCCUCCCCAUAGCCUGAUGUUUACUUGGAUCUGUCACCAAGAAUAUCAAAAUAUCUUGCUUUCCCAUUGAUUUAUGGGUCUUCUUAUAGACAUAAAAGCGCCUGUAAGAGGGGGUGCAACCCUUUGAAUGGACAAUAAAAGCUAAUCCUUGGAAAUUUUUGUUUUGGGUAUAAAUGAUCAUUAUUUCGAUUAUUUUUAUUUAUAUUUCUGGAUUGCACUCAGUGACAGGUUUUUAAGACUUAAUCCUUUACAGAUAUUGUGUUUUCUAGAUCUAAUUGAAUCUAAAGUUUUUUUUUUUCCCAAAAUUUGUUUCCUAUUUAUUAUGGUCAAGUCCAAAUUGAGUAAUACAACAUCACUUGUAAUAAAUUAAGUAAUACAACAUGCCACUACCUAUUUUUCCUUAGAUUUUAUUUUCAAACAGUAAAAAAGCAAGUUGAUACGAUCUAUUUUACCUUAAAUUUUAUUUUCGAAAACUAAAAGAAAGUUGACACGACCUAUUUUUCAUUAAAUUUUAUUUUCAAAAAUAAAAAACAAGUUGACACAACCUGUUUUUUCUUAAAUUUUAUUUUUGAAUAGCAAAAAAUAAUUUGAGAUGGACUAUUUUUCCUUAAAUUUAUUUUCAAAUAGUAAAAACCAAGUUGAUAUCAUAGUAACUUAUCCUAUUUAUCAUGCUCAAUUCCAAAGUGAGUAAUAUGACAUAACUCAUGAUAAAUUAGGUAUGAUAAAUUAGGUGAUAUAACAUGACCUAUUUUUCCUUUGAUUUUAUUUUCAUACAGUAAAAAGCCAAAUUGACAUGACUUACUUUUCUUUAUAUUUUAUUUUCAAACAGUAAAAAAACAAGUUGACAUGACCUAUUUUUUUCCAUAAAUUGUAUUUUUGAAUAGUAAAAAAAAGAAAAUUGAUGCCACCUAUUUUUUCUUAAAUUUUAUUUUUUGAAUGUUAAAAAUCAUAAUAACACGACCUAUUUUGCUUGAAAUUUAUUUUUGAAUAGUAAAAAACAAGUUGAUACCAUAGUAACCUAUCCUAUUUAUCAUGGCCAAUUCCAAAUUGAGUGAUAUGACAUCACUCAUGAUAAAUUAGGUGACACAAUAUGACACGACCUAUUUUUUUUACAUUUUAUUUUCAAACAGUAAAAAAAAUAAAUUGACAUGAUCUAUUUUUCCUUAGAUUUUAUUUUCGAAUCGUAAAAAUACAAGUUCACAUAACAUAUUUUUCCAUAAAUUUUAUUUUCAAAGAGCAAAACACAAGUUGGCACGAUAUUUUUGAACGGUUUGCAAGGACUGCCCUCUCCUACCAGUAGUAGAAUCUUAGGUCUUUAAAAAAAUUAGAGAUCUAUGACUAGCCCAAGCUCCAAUCCUUAACAUAAGAGCAACUGCCCCCCAACCUUUUUGUUUUAACAAUCCAGAAGUGCCCACUGCUAAAAGGUCAGAGCAGAAGUUUUGGACAAGGAAAGAUUAACAUCAGAUAACACAUAUUCCACACAUUGUGAUCGAUGACCAAGUUUUAUAAUGAAGGUAGCAUUACACCACUUUUUAGUCAAGUACUGGUUUUGUCCUAAAAGUAAUUUUCUCAAGAAAACUGAUAUGCUUAAAUACCAAUUUUAAUUUGAACAAUUAUAAAUAGGAAAAAAUAUGCUUUAAAUUUUCUAAUUUUUAUAAUAAUUUCUUGUUUUCUUUCAAGUUAUCAGUGAUUCUUCACUCUUAUAAAUUGAUGUUUCAUAUCUUCAUAAGAAAUCUUCUUUUAAUCAAUAAUGUCUUAUUAAAUGCUUCAUAUUAUCAAGGAGCACAAUAUGCAUAUUGAACCAAAAUCCUCCAACCUUAAACUUUUAGGAAAAUUGGUAGUUUAAUAUGGUAUCAGAACUUGGUUUUGUAGGGGGUUAUGAGUUUGAGUCAACUCUCCGCAAUUUGCAUAUUUGUUUCUCUCAUUUGUUUCUUUUCUCCCUCUUUACAAUUCUUUAGUAUCUCUCUCCCUCAAUUUGCAAUUCUAUGGUAUUUCUCCACACGAGGAAGGGUGUUAAGGAGCAUGAUAUACAUUUUGAACCCAAAUCCUCUAAACUUAGUUUUUUUAAGAAAAAUGAUAGUUCUACCAAAAAGUCAAGCAAUUUUGCAUGUCUAGUUUCAUAACUUGUGUCUCUUGUAUAACUUUAUGGACCUUGAAUUCGUAACUUGUGUUUCUUGUAUAAUUUUGUGUACCUUAAAUUCAUUUUUAUUAGCUAACUCACUGAAACCUCGUGGCAAGCCUUUGAUCCUAGUUUUCUCAACAAAUUCGAGCUAUCUAGCAGACAAUUUUUAUCAUCUAAAGACCAAUAUAUAAUUUAUAUGUUACUUGAGGAAUUAGAGAAAGCUCGACUUUGUUGGAGAGUGGAGUGGAGUAUGCAGCUUGUUCUGUGAUUCCAAUUAGUAAGACAUUUCAAUUCCUUUAUUUUAAGUUUCUAAGCUACAAACUACAAUGAUUUACAAUUUCAUAUGCAUUAUUUUUCAGGUUCUCUAUGUUAAUAUCUUAGUUCUUCUUUAGAAACAAUUGGUAUGUUUCUUUUGAUUCAUACUUUUCAUAAAGAAAAUUGUCAAAAAUUUAAUUUUCUUUCUUUUCACUUUUUCAUGUAGAAUCAAACAAGAAUAUUUUUUUUUUUUUUUACUAUGUUUGUGCUCCUUAUCUUUUUUCUUUAUGAUUUUUUUCCUUCAAACUUUUAAGAAAUAAAAAAUUAUUUGGCUUACAUUUAUAAAAUAUAGUCAUAUAGUAUAAUAUAAUAUUGUGUAGGCUCUGAGCUGAUACGAUAUUCAUAAGGCCUUAGCUCAUGGCCAAUAUGCAAGUUUAGAUUGAAUUAGAAUUUCCAAACUUUAAUAUUUUUUAGAUUGGCUUUAAAUUGAAUUGUGUUUAAAUUCCUAGUUUCAAGAGACCUAAAAUGGUGGUGAUCUUUUUGAUUCAUUGAUAUUUUUUUUUUUUUUUUUUUUUUUUUGCUUUUUUCAAUCAAGAUAGAAAGUAUAUCAAUUUUAUUAAUUAAUAAAAGAUGUUCUCUUUGCAAAGCAAAAGACAUGGCUGUGGUUGGAGAAGAAACAUAUUGAGACAACUUAAAAUAAUUUUGUUUCUAGUUGGAAUUUUGCUUUCAAAACUUAUAAAAUUGGUAAGUUAAGGGGUUAAAUUGAGAUAUGAAUUUCCGUGUAUGUUGGUUUUUCAGAAUUUAUCAUAAAAAUGAAUACAGUGAAGGAAAAGGAGAGGGAAUGAAAAAGAAGGGGGGAAAAAGAGAGUUAGGAUUGACUAGGGUUUUAGAUGAGUGUGGUGAUAAAAAUGAUGGGUUAAGUCCCCCAUUCAAAUAGAUGUAAAAUCAUAUAACAGGGGAUCAUUCUUGAUAAAGAUCAAGAAACUAACAGCUUCAACAACUCCUCAACAAACUGAUGUAUUGAUCAGUUAGAUAGUUACACCUGCAAGCAGCUAGAACUCAAUCAAGAUUUUAUUCACUGGAGAAGAUUUGAUAGAAUGAUUCGCAGCUGGAUAUAUUCAUCCCUUACUCCUGAAAUUAUGGGACAAAUAGUAGGGCACUAGACAUCUCAUGCAGCAUGGACUGCAUUAGAGAAAAUUUUCUCUGCUUCCUCAAAAGCACAGAUAAUGCAACUAAGGCUGGAGUUCAAACCACUCGGAAAAAGAUCUCUUUCCAUGAUGGAAUAUAUACUCAAGCUCAAGACACUAACCGAUAAUUUGGCUGCCAUUGGAGAACCGGUCACAGAGAGAGAUCAAGUUUUGUAGCUUCUUGGUGGUCUUGGAGCUGAAUACAGCCCCAUAGUGGCGUCUCUCACAGCUUGAGAAGAUGAAGUAUCUCUCCACUCUGUCCACAGCAUUAAUUCUGCUCACACAUGAGCAGCGCCUCCAAUUUCAAAACUCCAUCAUAGAAAAAGAAACUCUAUCCACUCAUAUUGCUUCUCACAGUCGAACUACUCAAUCAAGAACAUCCCAGAAUAACAGAAAUAAUUUUUCUCUUCACCAACAGAAUGGUUUUUCUCAUCCUUCAAGAAGAGGACACCCAGGAGGUCAUGGACAAGAACAUGUUUAGUGUAACAAUAUCCAUAUUAUGUUCAUUCAUAUCUCAAAUAUUAAAGCUAUAUUAAAACUAUUAAUAUUGUAAAUAUUAAUACUUAUUCUUAUAUAUUCUUAAAUAAGAUAUUGAUAGAUAGUGACUAAGUAUAUCCCGAACAAAUACUAUAAUAAUGUGCAAAAUAAAUAUAACAUGUGUUUAUUUUAUAGAAAAGUUUGAUUUAUAUAUAAUUUCACAUAUUUUAUAGGAUAUCUCUCAAAUCUUAUGACAAACAUCUUGAAUAUUCAUAAAGUUAAUUUCAUUAUUCAUUUAUUAUAAUAAUAAUAUUCAAUUUAUUUUUUAGUUAAUUAUAUCUUUAUUAUUUGACUUUUCUCAUUUAUGUUGAAUAUUAUAAUGAUAAUAUUAAAUUUAUUUUUUAAUUACUUAACUAUAACUAAUAUGAUUAUCACUUAUGUUGAUUGCUGAAAAGUUAAAUUGUAAUUAAACAGUAAAAAGUUAAACAGGGGCUUCCCACCUCUAUUUCUUUUCUAAAAAUGAGCUACUAUCUCCUGGUGAAACAUCAAUACCAAUUCUGGAAAGGGGAAGAUUUGCAGCAUAUAGCUCACAUUCCACGCAUUGUGGUGGACGAUCAACAAGGUUCUUAUAAUGUGCUAUAAAUGAUUUUCUUCAAAAGGCAGUAAUUUGUGAUCAAAACUUUUUAUAUCAGCUUUGCCUUAAGGAAUUGUGAAUCAAUCCGAUCUACUCAUACCGCAACUCUAUAAAUUUUCUUCCCUGUUACUUUGUGUAAGGUUAUGUUUGGUUUCCGGAAAGUAUUAAGGAAGGAAAAAAAAAUGCUAAUAGCCCAAAGGAGAAGUAUAAUAAAGAUCGGGGCAUUAAUGGAUGAGAUUGCCUGAUCAAGCGGGCCUAAUCGGGGCCCUUAACAUAUGGGCUUGGACAGCACUAAUUCUGGUCGGAAUAGGCAGGCUUAGGUUGGUGGGAAGAGUCUUGUCCCAGUGGAAGGGCCAAUGCUAGGUAGCCUGGCCCGAAGCUUGUUUUUCCUUUCUUUUUUUUCGUCUCGGUCGGAAGCUUCUCUUUUUUAAGAAUGGGUUCCACAAUUAACACUGCCUAUCCACUAGGUGUGCUAAAUGGUCAGCCGGCCUUAUCAGGAAUCUUGCAUAUUAUACUCAAAUUGUCGCAACUUGAAUGAAGGGACAACCCCAAAGGUCUUAUCCUUUCAAUGUUUUACAUAUCAGAUAGGUGAUUUUGUUAAAAUAUAUUAUAUAUUAUAGACUAUUGAAGGGCAGGCUUAAUCCCUACCACUCAUAUUUACACAUUCAGAAAAACAAAAAUCAAUGAUUCUGCAAUUUUGUUUUUGGCAGCCAAAUUGCUAGUCACAUGACUGAGAAUUCUUUGUCACUAGUUAAUAUUUUUUCUUCUUUACUGGCCCUUGUGUUUGGUUAAGAAUAGGGAAGUUGCAGUGCGUUUCAUAUCAUAAACCGAAAUUCUACAGUUUGGUUUGCAUCUGCUUAAGUAUUUGUUUACCAUAUGUUCAAUAAUGUGGACAUACCUGUAGGUGGAAAAUAUUCUUAUUUGUUUAUGUGGACAUUUGGACUAUUAAUAGACUAACUGACAGGCCAUGUUCAUCCGCCUCUUUAUUGUAUCUAGGGGCCGCCCUAUUUGGUGACAAGGUUCUUCGUUGUUGACCAAAACUAGUCUGCUUGAUUUGCAUCUGCUUUCAUUCAUUUUUCUUUGAUCCAGUAUUCACUUCCCUUGCAAACCAACAGACAUGGCCGGGGCUAUAGUAGGAGGAGCAUUUCUCUCCGCUUCUAUCCAAGUUCUACUUGACCGAAUGGCUUCUCGCGAGGUCCUCACCUUCCUCCGGGGACAGAAACUCAGUGCUACGCUCCUAAGGAAGUUGAAGAUAAAAUUGCUGGCAGUUCAGGCAGUGCUCGAUGACGCUGAGGCCAAGCAAUUCACAAAAUCAGCUGUAAAAGAUUGGCUGGAUGACCUGAAAGAUGCUGUGUAUGAUGCAGAGGACCUGUUGGAUGAGAUAACCACCGAAGCUCUUCGCUGCAAAAUGGAGUCUGAUGCUCAAACCAGCGCAACUCAGGUAAGUGACAUCACCUCUGCCUCGCUUAAUCCGUUUGGUGAGGGGAUCGAGUCCAGGGUAGAGGAGAUCACUGACAAACUAGAGUAUCUUGCACAAGAAAAAGAUGUUCUGGGAUUGAAAGAAGGCGUUGGAGAAAAAUUGUCACAAAGAUGGCCCACGACUUCCUUGGUAGAUGAGUCUGGGGAGGUGUACGGAAGGGAAGGUAAUAUACAGGAGAUAGUUGAAUAUUUAUUGUCCCAUAAUGCAAGUGGGAAUAAGAUAAGUGUGAUCGCCCUGGUGGGUAUGGGCGGUAUUGGAAAGACCAUACUUACUCAACUGGUGUAUAAUGAUAGGAGGGUGGUGGAAUGUUUUGAUCUUAAAGCUUGGGUUUGUGUUUCCGAUGAAUUUGAUCUUGUCCGGAUAACGAAAACCAUUCUUAAGGCAAUCGAUUCUGGGGCUUCUGAAAAAUAUUCUGAUGAUAGUGAUUUGAAUCUGCUUCAACUUAAAGUGAAGGAGAGACUUAGUAAGAAGAAAUUCUUUCUUGUCCUUGAUGAUGUUUGGAAUGAAAACUAUACUAAUUGGCAUAUGCUACAAACUCCAUUCACCGUUGGUCUAAAUGGAAGUAAGAUUAUUGUAACUACACGUAGUGAUAAGGUUGCAUUGAUCAUGCGUUCAGUUCGUAUUCAUCAUUUGGGACAGUUAUCCUUUGAGGAUUGCUGGUCGCUAUUUGCAAAACAUGCAUUUGCAAAUGGAGAUUCUAGUCUACAUCCAGAACUAGAAGAAAUUGGCAAAGGGAUUGUAAAGAAGUGUAAAGGAUUGCCUUUGGCUGCAAAGACCCUAGGGGGUGCCUUAUACUCAGAGUUACGAGUAAAAGAAUGGGAAUUUGUAUUGAACAGCGAAACGUGGGAUUUACCGAAUGAUGAAAUUCUCCCCGCCUUAAGGUUAAGCUAUUCUUUUCUUCCUUCACAUUUAAAGCGGUGUUUUGCAUAUUGCUCAAUUUUUCCUAAGGACUAUGAAUUUGAAAAGGAAAAUUUGAUUCUAUUGUGGAUGGCAGAAGGCUUUUUGCAACAAUUUGAAAGCAAGAAAACAAUGGAAGAAGUAGGUGAUGGGUACUUUUGUGACCUAUUAUCAAGGUCAUUUUUUCAGAAGUCCAAUAGUCGGAAAUCAUAUUUUGUAAUGCAUGAUCUCAUUAACGACUUGGCUCAACUUGUUUCUGGAAAAUUUUGUGUUCAAUUGAAGGAUGGUAAUAUGAAUGGAAGUCUUGACAAGCUCCGCCAUUUAUCAUAUUUUAGAAGUGAAUAUGACCGGUUUGAGAGAUUUGAGACCCUGAAUGAAGUUAAUGGUCUUCGUACCUUCUUUCCUUUGAAUUUGAGAACUUGGCCUCGAUCGGACAAGGCUUCAAAAAAGAGAAAUCUAAAUGCUGCUAAGUAUGUUGUAGAUUUUCGGUUGAGUAAUAGAGUUUGGACCGGUUUAUUAUUGAAACUUCAAUAUUUACGAGUAUUAUCAUUGUGCUACUAUAAGAUAACGGAUUUGUCUGAUUCAAUUGGUAAUUUAAAACAUUUGCGCUAUUUGGACCUUACUUUUACACUCAUCAAAAGGUUACCGGAGUCCGUUUGUAGUUUGUAUAAUUUACAAACAUUGAUAUUAUAUCAUUGUGAAUGUCUUGUUCAAUUGCCUAAAAUGAUGUGCAAAAUGAUUAGCUUACGUCAUCUUGAUAUCAGGCAUAGCAAAGUGAAAGAGAUGCCAAGUCACAUGGGUCAAUUAAAAAGUUUACAAAAAUUGAGUAACUACAUAGUGGGCAAGCAAAGUGGGACAAGGGUUGGAGAGUUGAAGGAGCUUUCGCACAUUGGUGGCAGUCUUGUCAUUCAAGAGCUGCAGAAUGUGGUUCAUGCUAAGGAUGCCUCAGAGGCCAAUUUCGUAGCUAGGCAAGCAAUAUCUGGAUGAGCUAGUGUUCGAAUGGAAUCGUGGUAGUGAUGUUGAACAAAAUGGAGCAGAGAUAGUGCUCAACAACUUACAAACUCAUUCAAACUUAAAGAGACUCACUAUUUAUGGUUACGGUGGUUCAAGAUUUCCAGAUUGGUUAGGAGGUCCUUCAAUUCUGAAUAUGGUGUCGCUACGUCUCUGGAAUUGUAAGAAUGUGUCAACCUGCCCACCGCUUGGGCAGCUACCCUCUCUUAAACAUUUAUAUAUAUUGGGGUUGGAGGAGAUAGAAAGGGUGGGCGCUGAGUUUUAUGGGACUGAGCCCUCCUUCGUGUCCCUAAAAGCUCUAUCAUUUCAGGGUAUGCCAAAAUGGAAGGAAUGGUUGUGCAUGGGAGGCCAAGGAGGAGAAUUCCCUAGUCUCAAGAAGCUUUAUAUAGAGGAUUGUCCCAAGCUAAGGGGGGAAUUACCAACCCAUUUGCCUUUUUUGACCACAAUAAGGAUUCAAGAAUGUGAGCAGUAUGUGGCUCCACUUACAGGGGUUCCAACCAUNNNNNNNNNNNNNNNNNNNNNNNNNNNNNNNNNNNNNNNNNNNNNNNNNNNNNNNNNNNNNNNNNNNNNNNNNNNNNNNNNNNNNNNNNNNNNNNNNNNNUAAAAGCUCUAUCAUUUUCAGGGUAUGCCAAAAUGGAAGGAAUGGUUGUGCAUGGGAGGCCAAGGUGGAGAAUUCCCUCGUCUCAAGAAGCUUUAUAUAGAGGAUUGUCCCAAGCUAAUUGGGGACUUACCAACCCAUCUGCCUUUCUUGACCACACUACGGAUUCAAGAAUGUGAGCAGCUUGUGGCUCCACUUCCAGGGGUUCCAACCAUCUUUGAAUUGACAACGCGCAGCCGUGACAUCUCACAGUGGAAGGAACUACCACCACUACUGCAGUAUCUCUCAAUUAAAAAUUCCGACUCUUUGGAGUCCCUACUGGAGGAGGGAAUGUUGCAAAGUAAUACUUGUCUUCGAGAGUUGAGAAUCAGAAAUUGUUCUUUUUCGAGACCCUUGUGCAGAGUUUGUUUGCCCAUUACAUUGAAGACGUUAGAUGUAGAGGAGUGUAAGAAACUAGAGUUUCUCCUACCUGAGUUCAUAAAAUGUCACCACCCUUCCCUUGUCUCUUUGGUGAUCAUCAGAAGUACUUGCAAUUCUCUCUCAUCCUUCCCACUCGGCAACUUCCCAAGUUUAACUAAUCUCCAAAUCAUGUAUCUCAAGGGGCUUGAAUCCCUCUCCAUUUCAAUUUCAGAGGGCGAUGUUACAUCUUUUCAUCUGUUGCACAUAAGAGGGUGCCCUAAUCUUGUUUCUAUUGAAUUGCCAGCUCUCAACUUCUCAAAAUAUUACAUCUUCCAUUGCAAGAAUCUCAAGUGGCUGCUGCACAACGCUGCAUGCUUUCAGUCAUUAACAAUAGAAGGUUGUCCUGAAUUGAUAUUCCCAAUACAAGGUCUGCAAGGACUGUCCUCUCUUACCUCUCUCAAAAUCUCCGAUCUUCCAAAUCUCAUGUCCCUUGACAGUUUGGAGCUUCAACUGCUCGCCUCUCUUGAAAAAUUAGAGAUCUGUGACUGCCCCAAGCUCCAAUUCUUGACAGAAGAGCAGCUUCCCACCAACCUUUCUGUUCUAACAAUCCAGAACUGCCCGUUGCUGAAAGAUCGGUGCAAGUUUUGGACAGGGGAAGAUUGGCAUCAUAUAGCUCACAUUCCACACAUUGUGAUCGAUGACCAAGUUUUGUAAUGAAGGUGGCAUUACACCAAUUUAUAGUCAGGUACUUGUUCUGUCCUAAAAAUGAUUGUCUCAGGAAAACUAACAUACUUAAAUACCAAUUUUGAUUUGAUCCAUUAUAAAUAGGAAAAAUAUGCUUUAAAUUUUCUAAUUAUUAUAACAAUUUCUUGCUUUCUUUCAGGUCAUCUGUGAUGCUUCACUCUGGCUCUGAUCAACAUAUCUUUAUAAGGAAUCUUUUAAGACUCCCUUGCUUAAUUAGUGCCUUGUCAAAAGCUUCAGAUUUCCUUUAGAGUGAAUCGAUGCUUAAAAGCCAAGCAGCUCUGCAGGUCUGAUUUAUUAAAUUGUGUUUCUUGUAUAAUUUUAUGGACCUUGAGUUUGUUUUCAUUGGCUAAUUUGCUGAAAUCUGAUGGCAGGCCUUUGAUCCUUGUUCUCUCAACAAACUCUAGCUGUCUAGCAAUGAUUUCCAAUGGGACCAUUUUUUUGUUGUGAGUUCAGGUUCAUGACUCUCUUUUUGGACAACAGUAGCCGAGAUUUUUUGCACCCAGAGAAUCAUGAGUUGAUCCUCUGCUGGAGGAACUACAGAAGCUCAAGUCUGUUGGAGAGUGGAGCAUCCAGCAGGCUCUAUGAUUCCAAUUAGUGGGACAUUUCAAUUGCUUUGGUUUAACUUUUUAGUGAAGUACCAGUUCUGUCCUAAAAGUAAUUUUCUCAGGAAAACUAACAUACUUAAAUACCAAUGUUAAUUUGAUCCAUCAUAAGUCAGAAAAAUAUGGUGUAAAUUUUCUAAUUAUUAUAAUAAUUUCUUGCUUCUUUCAGUUUAUCAGUAACUCUUCACUCUAGUAAAUUGAUGCUUCAUAUCUCCAUAAGGAAUCUUCAUAAAGAUUGUAUUUUUUAGCAUCCAAAGACUCAUGAUUGAUACUCUGCUUGAGGAACUGAGAAAGCUCAACUCUGUUGGAGAGUGGAGCAUGCGGCGUGCUCUAUGAUUCCAAUUAGCAAGAUAUUUUAAUUGCUUUUGUUCAACUUUCUAAGCUACAAAUUAUAAAGAUUUAUAAUCCCAUAUGCAUUAUUUUUCAGGCUUUCUAUGUUAAUAUCUUAGUUCUUCUCUAGGAAAAACAGGUAUGUUUCUUCUGUGUUAGUACUUUUCAUAAGAUGACACAUUGUGGAGUUCCAUCAUAUGCAUGACAAGAUAAACCCAAUUCUAAAAUAAACUUAAGCUAAAACAAAAUAUCUUACUACCUGAGGUUCUGUCCUUAAUAAUUCUAUUCAUCAUGUUCAUAUGCAAUCUGAGUGACGUAAAUGUUAAACAUUUUCCUUUGUGUAAUCAUUGUUUUAGAUUCAAUUAAUCUGCAGAUGUACGUUCAGUUUAGACACCUCAAACUCAAAAUCUUCAACUUCUGACAGGCCACCACUUCCUAGUCUCUGCUCAUCUCCUUCCCAUUUAGUUAUUUUCAUUAACCUUUGAUUUUUUUACAUCGUUAAUAGUAAAACAAUCAUGAUUGUACUACAUCUGUUGAGCAUAGAUGCUACCAUUUAAUUUCCAUAUUCAAGUUUUCAUUUACUUUAAUGUGAGCUCUGAAUUUUCUUCUUUUAAAUUUUUGAUUCUGAGGCAGAUUCUUGGAGAAGAGAGAAGCCAAACCAUAUUCAAAGUCAUAGCACUGCAGAGUAUGGUUUUGAUCCACCAAGUCCAGGUCAAUUGAGUGGAAUCUUAUUAAUACUUAAAGGACACAUUUUCCGAACUUGAUGACUGCCUCUAACCAUGCACUAACUAUUUUUUUGUAUCGACUUUCUGUUAAGAAAUUGUGAAUGCAUUGGAUCUACUCAUACGACCUCCCUCCAUCAUGAAUUUUAACAACUCAGUACUUGGAGGAUGGCUACUCAACUAAAUUCUAUUUAUUGGAGCAGAAUUUGAGCUUUUCUUCCUUACUCAGGUAGAGUGCUAUAAAAUUUUCAGUCUAAAAAGUAUCUAUAACCCCCUAUGAAUUUGAAUGUCAGAUUCAGCUGAUUAGCAUGUGACCAUUUUUAUUUUCAGAUGGUGGCAUUUUGAAUCUUUGGAACAGUUGCAGGAGGAAGCUUUGCCAAAGCCUCCCUAUGCAAUACAUGGGCCUUUGGUUGCAAGUGAGAUUUGAGGAUUCUAUUUUCUCUUGUAAGACUUCAACUCAUUUUUUUUGAGUUUUGAGCUUUGAGCUUUUACUUCCAAGCAUGUGCAAAGAAGAAAGAACGCAAAAACAAACGUCCACUUAUAGAAGUUUUAUAUGGAGUGAGACUCCCAUGAAAAAUAUUGUACCUAUUGGUUUGUCAACCUUGAAUGUUAUAGUUUUGUUUCCCAUUGGAUCUUUGAGGAAUGCGUCCGUUGAAUCAUAUAUUUUGAACUUACUACUGAUUUUGUGUAUAUACAUGCAUGUAAAUGAUGUUUUCUUCUUCAUUCAUGUGGAAUUUGAUUCUCUGGUGUAUGGUGAAAAGUUGUAAGUUUGAUCUAGGGUUUUACUUGAAGUGAGGUUAGAUAUACCCUUUUUCUACAUUUUGGUAUAUAGAAGAGUUUACAUCAUAGGCAAAUCACUUCCAAUCCAACCUUUUUCUAACAUUUCUGAUUCCUUUUAUCCUCCUAAAGGUGAUUUUGGUGCAAGUUGGGCUUUUGGGUUAAUUUAAUAGUUUAACUUCUAUUAGAGUCCUUGUUUUCAAGAUUUAAGGAGCAUUAGGUGGCUCAUGAUGAAUGGAUGGAUUCAACUUCCUUUUAAUGUUUGAACCUAUACCCAAGGGAAACUCUCAGACAAAUGAAAAAAAAGAAGAAGGUAUAUAUUUUUAGUAGUAUUUUUAUAGUAUUUAUUUAACAGAAUUUUAUUUUAUUUUUAUUUUUGGGAAAACAAUGCACAUAGAAAUUCACUUCAAAUGAUUCUUUGAAUUUUUUAAAGUAAUUUUAUUAAUUUUUUAAAAAAAUUCAAAUUAACUUUAAAAAGAAUUUCAAAAAGCGUUUUGAAUCUUACUGAAACCUAUUUUCAAUGGGUUUAGAUAUAAUUUUUGGAUAUUAUUUUUGGACGAUAUUUGAUUAAUCAAAAUAAUAGUUUUUGAAAGAAAUAUCUAUCAAUUUUAGUCCAAUAAUUGUUUUGACUAAUUGGACUUUUAAAAGUGAUUUUUAGGAUUUUAUAGAGUAAUAAUUUUUAAAAAGAAAGCAAUUUUAAAAUUUAAAAAAAAUGCUUUUAAGAGUCCACUUGGUAAUGUUUUAGAAAACAAUUCUCAUAAAAAGGUUUUUCAGAAUCGGUUUUAAAAACAAGUCCAAUCAUUUCUAUAAUAAAAUAGUUUUCUUAAUUCAUAAACAUAAAAAGUUCUUAUUUUCUAUAUUUUAGAUUGAUGCAAAGUACACUCCAUACUAUUUUUAAAAAUCAUCAAAUUUAUGACUUUAUUUUUAAAAAAUUGUUUCUCAAGAACAACAACUCUUACAAAUUGAUUCACAUCUUCAUAAAAAAUCUUCUUUUAAUCAAUAAUGCCUUAUCGAAUGCUUCAAAUUUCUAAAAUCCCUAUAAUCAUGUACAUAUGUAACCCAUAUCUAAUUCGUGGAUUCAUUGUGCUUAAUCUAGCUUUACAUAACCAAUGGGCAUGCUCGAAUUCCACUCAUUUGCCACUUUCAUUGUUAAUUAGUAAAUGAUUACAUUCAAUGACAAUAAUCUAAUUUAAUCCACCCUUUCAUGCUAUUCUAAGAUUUCAUCCCCAUUCAUGGAUAGUGAAAAAAAAUAAAGGGUGUUCCUUUUUAAUGUAACAACCUAAUAUUAACAAGCAUUUAGACAUUUUGCUCUCAACAAUGCCAAGAUAUACUAACCCAUUAAUGGUCUAAAAUCAACUUAACAAUUCUCCAAAUGUAAGCAACCAUAAAUCACUCAUUCUAAAAGAUGUUAAAGGAGAAAAAUCAAAAGUGAUUGUUGGUUUAUAAUGUUGGUCCAAUUGAGUUAAAACUCUCAAGGCCUCAACUCAUGCCAAAUAUGCAAAUAGAGAUGGAAUUAAUUAGGAUGUCUCAGCUUCCUUUUUUUUUUUUUGUUGUUGGAUUUAUAUUGGAUGGUGGUAAUUCUAUUUAUCUAUUAAUAAAAAGUUUUCCUUUUUAAUCUAUACUAAAAAAACAUUAAGUUUAUUAAUCUAUAGCAUUAUAAAAGUUUGAAGAAUCUUUAGUGUAAUAAUAUCCAUAUUAUGUUUAUUCAUAUAUUGAAUAUUAAAGCUAUAUUAAAACUAUUAACAUUGAAAAUAUAUAAAUUAGUUUUUAUAUACACAAUACUUGUUCAUAUAUAUUAUAAGAUACUGAUAGAUGGUGACUAAGUAUAUCCCAAACAAUUGCUAUAAUAAUGUGCAAAUUCAUAUAGCAUAUGUUUAUUUUAUAGAAAAUUUUGAUUUAUAUAUAAUUUCACAUAUUUUAUGGGAUAUUUCUCACAUCUUAUGUGCAAUCAUAUUGAAUACUCAUAAAGCUAAUUUCAUUAUUCAUUUAUUACAAUGGUAAUAUUCAAUUUGUUUUUUAGUUAUUUAUUUAUUAUUUGAUUUUUCUCAUUUAUGUUGAAUAUUGUAAUGAUAAUAUUAAAUUCAUUUUUUAAUUACAUAACUGUAACUAAUAUGAUUAUCACUUAUGUUGAUUGCUGAAAAGUUAAAUUGUAGAUGUUAUGAUUCAUUAUUUAUGUUGAAUGCGAAUUCAACAGUUAAAUGUUAAAGAGGGACUUCCCACCUCUAUUUCUUUUCUAAAAAUGAGUGACUGUCUCCUGCUGAAACAUCAAUUCCAAUUCUGGAAAGAGGAAGAAUAGCAGCAUAUAGCUCACAUUCCUCACAGUGUGGCAUAAAUGAUUUUCUUCAAAAGGCAGUAAGUUGUGAUUGAAACUUUCUAGUCAUAUUGUUUUGUUCCAACUUAGUACAUGCUUUAUCACUCUGGGUUUUAAUUCUUCAGCAAUACUUUCUGUUAUCAUGACUGCCUCUAAUUAACCAUAAACUAACUAUUUUUUAUAUCGACUUUGCCUUAAGGAAUUGUGAAUUGAUUGGAUCUACUCAUACUGCUGCCCUAUAAAUUUUCUUCCCUGCUAAAUUUAUGUAGUUAAUAGUUUUGGUAUAGUGCUACAAAAUUUUUAGGGUUUACAAAGUAUUGGUAACAUGUUUUCUCUUUUUAAGUAUGUUUUGGUCUUAAAAGAAAACAUAAAUUUGUCUUGUAAGUGAUGUUUGACUCUCAAAUUUUUUUGAUUACCAUGUGCCCAUUUUUAUUUUCAGGUUGACAUUUUGAAUCUUUGGAGUAGUCCAUUCAAAUCAUUUUUGUGAUCACUUCUUCCAAGAUUUUGCAUUAUAAAAGUUGGUUGAUGUAAAGUGAGAAGAAAGAAUUAAGGUAGCAACUUUUCUUUAAAAAUAAGAAAGUACAUUAAUGUCCUAAUUAAGUUUUAUACUAGAGUGGGACUCCUAUGAAUGGUUAAAUUGCAUAGAAUUCAAUUUAUUUAUGUCUAUCAAUCUUUGUUUAAUUUCUAUGGAAAAUAUUAAUAGAAUGAACUAUUUCAUAUUUUGGUAUAAUUUAAGCCUGAUUGAUACUACUUAAAAAUGUUAAAAGGAUUAAAUUGAGAUAUGAAUUACAGUACCUAUUGAUUUUUUUAUAAUUUACCAAUAAAAUUAAAUAGCAAAGGCAAAUGAGGAGAAAGAGAAUUAGUACUAGGGUUUUAAAUAAGUGUGGUGAUGAAGAUGACGGGCUAAGCCCUUCAUCCAACCUAUGAGGGCUAGCUGAAGUUCUUUAAGUCCUUUUAUGGGUUUUUUUUUUUUUGAAAUCUAAAUAGUAACUUAAUCAUUUAAAGCCAAGUCAUAAGUUUGCUAUGAGUGAAUUGAAUUUCCCUCAUUAAACUUUCUUUGUAUUUGAGGUUGAUAUUAUAUGGUUAUGAUAAUUUUGUUUUUGUUGACAUGCAAUAGAGUUUGCUCCUCCUUUGUAUUUACAAGCUGCUCAAUUUUCAUUUUUAUUUUAUUUACCAAUAACAACUUAAAGCUUGUGGAAAAUUAGGUUGACAACAUAUCAAGUUGGCUUACAUUGGAAUGAGGCUUUUGGAUUUUAUUAUUUAAUAAUCUCGCAUGUAUGCACUAAGAGUUUGUCUUACAGUUAUACUUUUUAAAUAAGAAUAAAAAUUUUCAAGUAUUGAAAAGGUUAAAAACAUUUUUUAAAAUCAUUAUCAAAUACACUAUUAAGUCUAAUAAAAUCAGUAUAACUCAUAGUAUGUUUAGAUGAAUAUGUGAGAAUAAGAACCCUUUUAAUAUUUGAAAGUAUUUAUUUCCCAUAAAAAUUAGUUAUUUUGUAAAAAAAUUAAUCAUUAUUUUUAAAAAUCUAAAAAAAUCAUUUAAGUAAUUUUGAAACUAGUAACUAAUAGAUGCCUUUUUUAAUUAUUUUUAUUAUGUAAUAUAUCACCAAAAAUACUAUCAAGUCACCUAUUGGGUUUAUAUCUAGACCUUAAUUUGACUAAAUGGAAAUAGAUCUUAAUAUUAUUAAAUAUCAAUUUGUUUUUAUUAUUGAAGUGUUAAUUUUUUUCUCAUGAUUUGUUACUAUUGCUAUGAGUUAAAUGAAGAAUCUUUAUCCUUAAAAAAUAAUUUAUUUUAUUUUACUUAUUUUAAAUAAUUUUGAUAAAGAUAUUUCAAAACUAAUAAUUUAAAAAAUAUUAAUUUGAUAUAUUUAGGAACAACCUUAAAUAUUAAAAAAAAUUAUAAUAUGAUUUUAUCUCAUUCAGAUAAGAUAUUUGAAACUUAAUAAUUUGAUAAAAAGAUAGUAAUUUAAUAUAGCUUUUAAUAUCAUAAAGCACCAAAACAGAUUGCAAUAACCAAAAGUUUAGGGAAAAGUGAGUCUUAAUUUACUAAUUUGAAAAAAUAUAAACAAAAGCAUUCCAACUUUUAUAAAUUAAUUUUAUCUUCACUCAUCUAAAAAUAUUUUAAAAUACACACAAUUUUUCUUAACUGAAAAAAUUAUUUAUUGAAAUAACUCUUUUACUUGUGAUGUUAAUAACACCAAUUAACAAUUUUUUUUACCGUGAGAACUGAUUUGAGAUUAAUAAAAUAAGAAAUUUUAAAAAUUAAAACUAAAAAGAACUUUAAAACUAAAAAUAUAAAAAUAAAAUAUUAAUUUUUACUUAGUUAAAACACUAUGGUAGAAAACAUAGAUAUCGAGAAAGUGUUGAGUAAAUAUUUUUUUUUUAGUUUUUAAGUUUUUUUUAAUUAUAUUUAAUUUUUAUGUAUUUUAGUUGUAAUUGUAAUUUUAAUUUUAAAAUUUUUUAUUUUAUUGUUGAUGUCAACUAACAAAAUUUUUAUUCAAUUUUAUUAAAAAUAUAAAAGAAGAUGAGGGGAUUUAUAUAAUAUAGGAUAUAAAAUCAUCAUUAAUUAAUAUAAUAAAGUAAAAUGAUGUUUCAUGAAAUAAUUAUUUGACUUACAAAAAAGUGGAAAUAUUUUUAAAUUGAUGAAGAUAAAACCAAUUUAUAAAAAUUGAGUUUUUUUUUCUAUUUUCUUUCAAAUUAGUGAGUCAAAACCUAUUUUUUUUCAUCAAAUUAUAUGAAAUUAUAAUUUGAUUUAUUUUUAAGUAAAUUUUUAAAAAAAAAGUAGAUUGGAUUUUAUUUAGGUGACUAUUGUAAAGUUAAAAGAAAAACAACAUUUUUCAUUGACGAAAAAAUAAGAAAAUAAAAAUUCAACUUUUUUAUUAACACAAACUUGUUUUAAAAUAAUUAAUAAUUAGGGGGGGGAAAAAGGUGGGGCGCUAGUUAAUUCUUGUAAAAGCAUUUCUAAGAAGUAAUAAAAGACUAGAGAUUGAAUACACUUUUAUUUUAAUCACUUGCAAACAAGCCCUUAAUUAAUAAACAACAAAUAUGAUAAAAUAUCAUUUGAGAUCAUAUUUAUUUAAUAUUAAAAUUUCAUGACAUGCUUCCUAACAUUGUGUAAUUUGGUUGUAAUUCAUUUUUCCCAUGCGAUUUUAAGCCUCUUUUUUAUCUUUAUAAAAUUUUAUGAGCAAACAUAAAAUAUGACAGUCACUUAGAAAGCCUUAAGGUUGUUUGAUUUUCAAAAAAUUUGAAUGAAAAGUAGAAGGGAAAAGUAGAAAAAAAAAAAAAAAAAAGUGAAAGAAAAUAAAACUUAUAUAUAGAGUCAAUAAAUUAUUUGUUAUGUUCUAUUUUAAACCCAUUUAAUUUAUUUUAACCUUUAUAUAUAAAGAUUGAAUAAAAAUAUAAGUUUCUAUCUAAUUUUAUUUUUAUUUAUUUAUUUUUAUAUUUUUCUUAGUAAAAUCGAAUAUGAGAAAAUCAUUUUUUUUAUCAUUAUUAAGUGGAUUUAGAGAAUUGGAAAUUUCAUAAACAAUGAACUAUGAUCCUAAGGUUCUUUUAACUUUUUCUUAACUAGACAAUACUCUUACUGAAAUAUGUAAUUUUUUUUAAAAUGAAAGACUAAGCAAACAAAGUUAAAUUUAGUUGAAACUUGAGUUAAAGAGUUUGUUGAUAAGUCUUGAAACCUUAAAAAUUAAUUUCUAAGUGAAAUGGUCAUUAAAAAACCAUCAAUUAAGCCUUAACCUAAACUGGUUCCAAAUUUGCCUAAACAAAAUGUUGUAAUACUACUCACUUUCUCAAGUUUUCUUAUUAAUUAAGUUCCAAAAAUUAUGAAACUCUCAAGAUUUAAUAUAUAAUAAGUUUAGAAACUUUAAAAAUGAGUUAUAAACCUAAAAAAAAUUCUAAUAACACCAAAACUUUAAAAAUUAAAAACUGUUUCAAAUUAAAUGUGUAUAAGGUUGAUGUAUAUUUUCUUAUUUAUUUGUAAGGCAGGGAUCAAUUGCAACCCAUAAGAUAUGGGUAGGUAGAAAAUGAAUUCAUCUGUACAUUUGGCAUUAGUUGAUAGGCCACCUUCUUCAUCUACCUCUUUCUUCUAUCCAAGGCCCAGGCUCUUCCCUUACAAACCAACAGACAUGGCCGGGGCUGUAGCAGGAGGGGGAGCACUUCUCUUGGCUUCUCUCCAAGUUCUAUUUGAUCGGAUGGCUUCUCGCGACGUCCUCACCUUCCUCCAGGGACAGAAACUCAGUGCUACGCUCCUAAGGAAGCUGCAGAUGAAAUUGCUGGAAGUUCAGGCAGUGCUGAAUGACGCCGAGGCCAAGCAAAUCACGAAUUUAGCUGUCAAAGAUUGGGUCGAUGAGCUGAAAGAUUCUGUGUAUGAUGCGGAGGACCUGGUGAAUGAUAUCACCACUGAAGCUUUACGACGCAAGAUGGAGUCUGAUUCUCAAACUCAGGUACGGAACAUCAUCUUUGGUGAGGGGAUUGAGUCCAGGGUAGAGGAGAUCACUGACACAUUAGAAUAUCUUGCAGAAAAAAAAAGAUGUUCUCGGGUUGAAAAGAGGCGUUGGAGAAAAAUUGUCACAAAGAUGGCCGACAACUUCCUUGGUAGAUGAGUCUGGGGUGUGCGGUAGGGAUGGUGAUAAAGAGGAGAUAGUUAAAUUUUUGUUGUCCCAUAAUGCAAGUGGGAAUAAGAUAAGUGUGAUCGCCCUGGUGGGUAUGGGCGGUAUUGGGAAGACCACACUUGCUAAGCUGGUGUAUAAUGAUAGGAGAGUGGUGGAAUUUUUUGACCUUAAAGCAUGGGUUUGUGUUUCAAAUGAAUUUGAUCUUGUCAGGAUAACGAAAACCAUUCUUAAGGCAAUUGAUUCUGGGACUUCUGAUGACAAUGAUUUCAAUCUGCUUCAACAUAAAUUGGAGGAGAGACCUACGAGGAAGAAAUUCUUACUUGUCCUUGAUGAUGUUUGGAAUGAAGACUAUAAUGAUUGGGAUUCGCUGCAAACUCCAUUUAUUCAAUGUUGGUCUAUAUGGAAGUAAGAUUAUUGUAACUACACGUAUCAAUAAGGUUGCAGCAGUCAUGCAUUCAGUUCAUACUCAUCAUUUGGCAAAGUUAUCCUCUGAAGAUUGCUGGUCCCUAUUUGCAAAACAUGCAUUUGAAAAUGGAAAUUCUAGUCCACAUCCAAAGCUAGAAGAAAUUGGCAAAGAAAUUGUAAAAAAGUGUGAUGAAUUGCCUUUAGCUGCAAAAACCCUUGGGGGUGCCUUAUACUCAGAAGGUCGAGUAAAAGAAUGGGAAAAUGUGUUGAACAGUGAAACGUGGGAUUUACCAAAUAAUGCAAUUCUUCCUGCCUUGAUCUUGAGCUACUAUCAUCUUCCUUCACAUCUAAAACCAUGUUUGGCAUAUUGUUCUAUUUUUCCUAAAGACUACCAAUUUGAGAAGGAAAACUUGAUUUUAUUGUGGAUGGCAGAAGGGUUUUUGCAACAAUAAAAAAAAGGCAAGAGAAUAAUGGAAGAGAUAGGUGAUGGGUAUUUUUUUGACCUAUUAUCAAGAUCAGUUUUUCAAAAGUCUGGUAGCGACAAAUCAUAUUUUGUAAUGCAUGAUCUCAUCAACGACUUGGCUCAACUUAUUUCUGGAAAAGUUUGUAUUCAGUUGAAGGAUGGUAAGAUGAAUGAAAUUCCUGAAAAGCUUCAUCACUUAUCGUAUUUUAGAAGUGAAUAUGAUCGCUUUGAGAGAUUUGAGAUUCUUAACGAAGUUAACAGUCUUCGGACCUUCUUACCAUUGAAUUGGGAGAUCUGGCCUCGGGAAGAUAAGGUUUCAAAGGGAAGAUAUCCACGUAGUAGUAGGUAUGUUUUAGAGUUUCGCUUGAGUGCUUGAGUACUAGAGUUUGGAAUGAUUUAUUGAUGAAAGUUCAAUAUUUACGAGUGUUGUCAUUGUGUUACUAUGAGAUAACGGAUUUGUCUGAUUCAAUUGGUAAUUUGAAACAUUUGCGCUAUUUGGACCUUUCCUAGACACAUCAAAAGGUUACCUGAAUCAAUUUGUAGUUUAUAUAAUUUACAAACAUUGAUAUUACACUAUUGUAAAUGUCUUGUUGAAUUGCCUAAAAUGAUGUGCAAAAUGAUUAGCUUACGUCAUCUUGAUAUCAGACAUAGCAAAGUGAAAGAGAUUCCAAGUCAUAUGGGUCAAUUAAAAAGUUCACAAAAAUUGAGUAACUACAUAGUGGGCAAGCAAAGUGGGACAAGGGUUGGAGAAUUGAGGGAGCUUUCCCACAUUGGUGGGAGUCUUGUCAUUCAAGAUCAGCAGAAUGUGGUUGAUGCUAAGGAUGCCUCAGAGGCCAAUAUGGUAGACAAGCAAUAUUUGGAUGAGUUAGAGUUGGAAUGGAAUCGUGGUAGUGAUGUUGAACAAAAUGGAGCAGACAUAGUGCUCAACAACUUACAACCUCAUUCAAACAUAAAGAGACUCACUAUUUAUGGUUACGGUGGUUCAAGAUUUCCAGAUUGGUUAGGAGGUCCUUCAAUUCUGAAUAUGGUGUCGCUACGUCUCUGGAAUUGUAAGAAUGUGUCAACCUUCCCACCGCUUGGGCAGCUACCCUCCCUUAAACAUUUAUAUAUAUUGGGGUUGGUGGAGAUAGAAAGGGUGGGCGCUGAGUGUUAUGGGACGGAGCCCUCCUUUGUAUCCCUAAAAGCUCCAUCAUUUCAGGGUAUGCCAAAAUGGAAGGAAUGGUUGUGCAUGGGAGGCCAAGGUGGAGAAUUCCCUCGUCUCAAGGAGCUUUAUAUAGAGGAUUGUCCCUUACCAACCCAUCUGCCUUUCUUGACGAGACUAUGGAUUAAAGAAUGUGAGCAGCUUGUGGCUCCACUCUCCAACAGACUUGAGCUUCUGUAGUUCCUCCAGCAGAGUAUCAACUCAUGAUUCUUUGGGUGCAAAAAAUCUCGGCUACUGUUGUCCAAAAAGAGAGUCAUGAACCUGAACUCACAACAAAAAAAUGGUCCCAUUGGAAAUCAUUGCUAGACAGCUAGAGUUUGUUGAGAGAACAAGGAUCAAAGGCCUGCCAUCAGAUUUCAGCAAAUUAGCCAAUGAAAACAAAUUCAAGGUCCAUAAAAUUAUACAAGAAACACAAUUUACAAAAUCAGACCUGCAGAGCUGCUUGGCUUUUAAGCAUCAAUUCACUCUAAAUGAAAUCUGAAGCAUUUGACAAGGUGCUAAUUAAGCAAGGGAGUCUUAAAAGAUUCCUUAUGAAGAUAUGUUGAUCAGAGCCAGGGUGAAGCAUCACAGAUGACCUGAAAGAAAGCAAGAAAUUGUUACAAUAAUUAGAAAAUUGAAAGCAUAUUUUUCCUAUUUAUAAUGGAUCAAAUCAAAAUUGGUAUUUAAGUAUGUUAGUUUUCCUGAGACAAUCAUUUUUAGGACUUAGUUUUCCUGAGACAAUCAUUUUUAGGACAGAACAAGUACCUGACUAUAAAUUGGUGUAAUGCCACCUUCAUUACAAAACUUGGUCAUCGAUCACAAUGUGUGGAAUGUGAGCUAUAUGAUGCCAAUCUUCCCCUGUCCAAAACUUGCACCGAUCUUUCAGCAACGGGCAGUUCUGGAUUGUUAGAACAGAAAGGUUGGUGGGCAGCUGCUCUUCUGUCAAGAAUUGGAGCUUGGGCAGUCACAGAUCUCUAAUUUUUCAAGAGAGGUGAGCAGUUGAAGCUCCAAACUGUCAAGGGACAUGAGAUUUGGAAGAUCUGAGAUUUUGAGAGAGGUAAGAGAGGACAGUCCUUGCAGACCUUGUAUUGGGAAUAUCAAUUCAGGACAACCUUCUAUUAUUAAUGACUGAAAGCAUGCAGCGUUGUGCAGCAGCCGCUUGAGAUUCUUGCAAUUGCAGAUGGAAUAUUGUGAGAAGUCAAGAGCUAGCAAUUCAAUAGACACAAGAUUAGGGCACCCUCUGAUUUUCAACCAAUCAAAAGAUGUAACAUUGCCCUCUGAAGUUGGUAAGGAGAGGGAUUCAAGCCCCUUGAGAUCGUAGAUAUUGAGAUAAGUUAAACUUGGGAAGUUGCCAAGUGGGAAGGAUGAGAAAGAAUUGCAAGUACUUCUGAUGAUCGCCAAAUAGGCAAGGGAAGGGUGGGGACAUUUUAAGAACUCGAGUAGGAGAAACUCUAGUUUCUUACACUCCUUUAUAUAUAAUGAUUUCAUUGUAAUGGGUAAACAAACUCUGCAACAUUCCCUCCUCCAGUAGGGACUCCAAAGAGUCGGAAUUUUGAAUUGAGAGAUCCUGCAGUAGUGGUGGUAGUUCCUUCCACUGUAAGAUGUCACAGCUGAGAGUGGAGCAUGCAGCAUGCUCUAUGAUUCCCAUUAGUAAGAUAUUUUAAUUGCUUUUGUUUGACUUUCUAAGCUACAAAUUACAAGGAUUUAUAAUUCCAUGUGCAUUAUUCUUCAGGUUCUCUGUGUUAAUAAUUCUAUUCACCAUGUCCAUAUGGCAUCUUAGCGCUGUAAAUGUUAACAUUUUCCUUAGUGUAAUCAUUGUUUUAGCUUCAAUUAAUCUGCGGAUGUUCAGUUUAGACACCUCAAACCCAAAACCUUCAGCUUUUGACAGACCACCACUUCCUAGUCUUUGCUCAUCUCCUUCCCAUUUAAUUAUUGUCAUCAACCUUUGAUUUUUUUUACACCGUUAAUAGUAAAAGAAUCAUAAUUGUACUACAUGUGUUGAGCAUGGAUGCUACCAUUUAAUUUCCAUAUUCAAGCUUUUCUUGUACUUACAAAUGAUAAUGUGAGCUCUGGAUUUUCUUCUUUUAAAUUUGUGAUUCUGAGGCAGAUACUUGGAGAAGAGAGAAACCAAACCAUAUUCAAAAUCAUAGCACUGCAGAGGAUGGUUUUGUUCCACCAAGUUCAGGUCAGUUGAGUGGAAUCUUAUUAAUACUUCAAGGACGGAUGAUCAAAUUGGCUGAUUUUCCAAACUUGAUGACUGCCUCUAACCAUGAACUAUUUUUUUGUAUCGACUUAGUGUUAAGAAAUUAUGAACGUAUUGGAUCUGCUCAUACCACCUCCCUUCAAGAUGAAUUUUAACAACUCAGUACUUGGAGGAUGGCUACUCAACUAAAUCCUAUUUAUCGGAGCACAAUUUGAGCUUUUCUUCCUUACUCAGGUAGAGUGCUAUAAAAAUUCAGUCUAAAAAGUAUCUAUCACCCCCUUGUUAGAAUUCAUGAGAGUUUGCCUUUGAAAAUGUCUUAGUUAGACUCAGUCUCUGUUUUGCUCCAUAAUUUUCAGUUUUUCUGUUAGUAGAAGUAGUCAUAGCAGCUGAGAGUUUUUAGCAUUUUCAGUUUGGUUGCAAGCCUAUAAAUAGGCAUUCUCAUUGGUGAAAUAUUGUGUGCCUUUCUCCAACUCAAUACUCUAAUAUUUUCUGCAAGUUUUAGUUCCUUAUUUUUCCCUAGAUUUUAACAGUGGUAUCAGAGCAUUAUUCCUACGGGCUGUGAGGCAAAGUUUUUGAGUGUUUUUAGUAUUAAACACAGUGAGGUUGAGUGCAAACACUAGUGAGGUUGAGUGAUCUAUUUAAGACAAAGCCAUCACCUGCCUACAUUUAGGACUUGCAGACCACAUCUUCACCAAAAUCAUGAACUUGGAAACACCUAAACUGGUUUGGGACAAGCUCCAAGGUGAAUUUGAGGGUAGUGAAAGAGUCAAAACUGUUAGACUCCUCACAUGGAAGAGAGAGUUUGAGUUGAUGAAGAUGAAAGACGACGAAUCUGUCAAAGAUUAUUCUGGCAGGUUAAUGGAUGUUGUAAACCAAAUACGGCUUCUUGGUGAGGCAUUUACAGAUCAAAAGGUGGUAGAAAAGAUCAUGGUUUCAGUGCCUCAAAAGUUUGAAGCCAAGAUUUCUGCAAUUGAAGAGUCUUGUGACUUGCAAACUCUCACAAUUGUAGAGUUAACCAGCAAGCUUCAUGCACAGGAGCAAAGGGUCUUAAUGAGAAGUGAUGAAGCUACUGAAGGUGCUUUUCAAGCAAAUCACAAGGGAAAGAAUUCUGGAAACUUGCAAGGAAAGAAGUUCUUCAAGAACAACAAAGGGAAAACUGAAGGGUCUUCAAGAAAAGGAAAAUUUUCGUCUUGCUCUCAUUGUAGAAGAACCAACCAUGCUGAGAAAGAUUGUUGGCACAAAGGUAAACCUCUCUUUAAUUGUAAUUUCUGCAAUAAACUUGGCCACAGUGAGAAGUAUUGCAGAGCCAAGAAAAAAUAAUCUCAACAGUAACCAGAACAAAAUGCAAGUGUGACUGAAGAAGACAAAAAUGAUGAUGAGCAUUUAUUUAUGGCAUCACAAGCACUUAGUUCUCAUGAACUGAAUACUUGGCUCAUUGACAUUGGCUGCACGAGUCACAUGACCAAAUAUCUGUCAAUAUUUACCUCCAUUGAUAGAUCAGUUCAACCAAAGGUCAAGUUGGGAAAUGGUGAAGUUGUGCAGGCCAAAGGAAAAUGGACAAUUGCUAUCAGCACCAAGAGAGGUACAAAAAUUGUCACUAAUGUUCUUUACAUUCCAGAUUUAGAUAAGAAUCUUCUUAGUGUUGCACAAAUGCUAAGAAAUGGACAUGCAGUCUCUUUUAAAGAAAAUUUUUGUUUUAUCACAAAUGUACAGGGAAAAGAGAUAGCAAAAAUUAAAAUGAAUGGAAAUAGCUUUUAUUUGAAGCUUGAUUUAGUUUAAGGUCAUGUCUUUAGUGCCAAGAUUGAUGAGAGUGUUGUUUGGCACAAAAGAUAUGGUCAUUUCAACUUGAAGUCAUUGAGGUUCAUGCAAGAAGCUGGUAUGGUUGAAGACAUGCCUGAAAUCUUAGUUAAUGCUCAAACUUGUGAAAGUUGUGAGCUAGGGAAGCAACAACGACAACCAUUCCCUCAAAAUAUGUCUAAGAGAGCUACUCACAAGUUGGAAUUAAUUCAUUCAGAUAUUUGUGGACCAAUGAGCACAACCUCAUUGAGCAACAAUGUGUAUUUUGCAUUAUUUAUUGAUGAUCUCAGUAGAAUGACUUGGGUUUAUUUUCUAAAAACCAAGUCACAAGUGCUCUUUGUGUUCAAAAGCUUCAAGAAAAUGGUUGAAACUCAAAGUGGCCAGAAUGUUAAGGUGCUCAGAACUGAUAAUGGAGGUGAGUAUAUCUCAAAAGAGUUCAAUGUCUUUUGUCAAGAAGCAGGAAUUGUACACCAGCUAACAGCUCCAUACUCACCACAGCAGAAUGGAAUCUCUGAGAGGAAGAACAGAACCGUGAUGGAGAUGGCAAGGUGCAUGCUAUUCGAGAAGAAGCUACCAAAACUUCUAUGGGCUGAAGCAGUCAACACCUCAGUAUAUUUGCUUAACAAACUACCAACUAAGUCUGUUCAGAGCAAAACACCAAUAGAGGCAUGGUCUGGUGUAAAACCUUCUGUUAAGCACCUGAAAGUUUUUGGCUCAUUUUGUUAUCUUCAUGUGCCAUCUGUCAAGAGAGGGAAGCUUGAUGAAAGAGCUGAGAAAGGUGUCUUUGUUGGGUAUGCAGCUGAAUCAAAAGGUUACAGAAUUUAUAGCUUGAGUAGAAUGAAAAUCGUGAUAAGUAGAGAUGUGCACUUUGAUGAAAACUCCUACUGGAAUUGGGACUUGAAGAAAGUUCAUAAAUAUGAUCAAACCACUCCAUCUAUUCUUGAACCAGCAAUAGAAAGUACAAUCAUUGAAGGUCCACUUGAUGUUGAAACAACUUCAGACACACCUGUGCUUAAGAUGAGGCCAUUAUCUGAUGUGUAUGAGAGGUGCAAUCUUGUACAUGCUGAGCCUACAUGUUACACGGAAGCUGCAAGAUUUCUAGAAUGGAUUGAGGCUAUGAAAGCUGAAAUUGAUGCUAUUGAAAGAAAUGGAACCUGGAAGUUGACAGAACUACCUGAAGCUAAGAAUGCAAUUGGUGUAAAAUGGGUUUUCAGAACCAAAUUUAAUUCAAAUGGUUCAAUCUUCAGGCAUAAGGCUAGAUUGGUUGUGAAGGGUUUUGCUCAAGUUGCUGGAGUGAACUAUGGUGAUACAUUUGCACCAGUAGCCAGACAUGACACUAUAAGGCUACUACUUGCACUUGCUGGUCAAAUGGGAUGGAAAGUGUACCAUUUAGAUGUCAAGUCAACUUUUCUAAUUGGUAUACUUCUUGAAGAAAUUUAUGUUCAACAACCAGAAGGCUUUGAGGUUAUUGGCCAUGAACAUAAAGUGUACAAGCUACAUAAGGCUCUCUAUGGUUUGAAGCAAGCACCAAGGGCCAGGUAUAGCAGAAUUGAUUCUCAUCUGAUCCAACUUGGAUUUAGGAGGAGUGAAAAUGAAGCUACUUUGUAUUUGAAACAAAAUGAUGAUGGUUUGCAACUGGUAGUAUCACUUUAUGUUGAUGACAUGCUAGUGACUGGAAGCAAUGUAAAAUUGCUAGCUGAUUUCAAAAUGGAAAUGCAGGAUGUAUUUGAGAUGUCUGACCUUGGCAUCAUGAACUACUUCCUUGGAAUGGAAAUAUACCAAUGCAGCUGGGGUAUCUUCAUUUCACAAAGAAAAUAUGCUAUGGAUAUUCUCAAGAAAUUCAAGCUAGAAUCAUGCAAAGAAGUAGCAACUCCGUUGGCACAAAAUGAGAAAAUUUCAAAGAAUGAUGGUGAGAAACUUGAGGAACCCUCUGCAUAUAGAAGCUUGGUGGGCAGCCUACUAUACUUGACAAUAACCAGACCUGACUUGAUGUUUCCAGCUAGUUUGCUUUCAAGGUUCUUGAGUUCACCUAGAAAUGUUCACAUGGGAGUUGCAAAGAGGGUGCUAAAGUAUGUUAAAGGACAACAAAUCUUGGCAUUUGGUAUUUAAAGACAAGAGGAGUUAAGCUAGAUGGUUAUGUUGAUAGUGAUUGGGCAGGAAGUGUUGAUGAUAUGAAGAGCACUUCAGGUUAUGUAUUUACAAUCGGUUCAGGUGUCAUAUGCUGGAAUUUAAGAAAGCAAGCAGUAGUGGCACAAUCAACUACAGAAGCUGAGUAUAUCUCCUUAGCAGCUGCUGCAAAUCAAGCAAUAUGGUUGAGAAAACUGCUUGCUGAUUUAGUCCAGGAACAAAGCUCACCAACUGAGCUUUACUGUGACAAUAAGUCAGCCAUUUCCAUUACUCAAAUUCCUGUCCAACAUGGUAGAACCAAGCACAUAAAUGUAAAAUUCCACUCUAUAAGGGAAGCUGAAAAUAAUUCACUUGUUAAGCUGCAUUACUACUCAACAGAUGAGCAACUUGCUGACAUAAUGACUAAAGGACUUCCUAAAUCAAGGCUGGAGUUCCUAAGGUUGAAGCUUGGUAUGUCCAAGGCAAAUCUCAAGGAGGAGUGUUAGAAUUCAUGAGAGUUUGCCUUUGAAAAUGUCUUAGUUAGACUCAGUCUCUGUUUUGCUCCAUAAUUUUCAAUUUUUCUGUUAGUAGAAGUAGUCAUAGCCGCUGAGAGUUUUUAGCAUUUUCAAUUUGGUUGUAAGCCUAUAAAUAGGCAUUCUCAUUGGUGAAAUAUUGUGUGCCUUUCUCCAAUUUUUAGAUGGUGGCACUUUGAAUCUUUGGAACAGUUGUAGGAGGAAGCUUUGCCAAAGCCUCCCUAUGCAAUACAUGGGCCUUUGGCUGCAAGUGAGAUUUGAAGAUUCUAUUCUCUCUUGGAAGACUUCAACUCAUUUUUAUUUUUUUAGUUUUGAGCUUUGAGCUUUUACUUCCAAGCAUGUGCAAAGAAGAAAGAAAACAACAACAAAGGUCCACUUAUAGAAGUUUUACAUGGAGUGAGACUCCCAUGGAAAAUAUUGUAGCUAUUGGUUUGUCAACCUUGAAGGUUAUAGUUUUGUUUCCCAUUGGAUCUCUGAGGAAUGUGUUUGUUGAAUCAUACAUUUUGAGCUUACUAAUGAUUUUGUGUAUAUACAUAAAUAUAAAUGAUGUUUUCUUUUUCAUUCAUGUGGAAUUUGCUUCUCUAGUAUAUGCCGAAAAGUUACAAAUUUGCUCUUGGGUUUUACUUGAAGUGAGGUUCAAUAUGCCCUUCUUCUGCAUUUUGGUGUAUACAAGAGUUUAUAUCAUAGGCAAAUCACUUCCAAUCCAGCAUCUUUUAAAAUUUUUGUUUCCUUUUUUUUUUUCUAUAGUUUAAAAUGAUGUUGAAAACACUCUAUAAAAAAUAAUUAAAAAUAUCUUAAAUUUAUUCUUAAAAAUAACUACAAACCAAUUUUCAAAAUUCUUUUUUUUUUUUCUUUUAUCAAAAGCUUAUCUGUUUCAAAAUCACAUCAAUUUUGUCCUAGCCAAAUUUUUAUUUAUUUAUUUUUCUGCUAUAAACUAUGAUUUUGGUGGAUGGAGGGACUGUCUCCUCAUUCUGCCACUUGACUGAUAUUCAUAUUCUGUCCACAUUCCCACCGGAAUAUCACAUUCCGACCAUCUCUCCGGCCAAACUGCUGUUAAUUAAUCAGCAUGUCUCCGUCCUCUCUGUGGAACUUUUUCUUUUCUACCCUGAACUAAAAUUGCACUACUAUUAUCAAUGGCUAAAUAUUUAGAGAGAAAAUUUCUCUAAAUUAUUAUUAUUAUUAUUAUUAUUGUUAUUAUUGUUUAAUAUGAUUGAAUUUUUUGAAUAAUUUAUUUGAGUAGAUGAUCAAAACGGAUUUUCUAUUUUUAUCAAACCAACAUUGAAUUGGAAGACGAAAAGUCCAAGGGGGCUCACAUGGUGGGUUCAGCUGUUGGUUUGGGUGGAGUCACUGCAACAGAAUGGGUGUGGGCUGCCCCCCAAAAACCCACUCACAUGACAUCUCUCUUUCCUCCUUUUUCCGUCUAUUCCCAAAACCCAAUGCCCACCUUUCUCACAGGGCUUUUUUAACUUCUCCAGUUAGUUUUUUUUUUUUAAAAAAAAAAAAUUUUUAAAUGAUAAUUACAACAUUGAAAUGUGUCUUUUAAAAAAACAUCUUUCAUAUUUUUCAUAUCAAUGAUACAUAUUAAAAAAAAUUGAAUUUACACUAAAGGUAUCUUUUUGAGAGACCUUCCAUAAUUUCAUAAAACUGAAUUUAUGCUACAAGUGUUUCUUCAAGAGACAUUUUUCUACAAUUUUUUUUAUUAUUCAUACAUGUUAAACAAAUUGCAUUUAUAAUAAAGAUGUCUCUUCAAGAAACACCUUUAAUAUAAUUUUUUUUUUUUUAAUCGUGUGUUAUUGAUAUGAAAAUUGUUGAAGUAUUUCUUUAAGAGAUACCUUCCAAUGUGACGAAAAGUGUGAUAAAUUUGAAAAUGUUUUCCAAUGUAAUAUAUUUUGAAAAAUUAAUUUUAAAUUCGCCAUACUUUUAUCAAAAAUCCCUUUCUCAUACAACCAUUUAAAAAAGACUACCAUGGCCCCAUACUUUUCCACUCUUCCAAGAUUCCAAUUCCAUGAAUGAGAUUGGAAAUGCACAUCUACCCACUUCUUCAUCCCCCACACUUUGGUUUCCCCCUUUUAAUGGAACAACUCCAAAAUUGAGGUAUAUGCAAGCUUUCAAAAAAUGGGUAUGUGCCAAUCCAACGGCCCAAAAUGAACUUGGAAUCUAGAUGUACUUUUUCUCCAUUAUAAGGCACUAAAAUGAAUUCCAUGAUUAAGAUUUUGUUACAUGUUUUGGUUUGGAUCCAAAUACCCUUUUGGACCCAAAACCCUAAUUUGUGUUAUUUUCCUAGAAGAUGAUGAAUCUCACUUCAUUAGGGUUUCAUAUGUAAACAAGUAGCAGAUCAAAAACUACCACAAAGUCACAAAGUGGAACUCGGUCUUCGCAUAUAAAAAUUUAAUACUAAAUCCACUCAUUGUUGGUUUUAAUCAUAAUUUCUAUAGAAAAAUUAGAGCAAGCUAUUAUGUAAAAUUAUGAAUGAAGAUAUGAGAAAUAUUACAUUAUCUAAUUGUUGUGAAAUCUAUCUUAAUUAGGUCUUUUCCUAUCGCAAAAUAAAUAAAUAAAUAGAGUUUUGUAGUUGCUAUAAUAUAUUUGUCUGUAAGUCUUAAAUUGAACUCAUUGGAAGCUCUAAACCUACUAGUGUGAACAAUUGGAUUACUUAAUUCGGUGAUAGCUCAUUCAUUCAUUUUUUUAAUUGAUCUUUAAAUUUCUUUCUUUCUUUCUUUAUUGGUGAUGUUUCUUGGAAAAUGAUGUUGUACGUUUGAGGCAACCUUCCUAGAAAUUGUAGUGUAUUUUAUAAUCUUAUACACAAAGACUAUGUUUGGUUCUCAAAAAUAUUGAGAGAAAUGUAAGGAAAAUAAAAUAGAGAGUACAAAUAAAAGGAAAAAAUAUAUAUUUAAAAUCAAUAAAUUAUUUGUAUAUGUUAUUUCAAAUUCAUUUCAUUUAUUUUUUUUCCUUUAAUAUUAAAAUUAAAUAAUUUUAAAAUAUAUAACUUUGUAACUAAUUUUAAUUUUAUUUGAUGUUCUUUUAUAUUUUUCAUGAUGAAAUCAAAUAUGAGAAAAUUAUUUUUUCUUAACAAGUUUUUUCCUUAGCACUUUUUGGGAAUUAAACAUAGCCUAAAUGAUGAUCAUAAUUUUCUACAUAUUCUCCCCAAGUUUUUAUUUAUUGGAGACAAACACAAUGGGGCUCAUUUUAGAAGUCUUCCCAUAGUUGAGUGAUCACAAAAAGAGGAAUUUUUAAUUUGCCUUUCAUCUUGUUGGUCUUCAAAACAACCUUACAAAAUUGAUCUCUCUCUAAUCCAAUAAAAAAUAAUAAUAAUAAGAGGGACUAUUGAUUUCUAGUUUUUAACAAUAAAAAAAUUAUAAAAAAAAUUCUUACAAAAUAAUUUUUAAAGAACUUUUGAUUCAUGAAAGACCAGUACCUUAGCCCCUUUUGAUCAAAAAUAUACUUUUUAAUUACCAAAAGCAUGUCAAAAGCCUUUUGACUAAUUGAAAAUUUCUCUAGAAAGGAUGUCAACCACUUUUUUUUUUUUUCAAAUAAUUUUCUUUUUGAAAAUAUAUUUUUGUCUUCUCAAUAUUUUUUAUUUUUUAUUUCAAUAAAAGAAAUUUUCUUAUUGUAAGAGGCAUUUUUCAAAGAGAACUUUUAAAAAUUAAGAUAUAAUUCUUCAAAGGCAUUUUGUAAUUCAACAUUUGUAGUUGAAGAAUUUACCUCAUCUUCAUGGUCCUCCAAAGCACAAAGUAAUGUUUGGCAUCCUCAUUUGUGCACUCUUUUUCUAUGGAGGCUUCAUCAUUUUCACUUCAUGUUACCAUCACUACCUUCUUCUUUUUAGCACUUGCGGACUCUUUCUUUGAAUGAAGCCUUCUUUCUUUGACCUUCUCAAAUUUGAUAUAUUUCAUUAACUUCUUUGAGAUGAGAUCAAACUCUUCAUUUUCGCUUUCCUCCUCUUCAUCAUCAAUUGUUGAAGUCUUGAAUGAUAUGUCAUUUUUUUCCUUUUGACCUCUUGAUACUUGUUCAUGUUGAUCUCAUAAAUCAUGAGUGACCUAAUGAGUUCUUCAAGUAGGAGCUUUGAAAGAUCUUUAACUUCUUGGACUACAACCACCUUAGCUUUCCAUUUCUUUGGCAAGGACCUCAAAAUUUUUAUAACCUUUUUUAUUUAGGUAUAGGUCUUUCCCAAAGCUUGAAGUCCGUUGGUGAUGUCCAUGAACCUAGUAAACAUCUCACUAAUAGAUUCAAAUUCUUUCAUUGAAAACAAUUCAUAAUCAUGCACAAGGAUGUUAAUUUAAACUUUUUAACUUGGUUGGUUCCUUUAUGAGUAAUUUUUUAAGAGUCUCCGUAUAUUUUUUGCAGUUUCACAUUGAAGUAUCCUAUUAUAUUCAUUUAUGUCUAAUGCAUGAUGCAAAUAACAUAUAACUUAGCAUUUAGAUGUGAAUUUCUCUUUUCUGGUCCAUCCCACUCAUGGAUUGACUUUGGAAUGGGCGCACCCAUUUUUAAUUUUAAUUGGAAUAUGAUGUCUAUCUUGAAUGACUUACCAUAAAUCAAAAUCAAUAGACUUUAAAAAUCAAAUAAUUUGUUUUCUAAUACCCAUGAUCAUUUCUAGAAAAAAAAUGGGGUCUAGAAAUUAGAAAAUCUUUCAGCUACUAGCCAUUGGGGUUAAUAUGGUAUACUAGAUUAAUCAAUCGUUUCUCAACUGAUUAAGGUUUUAGCCUUGACUGGUUGAGGCUUAGCCUAGACUUGUUAAACAUCUUUCUGGUUUUGAGCAUUUUUACUCCCCUCAACCUAUCUAAGCCUAAUCAAAACAUAUUUUUGAGAUCUAUUUAAGGCUAGAAAACCUUGGUUUAUAGCUCCUUAACCUUUAGGAAACCUUUAAAAAGAUUUUAACCAAAUUAAAACUUAAAUUUUUCCUUGAUUCAAUUUUUAUUAUCUAAUUUGUAAAAGAACUAAAAACAAUUUAGCACUUGGAUGAUUUUAGGUGCUUAAGUAAAAAACAAAAUGCAUGGUCCUAGUGCACAAACAACCUUAUAACAAGAUCUUUGACAAAUGAUCUUCAAUGAUUUUUUUUUUUGGAAGUUUUCUUCUUCUUGAUUUUUAUUUCACUUGAUUUAUUUUUAUGAUUGUCACUUUGAAAAUCUUCUUGUUUAAACACACUUAGAAUAAACCAUUAGUUCCAAACCUUCUUUUACGAUCUUUAAAAUCGAGAUUAACAAGGCAUUGGUUUCACAAAAUCAUUGAUUUUUUUUUUCUUUUUCAAUCUAAACUAAAGGUAUAUCAAUUUUAUUAAUUAAUAAAAGAUCUUCUCUUUGCAAAGCAAAAGUCAUAGCUAUGGUUGGAGAAGAAACAUAUUGCUCUUUUGUUUUUUGCAAAACAACUUAAAAUAAUUAUUGUUACUAGUUGGAAUUGGUUUCCAAAACUCAUAAAAUUGAUAAUAAAGACAAACUUAUGCCUAAGGUCAAAUGAGGUUUAUAGUAUUAAGUAUCAAAGUUUUAAAAAUGUGAGUUAAGGCUUUAAUGUACUAUAUCAUAGAUAGCCUUUUCAAAUUGUAAAAAUUCACUUCUUUUAUAGAAAUUUAUUAUUUAAUGUGGGAGCGACAACUUGGGCCUAGUUUUCAUAUAAUUGAUCUGCAACUUUGAAAAUUUGAAGCGAUUGUUGACUAAAGGUGUGAUAAGUCCAUCUUCGACUACUACAAAAAUAAUUUAUGGUGUCACUUUUAAAAUAAUGACACCAUAUGACUUAAAAUUUAUAAAGGUGACACAUCGUAUAAAAAAUUUCAAUUAGGAUAGAUGAUAUUAAUUUUAAGUUUAUAGUGUCAGUUUUCGAAAAGUGACACCAUAUAAAAUAAAAAUUUUAAAAUAUUAUAACUUAAUGGGCCCACUUUGAGAAUAAUGAUACUAUAUAAAAAAACUCAUUGUUCCCACAUACCCACAAUCCAAAAAAAUCUCAUUCCAUAACCCUAACCAUAAUUUUCUUCUACCUCUUCUCGUACCCACAGUUAACACACAACUACUCUUCUCUACUUCGUGGACUCUCAGGUAACCCAAAAUCUCUUAGAUCUAUCAUUUUCAUUUUUUUUAUUAAUGCCAAAAUCUUUAUUAGCACAAUUGAUUUACAUUCAUUGAUUUAGUAUAUCUGUAAUGUGGAUUAUGUAAAUAGUGUUUCUUUUAUUGAGUUGUGGGAAAUUAAAAAUUAGGUUUAACAUUCCACCAUAUCUUUUGUUUCAUUAUUAAAUCCAUAAACCCCAAAAUGAAUGAAAAUAAGAUAAAUGAAUGGUUGUUUAAUAUCUUUCAUACUCAAAAUGAGGGAUAAACAUUUUACAGUAUGAAAUGUUCUUUUAAUCUUACAAGAAAUUUCCUUUGAUGGGACUUUCUAUUUGUUUUCUAGGAAUAUUAUAGUUUAUUGUGAUGGGGAUAUGUAUCGAUGAUAUUGGAAAAAUAAUUUUUUAGAAAAUUAUUCUCAAUAUUGUCAUCUCCCACAAAAGGAAAAAUGAAAUAGUUUUCAUAUCAUGUUGGAGUUGGUUUGGAAUAUUGGAAUUAACAAUGAGAAAUUAAUUUUAUUUUUUAUUUAUUAAUGUAAAUGAAUUUUUUUUUAAAUUUAAAUAGGAAUGAAAAUUUUUAUAAUUAUAAAAAUGAUAAAAUCUUAUAUUUUGAUUUUUUUUUUCUUUUCCAUUGUAUUAUGGUUAAUAUCUCAUCUUGUUCUAUUCAUAUUUUUUCUAUUCUUAAAAUAUGUUUUUUGUUUUUUUUUUUUACCUUCUUUCUUAUUGUUUUAUAUGCGUUGACCAAAAUUUAGAGUAAUUUGAGCUUUGGUGAUGAAAUUUCCCUUUCAAGGUUAGAAAAUUUCUAUAAUUAAAAUCCUUUUAUUACAUAAAUUUUCCUUUCAUAAAACUUUUUUUUUUUUUGAAGAAGAAGAUGUUUUAUAAUUUUCUUUUGAUUUUCUAUGAAAUUUCCUUUAAUCGGAUUGUUUGCUUAUUUUAUAAGAAUAUUAUAGUAUGUUGUGAUGAAGAUAUUGGUUGGUCAUAUUUGGAAAAUAAUUUUUGUGAAAAUUAUUCUCAAUAUUGUCAUCUCCUUCAAAAGGAUUCUAAAAAUAUGUUUUAUUUUUGUCUUCUUUUCUUAUUGUUUUUAUAUGCAUUGACCAAACUUUGGAGUAAUUUGAGAUUGAUGAUGAAAUUUUCCUUUCAAGGUUAGGAAAUUUCUAUAAAUUCCUUUUAUUACAAAAAAAUUUCCAAUCCCUUCCAUAAAACUCCUCAUUUUCUUCAUUUUUCUUUUUUCUGAAAAAAAUGUUUGAUAAUUUAUUGAUCUAAAGAAUAUUAAAAGUAAAAAAUUUAAAAUAUUGAAUAUCUUUUCCUUUGAUGUUUUUAAUUUUUUAUUAUUUUUAUUUGAACAUAUUUUUCAUAUCCAAUUUUUUUUAUUAAUUAUUUUAAUUAGAAAAAAUAAAUAUCAAUUGGAGUUAUGACUGAAAAAUCAAUAAUUUUUAUGAAAGGUUCUUUAAUUCUUUCUCAUACUAAUUUUUCUCUUAACAUUUUUUUAAUAAUGAAUUAGGUUUUUUGUCUUAUAUACACAAUUUUCAUGCUUGUUAUAAUAUCAUGUCCUCUCAUAUUAGUAGUUGAAAACAUUUUUAUAUUUUGUUACUAACAUUUUAUUUUAUAUAAUUGAGAUAAAAUUUAAUGGACAUUGUUAUUUUACAAAAUGAACAUUAAAAGAAAUAUUGAAAUUAAAAAAAUCCUUCCAAGAAAAAAAAAAAAAAAAAAUAUAUAUAUAUAUAUAUAUAUAUAACGAAUUAAAUGUUAAAAAUGAUUUUUAAAAGCAUAAUGAAUUAUAAAAAAAACAAAUUUAAAAAGUGUAGGUUUUAAGUGGAAGAUUACUAUUUUCUAAAAUUUUAGAUUUAUUUUUUGAUUUUCUAGUUUUGAUUUAUUUUUUAUUUUCUUGAAUUGUUUUUAUUUGAGUUCAAAUGUGACUGUUUUGUUAUGAGAUUCAGUGAAGAGAUAAUUGUUGAUUCUACAGUUAUUGUAUUAAAGGUUUUACUCAUUUAAUGAAUUGUGAUAUUAUUGUGAUAUUAUUAUGAUAGUUUCAUUCUUCCAAUUAUUGUGAUAUUAAUGUUAUUCUUAUUUGAUUUCAUUUUGAUGAUAAAAAAAAAACAUAUUCUCAAGUAGAAUUUGAUGAAAUUAGAGGAGAAUUGACUACUUUUGUGAUAUAACUAAUCAUGAAUCAUGUUCAUAUAUCAUGAUCAUGCAUGAUGAGUCCCUUAGUUGUUAUAUGAAUUUUCCAUUUGUAGAGUAUAACAUUUCUUAUUCUUUACGAACUAUUUUUAUAUCGAAAUGGGAAAAAGAAAAAAGAAAACAUUAAUACUUAGAUUUGUUUAUUUUUUAUAACAUUAAUUAAUUUUUAUUUUCAAUAAGAACUUUAAAACUCAUUAAACUAUAAAAUGCAGGUAUACACUCUUGGGAGGACAUUAUGAAGAAUAAAAAGAAAAGAAAAAGAGGCAACAAGAUUUUGGGUUUUUAGAUGUGACUUUUAUGUUAUACAUUAUAGGACAUAAACGUUACUUUAUUUGGUGUUGAGAAUUUUGGGUUUUUGGAUGCAACUCUUGUGUCAUUUUAUGGUUAGCUAAUUUUAUGCAUAUGAAAUGCAGGUAUACAUGAAUGUUGGAAUGCUUAACAUUUCUAAAUCAUAUUUUAAUGUAUAUUCACUUUUCUUUUUUAGUUUCGGUGGGUUUGAUGUACUAUCAUUUUGUGAACAUUUGAUAUACAAAUAUUACUAGAUGAUGUAAUGUAUUACAGGUUAAUCCAUAAGCAUUACGAAAAUAUAAUUUAAAUGUGAUAUGAUUAUUAUAUUUAUGGACAAAAUAUACACAAGUUGAUCUUAUUUAUUAAUAAGCAUUACAAAAAUAUACAAGCUAAUUAACCAAAAACAACCAUAUCUUCCAUAAUCAUUUACAAUGAUGUGACACCAUAACUCAAAGGUGAUGCAUUUAAUAUGACACCUUAUAUAUCUCACACAACUCUAUAUUAAAUUAAGUAUCACUAAAAAUAUAUGGUGUCACUUCUAAAUGUGUCACCAUUUAUCUGCUUUGGUGUCGGUUCCAAAUACGUCACCAAUUGGUACUCUCUAUUGUGUCAGUGGAUAAGGUGAUGCUAUGUUGUAGUGACACCCUAUGUUUAUAGUGACUCAUUAUAAAUGUCACCAUAUAGUGAAUUCUUAAUUCACUGCAAAUAAUAUAAGACUCUUAUAUCAAAAAAGAUAAAAUUUCUAUAAUCUCUAUGAUCAUGUGCACAUGUAACCCAUAUCUAAUCCCUAAAUUAAUUUUCUGCGAUCAAGAUUUGCAUAAUCAGUGUGAGUGUUGGAAUUUCACUCAUAUCCCACUUUCAUUAUCAAUUACUACAAGAUUAAAGUCAAUGACAAAAUCUAAUUUACUCCACUCUCAAGUUCUCAAAUUCCCAUAAUGCAAGUAGGAAUAAGAAAAGUGUGAUUGCCCUAGUGGGUAUGGGCGGUAUUGGAAAGACCACAGUUACUCAACUGGUGUAUAAUGAUAGGAGAGUGGAGGAAUGUUUUGACCUUAAAGCAUGGGUUUGUGUUUCAGAUGAAUUUGAUCUUGUCAAGAUAAUGAAAACCAUUCUUAAGGCAAUCAAUUCUGGGACUUCUAAUGACAAUGAUUUGAAUCUGCUUCAACUUAAAUUAAAGGAGAGCCAUAGCAGGGAGAAAUUCUUACUUAUCCUUGAUGAUGUUUGGAAUGAAGACUAUAUUAACAGGUAUUUGCUACAAACUCCAUUCACUGUUUGUUUAAAUGGAAGCAAGAUUAUUGUAACUAUACGUGGUGAUAAGGUUGCAUUAGUCAUGUGUUCAGUUGGGACAGUUAUCCUUUGAGUACUGUUGGUGGCUCUUUGCAAAACAUGCAUUUGAAAAUGGAGAUUUUAGUCUACAUCCGGAACUAGAAGAAAUUGGCAAAGAGAUCGUAAAAAAGUGUAAAGGAUUGUCUUUGGUUGCAAAGACUCUCAAGGGUGCCUUAUACUCAGAGUUACAAGUAAAAGAAGGGGAAAACCCAUGGAACGGCGAAACAUAGGAUUUACCAAAUAAUGAAAUUCUCCCCACCUUAAGGUUAAGUUAUUAUAUUCUUCCUUCACCUUAAAGCAAUGUUUUGCAUAUUGCUCAAUUUUUCCAAAGGACUACAAAUUUGAAAAGGAAAACUUGAUUUUGUUAUGGAUGGCAGAAGGUUUUUUGCAACAAUUUGGAGGUAAGAAAACAAUGGAAGAGGUAGGUGAUGGAUCCUUUUAUGACCUAUUAUCAAGAUCAUUUUCUCAUAAGUCUAGUAGCCACAAAUCAUAUUUUGUAAUACAUGAUCUUAUCAACGACUUGCUCAAUUUGUUCCCAGACAAUUUUGUGUUUAGUUGAAGAAUGAUAAGAUGAAUGAAAUUCUUGAAAAGCUUUGCCACUUGUCAUAUUUUUGAAGUUAAUAUGAUUGCUUUAAGGCUAUGUUUGGUACGCAAGAACGAGGUUGUAAUUAUAAAUAAAAUUAAAAAUAAAUAGUUUUUAAUAAAGUAUGAAUAAUAAUAUUAUAAUAAAACCAUAAAUUAUAUUUUUUUUAUAAAUGUUAUAAAAAUAAGGAUAUUAACAUCUUAUAGAAGCAUAAUUGAUUUAUUUUGUUAAAAAUAAAUAAUAAUAAUAUAAAAUUAAUAAUUGUUAAUACCAUUUUUAAAAAUCAUUGAACUUAUGACUUCGUUUUUUUUAAAUAAAAAAAAUUAUUUUUGAAGAAUAACAACCACACAAUAGUAUUAAUUUUUAGAAACAAUUUUAUUUUUAAAUCAUAAGCCCAAAUAGUUUUUUAUUAUUUAGCAAAAAAAAAAAAAACUUCCAAAGUUUUUUUUUUUCUUCAAUGAAAAUAAAAAAUUAUUUUAAACUAAGUGUGGACCCGCAUUUUUCACUUGCGCCCCCACUCGAUCGGCGAGACUCGCUUUUUUAUUUGUGAAAAAUAAUUUUUGGAAAAGCCAGAGUCGCCACUUAUUUUAUUUUUAUUUUAAAGGGAAAAUAAAACAAGAAAGGAAAACUCUAAAAAAAAAUGACUCCAUAAUUUUUGGAAAAGCAUGUCUUUGAAAACCCGAGUCUAGGUCCGGGGAUCAGGUUACUUAUUGGGAAGGUACCUCUAGGAGGUAGCACCCUUCUAAGCCCUAAAGAGGUCUCUACUAACAAAGUUAAGGGAAGUGUGGCCAUUAAUCAGUUAAUUAUGGAUACCUAAGUAGGCUAGGUGAUUUUAAAGAGUGGCAUGCCAAACACAAUCAAAUUGCAAUAAAGGAGAGUUAGGGUGCGUACCUGAACCGCUCUUCAAGCGCUAUCAUACAACAUAAGAGUUAGUGUAGGAAUCUAUCACACAACAUAUGUCUUAUCCAGGCAAAUCUAAUAUAUAUUUAAACACCCAAGAAUCACAUCAUGCAUGGAUGUAGUCACCAAUAGCAUACGUGUCCAUAGAAUUCUAAAAACAAAAUAUGAGAAGGAGCGUACCUAGAUAGCAAGCUAAAGCGCCUUUAUGGGAAGCAAGGUUAGCCCAAUAACAAAUAUAAAACAAAUUCAAGCAUAUCUCCAAGAGGAAUCAAAAUCAAUUAAAUACCAAACAUUCACCUUUAAAAUCAAUAUUAGUGAAGAUAUCAAGAAUGUAGGACCCCCACCAAAGUCCAUAUUACUUUUGCACGAAUUGAUUCAAUGAAUUCCAUUGUUUGGAAUCAUGAAGUUUGUUCAUGCUUGUUGAAAAUCGAGAAAAAUCAAGAAAUUCAGUUGAAAAUCAAAUAAAAUAGUGAAAAUGCAUGCCGGAAGGAAAAUGGCAGUAAGAGUGUUAGAAUAUGGAUUUUAUACCUAGAAAAGGACUUAAGAUGAAUUUUUCAAAACCAGGAAUGUUUAGUUGAACAAAGGUUCAAAAAUUCAAUUUAAAACAAUAAGUUUCCAAUCAAAGAAGCAAACAGAGGAGAAGGUGUGUAUAGCAGGGUUGCCAUGAAGUGAAGCCGGGAAAUUUUGGAUAGAAGGGACCAAUUCACUGCAAGAGUAUUCAACUGUCAAAUGUUUCAACGAGCCAAGCUAUCCGGGUGGAGAGUGAAUUGUUGGCCACAGUUACUCUCCUCUCCCAUCCGGCGGAAGGCGCCGGGUGUGAAAUAUCCGGAGAAGGCGGAACGUCGAACGGAUAGAAUGGCGGUUGUGAGAUCGGCCGGGUAUAACGGCGGCUGUGAGAUCGGCCGGGUAGAAUGGCGGUUGUGAGAUCGGCCGGGUAGAAUGGCGGCUGUGAGAUCGGCCAGGUAGAAUGGUAGUUGUGAGACAUCCAGAGAAAUGGGAGGUCGGCCGGGUGGAAUGGCGGCUGAGGUAUCCGGGUGGAAUGGGCGAUGCCAUAAACUAAGAACCCUCAAGAACUCUGCAUCUGUUUAACUCCAAGAAAACCCGUUUUACACGGCCUUUAUCAAGUUCCCACCUUUCUCGGGAUGUUCAUGGUCUCCAUAUCCGAGAAUACCAAGGUGAAGAAAGGGAAGAAACGUAGAUACAGAUGCACACAAAAAAGACCAAGAAAGAAAAAAAGAGAAAACAGGGAAAAGGAAGAUGAUAGGUCGGUAAUCAGAAUAAGUCACACUUUAUGCUUUUCAAAAUGGCUUGAAGAAUUGAACGCAUUAAGACAAACUUAGUUCAUAUUAUACCAAGAUUUCACAAACAUUAAAACUCAGCCAUAAAUCUCUGUUUCAGCUAUUUGUAGAAAGAAUCUAAGAAAUCAAGAACACAAUCAUAACAGAGCAAGCUUGAAGGAAAUUUCGAUUCAACAACGUAAAUAAGUGGCCCUCAAUGUCCACUCCAAUCAACAAGAAUAACUUCUCGAAAACAGCCAGAGAAUCUAGAGUGGAAUGUAAACGGGAAUACCAAAAAAAAUAAAAAAAAAAGAACAAGAAGCGUACCUGGCAGAUUCCUGGCUGCAAUCUCCCUUUUCCUGCUCUUCUGCACCUUUUCCCUCUCACAAUCAAAAGAAUCCCCCCUCCCUUUCUUCUCUCACAUAUAUAUGUCAACCUUCCCAAAAGAACAACCCAAAUCUGCUGGAGGAAAAUCCCCUCAUUCCUUCCUUUUGUAAUCUACUUUCCGUUCUUAUUUUCUUCCCUUUUAUAACCGAUUCUCCCAUGGAAAUAAUAUAUGUGCUAUCCUUCUGAAAACAAAAUCUCUUUUUAAAAAAAAUUCUGUUGAUUCUCCUUCCAAAUAGAUGACGACCCGUUUCCUCAUGCCCAAAAAGCCAAGAAAUAUGAUUUAGAAAACUUGUAAUAAGAUAAAAUAAAAUAAAAUAAAAAUAAUAAAGAAAUCCAUAUAAGCCACACAAGUCAUGUAGGUCAUGCAAUCAUGCAAGUCAUAUAAAAAGUGGGUUUAAAAGUGCUUAAAUGGGCCUAGUGUGUCUAAAAGCCUAGAGCGGUGCCUCAUGGGCCAAGUGUACCUAAAAGCUAUCCUAAAAAUGAACGGAAAAGCCUAAGUCUAAAUUAGGGCUGCCAAGAGUCACAAUAAGGGGUCAGAUAAUCCCUCAACCAAAAUCUCCGAGGUGGCUCAGAAAAAGGUAAGUUGUACGAGUAGUAAUGGGCCACCAAGGAACUAUUUUGAAGCACUGAAAACGAACUUAAAGUCAUGUGCUAAAGGGAAGAAAUUGAGGGUCUACACUAAGGUUUAAAAAAAAUGAAAAUAAAAUAUUAUUUUAAACUGAGAUUUAAAAAAAAAUGAAAAAAAAAAUAUUAUUUUAAACUAUAUGUAUGAAUAUUGUAAAUUCAUUUAUGAAAAAAAAAAUUAUUUUAAACUAUAUGUAUGAAUAUUGUAAAUUCAUUUAUGAAAAAAAAAAUUAUUUUAAACUAUAUGUAUGAAUAUUGUAAAUUCAUUUCUUUUUUUCAUUCUCAUUCUGUUAUUGCUUAACAUUGAAAUAAAAACAAAUAAUCAUUCUAAUGUUGCAUUGUUAUAUGCAUCCAAAACAUAAGAAUUGGAAUUAUCAAAUUCAUUCUUAUUCAAGGAUGAAUAAGAAUGAAAAGAAAAUUUUCUUUCUCAUUCCUCAUUUCCUUUCACCAAACAUGCUCCGAGAGAUUUGGGACCCUUAAUGAAGUUAAUGGUCUUCGGACCUUCUUACCAUUGAAUUUGAGGACUUGGCCUCGAUAUGAUAAGGUUUCAAAGGUUAUAUAUCUACCAUAUGGGCAUAAAUAUCUUCUACAAUUUUGCUAAAGUAAUAGACUUUGGAAUAAUUUAUUACCUAAAAGUUCAAUAUUUAAAGUUCAACUAUCAUUGUGAUAUUUAGACCUUACAACCAUCAAAAGGUUAUCUGAAUCAGUUUGUAGUUUGUAUAACUUACAAACAUUGAUACUAUAUUAUUGAGAUUCUCCUAUUGAAUUGCCUACAAUGAUGUGCAAAUUGAUUAGGUUACAUCAUCUUGGUAUUAGUCACAGUGGAGUGAAAGAGAUGCCAAGUCAAAUGGAUCACCUUUUACAAAAAUUGAGUAACUAUAGAGUGGGGAAGCAAAGUGGGACAAGGGUUGGAGAGUCUUCAAAUGGUGCCGGUAGUGGUAGAAGUAGAGGGUAUGACUUCAAGUAGGUACUCUAGACCACGAAUUGGAGUUCAUUAACGUGUUCUUUAAUUUUGAAGGAUUUGCAAAGAAACUUUCAAAUAUCCAAAAUCUUAAAAAAAAUAAUAAUAAUAAAAUAAAAUAAAAAAUAAAUAAAAGAGAGAGAGAAGAAGAAGAAAAAAAGAAAAAAAGAAAAGACCCAACAGAAUAAUUUUGUAUCUUAGGAAUAAGAGUUGAAUCCUCCAAUCAGCAAGAAUAAUUAUUUAAUGAAUCAACCGGAUUGAGACACAAAGUCUUCAGGUGUGAAAAGCCUGAGACUUUCCCAUUUUUAUUAAUCAAAAUAAUAAUUUUUGAAAGAAAUAUCUAUCAAUUUUAGUCCAAUAAUUAUUUUGACUAACUAGACUUUUAAAAGUGAUUUUUAGGAUUUUAUAGAGUAAUAACUUUUAAAAGAAGGCGGUUUUAAAAUUUAAAUAGUGCUUUUAAGCGUCUACUUGGUAAUCUUUUGAAAAACAAUUCUCAGAAAAAAGAUUUUCAAAAUCGGUUUUAAAAACAAAUCCAAUUAUUUUUAUAAUAAAAUAGUCUUCUUAAUUCAUAAAGGUAAAAAGUUCAUAUUUUCUAUAUUUUAUAUUGAUGCAAAGGAGGCUCUAUACUAUUUCUAAAAAUCACCCCAAGGAGAAGUUAUUUUGAUUCCUUAGUAUAAGUUAUUUUUAAAACACUUUUUUUUAAAAAAAAAAUGGAUAAGUUGUUUUUAAAAAUAAUUUUUUAUUUUGAUUUUGUAAAAAUACAAAUUGUAAAUUUAAUUUAAAUAAUAUACAAUAAAUUUAAUUCAAGUUAAUUAAACAUCAAAAUAAUUUUGUAAUUAAAAAUAAAUUAAAAAAUAAAUAUUUUUUAAUAAAAUAUGAAUAGUAAUAUUGUAAUAAAUCAUAAAUUAUAUUUUUUUAUAAAUUUUAUUAAAAUAUAGAUAUUAACAUUUUAUAAAAGCAUUGAUUUAUUUUGUUGAAACUAAGUAACAAUAAUAUAAAAUUAAUAAUUGCUAAUACAAUUUUUAAAAAUUAUUAAACUUAUGACUUUGUUUUUAAAAAAUUGUUUCUCAAGAACAACAACCAAACAAUGUUAUUAAUUUUUGAAAACAAUUUUAUUUUUAAAUCAUAAGCUCUAAUAGUUUUUUAUUAUUUAACAAAAAAACAAAAAAAAAAAACCCUCAAAGUUGUUUUUUUCUUAACCGAAAAUAAAAUAUUAUUUUAAACUAUAUAUAUAAAUAUUGUCAAUUCCUUUCUUUUUUUCAUUUUUGUUUUAUUAUUACUUAACAUUAAAAUGGAAACAAAUAAUCAUUUCAAACUUGCAUUACUAUAUACAUCCAAGUAUAAAAAUUGGAAUCACCAAAUUAUUCAUUCCCAUUCAAGGAGAAGUAGGAAUGGAAAGAAAAUUUUCUCUCUCAUUCUUCAUUCCCAUAUACCAAAUAUUGUCUCAGAGAUUUGAGACCCUUAAUGAAGUUAAUGUUCCUCGGACCUUCUUACUAUCAAAGUUUAGGACUUGGCCUCAGUAUGAUAAGAUUUCAAAGGUUAUAUAUCCAUCGGAUGGGCGUAAAUAUCUUCUACAGUUUUGCUUGAGUAAUAGAGUUUGGAAUGAUUUAUUACUUAAAGUUCAAUAUUUACUGAGUGUUGUCACUGUGAUAUUUAGACCUUACCUCCGCACCCAUCAAAAGGUUAAAAAGAAUCAAUUGUCACUUAUGGGUUGUUUCAGCGUGAAAUUGAAGUUGAAUAAUGGAGGUGAAAUCCAAAAGCCGAGAAGCAGCCAUUUGGGUUAUGAAAAUGAUUUAUAUAUUGGAGUGGUUUGAGGGUUGGCCAUUUAAACCAUGCACUGUGAACUUUUGCACCUUUCUCUUUGGCAGCUUGAGCCAACCAACUUACAGAACAACAAAAAUUGAAGUAAUGAUUCCAUGAGUUGGGUGUGUGUAGGUGGGUAAGAGUUGAAGGCAAAGCAUGUGCUCUUGCAGGCCACUACCCGCCUGUUGUCGUGAGAUCUCACUUGGAGACCCACCGGACACAUGGUGUUGAGAAGGUUGACGUUGGAAAGAUGAAAGGUGGGGAUAAUCUCGGCUGGUGAUACACACAACACUAUGCACCCGGAACACCCACAGGAAACGAAGAAGAAUAACAAGAAAAUAGAACAUCCAAAAAAAAAAAAAAUUGCCCCCCAUGCUUACCUGAGAGCUCCUCCAAAAAAAAAAAAAAAAACCUGAUCGUUGGACUUCUCCCCCAGCCUCCUUGUCCUCCUUGCAGCUGGCUUCAAUUUUUUUUUUUCUUCUCUCAGCUCCGUCCCUCUUUUUCCUCAACCCCCCACCUUUUUUUUCUCUUCCUCUCUGAAAAACCCUGUUCCAGCCAUCAUCCAUCUGCCACUCUCUGUUCCAGCCAUCACCUCUGUUCAGAGACAUCCCUCUCGCAACCACUAGCAUGGGAAGUUGGUGGUCCUUUGUCAUGCGUCUCAACAUGCAGCUCGCUUGGAAAACGUCUCCCACUCCUCCUGCAUGAGAUGUUCUCCGGGGGUGAUAUGAAAAUACCCCUUGGUCCAAGAGGGGUCUACAAUUACAUUAUUUAAUUGUUGUGAAAUCUAUCUUAAUUAGGUCUUUUCCUAUUGCAAAAUAAAUAAACAAAUAAAUAGAGUUUUUGUAGUUGUUAUAAUAUAUUUAUUUGUAAGUCUAAAAGUGAACUCAUUGGAAGCUCUAAACCUACUAGUGUGAACAAUUGGAUUACUUAAUUUGGUGAUAGUUCAUUCAUUUAUUUUUUUAAUUAAUCUUUAAAUUUAUUUCUUUUUUUCUUUAUUGGUCAUGUUUCUUGGAAAAUGAUGUCGGACGUUUGGGGCAACCUUCCUAGAAAUUGUAGUGUAUUUUAUAAUCUCAUACACCAAUGGUGAUAUUUCUUGGAAAAUGUGGUUUCUUGUUUUUUCAAUUAAUCACAAAGGUGAUCCAAUGGUCACGCCUUGAGUUAUUGAGAAACCAGACUUUGGUUCCACAUUGCCCUUGGCUUUUAGUCCAAGUAGUAGGUGGUAUCCACAGCCAUAUAUGAUAGUGUUUUCCACUCCCAAGAUUCCAUGAUAUCCCUCUGGUUAUCUGUUCUCAAUCCUAGUAACAAAUAUUGUUAUGAGCACAUGGUUCUACACCUCAUGCUCAUAUGCUUUAUUGAAUUUAACGUGAUUGUUGAAUGAAGGUAUGACAAGUCCAUAUUUUUUUUAUAAAAACCAAAUGAUUAUGAGACUCUUAUAACAAAAAAAGUUAGAAAAUUUUUAUAAUCCCUACAAUCUUGUACAUAUCUAACUCAUAUCUAAUCCUUAAGAUUGUGAUCAAUCAAGAUUAACAUAAUCAUCAAUCGGUGAGUCAGAAUUUCACUCAUUUACCACUUUGAUUAUUAAUUACUAAAAGAUUAAAAAUCAAUUUACUCUACCCUUUCUUGCUGUUCUAAGAUUACAUCCCCAUUCAUAAACCUUUGAUUGAUUAAAAAUAUGCAAAACAAUAAUGGUGUUCCCCACUAUCCAAAGAUUCGAUUUCUAGCAGAGAUUGAUCUCUUUGGUACAUACAUGCAUUCAACAAUUAUACAAAACAAUAAUUGUUUCCAUUUCAUAUUGAAGAUUUUAAAAUAAAGACCAGACAUUUCCAAUAAAGAUUAUAUUGCAGUGCAUUUCAUAUACAUGAAACAAAAACUACUCUCUUUUACCUUCUACUUGAUUUCUCUUAUUCACCACCCACUUCUCUUCUCUUUGUGAAGCUUCUACUUGAUUUCUCUCAAUUCACCCACUUCUCUUCUCUUUGCGAAGCUUCUACUUGAUUUCUCUCUACUCACCCACUUCUCUUCUCUUUGCGAGGCUUCUACUUGAUUUCUCUCAUUCACCCACUUCUCUUCUCUUUGCGAAGCAAAGACAUGGCUCCAGUUGGAGAGGCAUUGCUCACAGCUUCUAUUCAAGUUUUGUUGGAAAAGAUGGCUUCUCGCGAGGUCCUGAGCUUCUUCGGGGGACAGAAACUCAAUGCUGCACUCUUGAAUAAGUUGAAGAUCACAUUGCUCACUGUCCAUGCAAUCCUCAAUGAUGCGGAGGUGAAGCAGAGUGAGAAUCCAGCAAUCAAAGAGUGGCUCCACGAGAUUAAAGAUGCUGCCUACGACGCGGAGGACUUGUUAGAAGAGAUUGCUACAGAAGCUCUUCGGUGCACGACGGAGUCUGACUCCCAAACUAGUGGAACUCAGGUAUGGAACGCCAUCUCGACCUCUCUUAAUCCAUUUGGUGAUGGGGUGGAGUCCAGGGUUGAGGAGAUAUUUGAUAGAUUAGAAUUUCUUGCUCAACAAAAAGACGCUCUUGGGUUGAAAGAAGUUGUUGGUAAGAAACUAGCAAAAAGAUGGUCGUCCACUUCUGUGGUGGAUGAAUCUGGUGUUUAUGGCAGGGAGGGUAGUAAAGAGGAGAUAAUUGACAUGUUGCUCUCAGACAAUGCAAGUGGCCAUGUCAAAACUGUGAUAGCCAAAGUUGGCAUGGGCGGCAUUGGGAAGACCGCCCUAGCACAACUUUUGUAUAAUGAUGAAAGGGUAAAAUCAUAUUUUGAUAUGAAAGCUUGGGUCUGUGUAUCCGAAGAAUUUGAUCUCUUCAGGAUAUCGAAAACAAUUCUUGAGGCCACUAAUGGAGCCGCUUUUAGUUGUACUCGUGAUGUAAAUGACUGAAUCUGCUUCAAGUGGAGCUAAGAGAGUCCCUUAAUGGGAGGAAGGUUCUAAUAGUUCUGGAUGACGUCUGGAAUGAGAGCUACAAUAACUGGGACAUGCUACAAACUCCGCUUAAAGUUGGAGCAAGUGGUAGUAAGUUUAUUGUAACCACACGCAAUGCAAAUGUUGCAUUAACCAUGCGUGCGCAUCACACUCAUCAUCUCGAACAACUAUGCUUUGAAGAUAGUUGGCGGCUGUUCACAAAACAUGCAUUUGAAAAUGAAGAUCCUCUAGUACAUCCAAAACUGGAGGCCAUUGUAAAAGAAACCGUGCAAAAGUGCCAGGGCUUGCCUUUAUCCAUCAAAACACUUGGGGGUCUUUUGCACUAUAAGAUGGAUGAAAAAGAAUGGGAUAACAUAUUGAGGAGUGAAAUGUGGGAUUUGCCGAGUGAUGAACUUCUUCCAACUCUGCGGUUAAGCUAUUGUCAUCUCCCCUCAAAGUUGAAGCGAUGCUUCGCGUAUUGUGCAAUUUUUCCUAAGGGCUAUCAGUUCCGAAAGGAGGGGUUGAUUUUAUUGUGGAUGGCAGAAGGUUUUCUGCAACAACCAAAAAGCAAGAAAAGAAUGGAAGAGAUAGGGGACUGGUACUUUCAUGAAUUAUUGACAAGGUCAUUUUUUCUUAAAUCGAGUAGCAGAGACUCAUGUUUUGAAAUGCAUGACCUUAUAAAUGACAUGGCUCAACAUGUAUAUGGAGAUUUUUGUACUCGAUGUUUGGAAGAUAAGAUGAAUGAUGUGUAUAAGAAGACUCGUCACUUCUCACACCUUGUAAGUGAAUAUGAUUCCUUUGAAAAGUUUGAGACUCUUGUUGAAGUUAAAUGCCUCAGAACCUUCUUUAAAUUCCAACCACUAUUCAUGCAGACUUGCUUAAGUAAUAGGGUUUUACAUGAUGUGAUACCAAAUAUUAGAUGCCUCCGUGUUUUGUCCUUGUCUGGUUAUUGGAUUGUUGAUUUGCCUGAUUCAAUUGGCAAUUUAAAAUGUUUACGUUUUUUGAACCUUUCUCACACACCUAUCAAAAGGUUACCAGAAUCAGUGUGUAGUUUGCAUAAUUUACAAAUAAUUCUACUCUCUAAUUGCCGUUGUCUCCGUGAGUUGCCUCAUGGAUUGAAGAAAUUGAUUAACCUAUGUUAUCUUUGUAUUCGUGAUUCUGGAAUAAAAGAGAUGCCUGAUCAUAUUGGUCAAUUGAGAAAUUUACAAGAAUUGAGUAGAUUUAUUGUGGGUCAAACAAGUGGUCGUAGGAUUGGAGAGCUCAGGGGGCUUUCAGAAAUUAGAGGGAGGCUGCACAUUUCAGAACUCCAGAAUGUGGUUUGUGGUAUGGAUGCCUUGGAGGCAAAUUUGAAGGAUAAGAAGUAUGUUGAUGAUUUGGUGCUGGAGUGGAAGAGCAACUCUGAUGUUCUACAAAAUGGAAUUGACAUAGUCAACAACUUGCAACCGCAUGAAAAUGUCAAGAGGCUUACCGUUGACUCCUACGGGGGUACAAGAUUCCCUGAUUGGUUAGGAGAUCGUUUGUUCUUAGAAAUGGUGUUCCUAAAUCUCAAGAAUUGUCAACAUUGCUCUUCUUUGCCGUCACUCGGCCAGCUAAGCACCUUUAUAUCUCAGGGAUGCAUGGCAUAGAGAGAGUUGGUACUGAUUUCUAUGUCAAUAAUUCUUCCUCAGUAAAGCCCUUCACAUCCCUUGAAACUCUCGUUUUUGAGAAGAUGAGACAGUGGAAGGAAUGGGUAUCUUUCGGAGGAGGCGAAGGUGGAGCAUUCCCUCAUCUGCAGGUGCUCUGCAUAAGGCACUGUGCCCCAACCUCACUGGAGAAUUACCCUGCGAACUUCCUUCCUUGACGAAACUUGAGAUUUGUGGAUGUCAGCAGCUUGUGGCUUCAGUUCCAAGGGUUUCAGCCAUUCGAGAAUUUAAGAUACUCAAUUGUGGUCAGGUUCUGUUUGGAAGCCCGCCUUAUGAGUACUUCACUCAUCUGCAAACUUCAGGAAUUGAAAUUUCAGACAUCUCACAGUGGAAGGAACUACCUCAGGGACUGCGGGGGCUCACAAUUCUAAAAUGCGUCUCUGCGGAGUCACUACUAGAGGGAAUAAUGCAAAACAACACUUGUCUUCAACACUUGAUUCUCAAACGUUGUUGCUUUUCCAGAUCCUUGUGCAGAUGUUGUUUACCCACUUCAUUGAAAUCACUACGCAUAACUACGUGUAGAAGACUACAUUUCCUCCUUCCUGAGUUCCUAAAAUGCGACCAUCCCUUCCUUGAACGAUUGCACAUUGAAGGUGGUUACUGUAGAUCUAUCUCUGACUUCUCAUUUGGCGUCUUCCCUAAGUUGACUCGUCUUGAAAUCUAUGGUAUUGAGGAGCUUGAAUCCCUAUCCAUUUUGAUUUCAGAGGGAUCUCUCCCAGCUCUCGAUAUACUGCUAAUCCAUACCUGCAACGAUCUCGUAUCUAUUGAGUUUCCAACUUUCGAGUUGACACGCUAUGAGUUCUUACAUUGCAAGAAGCUCAAGUCGUUGAUGUGCUCCCUCGGCUCUUUUGAGAAACUAAUUUUACGAGACUGUCCCCUAUUGUUGUUUCCAGUUGGAGGUUCUGUGUCCAGCAUAAAUUCACUUAGAAUUGACAACUGCGACAAACUCACACCCCAGGUGGGAGUGGGGCUUGCAAGGACUGGCUUCUCUCUUACAAUUCAGCAUUAGAGGUGGAUGCCAAGACUUGGUGUCGUUUCCAAAGGAAGGCCUGCUGCCCUCAACUCUCAACUCUCUUGUAAUUGAAAGUCUCCCAAAUCUCAAGUCUCUAGAUGGCAAGGGGCUUCAACUGCUUACCUCUCUUCAAAAAUUACGCAUCAAUGACUGCUAGAAUCUUCAAUCCCUGCCAAAAGAGGGGCUUCCCACCUCCAUUUCUUUUCUAAAAAUUAGCAACUGUCCCCUGCUGAAAAAUCGAUGCCAAUUCUGGAAAGGGGAAGAUUGGCAGCGUAUAGCUCACAUUCCACGCAUUGUGGUGGACGACCAAGUUCUGUAAUGAAGGUACUUAUUCUGUCCUAUAAAUGAUUUCCUUCUAAAGAAAGUAGGCUGUGAUUGAAGCUUUCUAGUCAUAAUAUUAAUAUCUUUUAUUAUUUGUCACUUUCCUGUGCUGAAAAAAUAUUACACCAAUUUAUGUCAUGGCAGGCCUAAAUACCAAUUUUAUUUUGAUCCAUAAUAAAUAGGAAAAAUAUUCUUUAAAUUUUCUAAUUAUUAUAACAAUUUCUUGCUUUCUUUCAGAUUAUCUGUAUGUCUCGACUCUGGCACUGAUUCAACAUGUCAUCACGAGGAAUAUUUUAAGACUCACUUGCUUAAUUAGUGCCAUGAAAAAAUGAUGCUUAAAAGGCAAGCAUCUCUUCAGGUCUAGAUUUCGUAAAUUGAGUAAUUUUGUGGACAUUGAGUUUGUUUUCACUGGCUAAUUUGCUGAACUGUCAUGACAGAUUUUUUUUUUCCCAUCCAAAGACUCAUGAGUUGAUACUCCCCUCGAGGAACUACAGAAAGCUGGACUCUGUUGGAGAGUAAAGUAUGUGGCAUGCUCUAUGAUUCCAAUUAGUAAGACAUUUCAAUUGCUUUGGUUUACCUUUCUCAGCUACAAAUUACAAUAUUCAUAAUCUCACAUGCAUUAAUUCUUCAGGUUCUCUGAGGCUGCAUCUGUGUUGAUAUCUUAGUUCUUCUCUAGAAACAACAGGUAUAUUUUGAUUCGUACUUUUCAUAAGCUGACACAUUGUGUAGUUCCAUGAUUUUCAAAACGAGAUAAACCUAUCAUGGCAGGCCUUUGAUCCUAGUUUUCUCAACAAAUUCAAGCUGUCUAGAAAUGAUCCUUCCAAUGGGACCAUUUUUUCCUGUGAGUUCAGAGUCAUGAUUCUCUUUCUGGUAGACAGUGGCAGAGAUUUUUUUUUCCCAUCCAAAGACUCAUGAGUUGAUACUCCCCUCGAGUAACUACAGAAAGCUGGACUCUGUUGGAGAGUAAAGUAUGUGGCAUGCUCUAUGAUUCCAAUUAGUGAGACAUUUCAAUUGCUUUGGUUUAACUUUCUCAGCUACAAAUUACAAUAUUCAUAAUCUCAUAUGCAUUAAUUCUUCAGGUUCUCUGAGGCUGCAUCUGUGUUGAUAUCUUAGUUCUUCUCUAGAAACAACAGGUAUAUUUUGAUUCGUACUUUUCAUAAGCUGACACAUUGUGGAGUUCCAUGAUUUUCAAAAUGAAUACUAAAUUCUACUGAAGCUAAAACAAAAAUCUUACUGCCUGAGGUUAUGUCUUUGAUGAAUUUUAUUCACUAUGUAGGGAAUAAAACCAAAUUCCCAACCCGUGAGAAACAAAAAAUUAGAGAAAAACCCAUGCCAAAGAAAAAACAAUCACACGCACAAGACAGUAUUUACGUGGUUCGGCAAUUUGCCUACGUCCACGGAGUUGCAGGGAUAUCACUAUUAUCAGGGAAGAAUACAGAGUACAACCUGGCGGCUACAAUAUUCUCUAUAUAUAUAUAGCACAGCAACCCUACCAUACUAAAAAACCCUAAUUACAAAAGGUGGUUCCACAAUGGGCUAAACGGGCCCAACAGGCCUCAAUAAAUCUCCCAUUAAAAAACCAUGCAAUAUUAUUCGGGUCGGGUCGUCAAACCGGAUCAAACAAAACUAGGCUCCACAAAGCCCAACACACUAUGUUCAUACGGCCUCCGAGUGACCUAGACUUUAGCAUGUGCCUUAGUGUACACAUUGUUUUCAUCUCUUUCAGCUUUAAUUGAUCUGCAGAUGUUCAGUGUAGGCACCGCUCAUCUCCUACUCAUUUACAUGAUUGCCAUGGACCUUUGUGCUUUACUUUGUUAAUGAUAAGGUAAUCAUAAUAGUACAUUAGUUGAGCAUGGCUGCAACCAUUUUCAUAUUCAGGCUUUUCUUGUGCUUACAAAUGAUAAUGUGAGCUUGAAUUUUCUGUUUUUAAAUUUGUGAUUCUGAGGCAGAUAUUUGGAGAAAAGAGAAGGCAAACCAUAUUCAAAGUCAUAGCACUGUAGAGUAUGCUUUUGUUCCACCCAAGUCCAAGUCAAUUGAGUUAAAUCUUAUUAAUACUUCUAGGACACAGGUUCAAAUCAUUUGAUUUUCCAAACUUGAUGACAGCAUCAAAUUCUGCUGAUUACCAUGUGAACCAUUUUUAUUUUCAGAUGGUGGUAUUUUGAAUCUUCAGAGCAGUUCCAGGAGGAAGCUAGCUUUGCCAAAGCCUCCCUGUGCAAUACAUGGGCCUUUGGUUGCAAGUGAGAUUUGAGGAUUUUAUUUUAUCUUGGAAGACCUCAACAGAUUUUUUUGAGUUUUGAGCUUUGAGCUUUGAGCUUUUACUCCCAAGUAUGUGCAAAGAAGAAAGAAAGCAAUAAUAAAGAUUGGUUUACUGAAGUUUUAUAUGGAAUGAGACCCAAUGAAAAAAAUUGUAACUAUUGGUUUUUCAGCCUUGAACAGUAUAGUUUUGUUUCCCAUUUUGUUCUUUGAGCAAUGUAUUUGUAGAAUCAUACAUUUUGAAGUUACUACUGAUUUUGUGUAUAUACAUACAUAUAAAUGAUGUUCUCUUCUUGAUUCAUAUGGCAUUUUCUUCUUUGGUAUAUGCCGAAAAGUGACAAGUUUGCUCUAGGGUUUUACUUGAAGUGAGGUUAGAUAUGGUUUUUUUUUUUUUUUUGUGUAUAUAAGUGUUUACAUCAUAGGCAAAUCACUUCCAAUCUAGCCUCUUUUAACAUUUUUGGUUCCUUUCAUCCUCCUCAAUGUGACUUUGGUGCAAGUCGUCUUGAUAUAAAUGUUUGGAGUUUAAGCUUUUGGGUCAAUUUAAUCUUUAACUCAACAUCAAAGUCUCUGUUUUCAAGAUUUCCUGGUGCUCAUAAGAUGUUUAAAUUGAUACCCAAGUGGAAUUCUAGGACAAAUAUAUAUAUAUAAAAAAAAAAAAGUAUUUGUAGUAGUAACACAUUAUAUAAGAGGAAAACGUAAUUCAAAAAAAGAAAAAAGAAAAAAGAAAACAUAUAUACCAAGUAUCAUGUAUCAACGCACUUCAAACGAUUUUCUAAAUUUUUAAUAUUUUUUUCAAAUACUUAACUUUAAAAAAAUUAAAUAAAUAACACUUUAAAAAGUGCUUUUAAUUCUAAUAGAAUCACUUUUAAACGAAUUUGGAUAUAAAUCAAACAAGUUGAUUUUUAGUGCAUCUAAGGCCCUUUGGGUAAUGUUUUUAAAAAUAAUUCUUUUACAACUUUUGAAAAAAGUUUUUAAAAACGGUUCAUAAUUAUUUUCGGUAUAAAAAAUAGUUUUAUUAGUUUAUUAUCCAUAAAGAUAUCAUAUACUUAUCUACUAUGUAAAAGUUUUUAUUUCCAAUUCAUGAAUGAGAUCAGAAACCCAUCCACAUCUACUCACUUUUCCAUCCCCACCCAUGGAGAAGAAGAAAAAGGAAAAUUUUGGGUUCCCCAUGGAACAACACCAAAUUGAGGUAUAUGCAUGGAUGAAAAUUUCGCUAAAUAUUGAUAUAUUGCAUAUCAGGGGAUAUGGAAAUAUCGGCUAGGCAAAAUUUCAAGAAAAAUCGCUGAAAAUCGCCAAUAUUUCCCUAUAUAUCGGUGAUUUGGUGAUAUUUCGCCGAUUUUUCCCAAUUUUUUCAGGUGGUCAACACAGGUCAACACAUGUUACAAUGAAGGCUUAAACUUGCUGUUAAGGGGGCUUGAACCCCAAACAAAAGGCUUAAACUUGCUAUUGAAGGUACUUGAACCCCAAACAAAUUAAAGGCUUAGCUAAGCUUGGCCUACCCUUGUUUAAUAUAUUGCACCAAACAUGUUUAUAUUGAAAUUCAUCAAAUAAAACAAAUAUUAAAAGAAUAUUUUAGAGAACAAAAUAAUUAUAAUAUUUUAUAAUUAAAUAAAAAAAUUCAUUUAAUUGAUUACCAAAAAUAUAAAAGUUAUCAUGAUAAUUUUCUUCAUAAUGUUUUUAAUAUCAUUAAUAGAUUAAUUAAAUAUUAUAAAAUUAUAUAUAUAUAUUCUAUAUCAUUUAAUACAAUUGAAUUAAAUGAAUCAUAAUUUUAAUAAUAAAUAUAUUUUAAAAUUAAACAUAUUAUAAUCAAUAUCACAAUAUUAUUAUGAAAUAAUAUUUGAUGUAAUUUAAUAAUAAAUGUACACUUAUAAAAUUCAUAUAUUUUUAUCAAUACAUAGAAUAUUAUUAUCAAAUAUGAUAAAUCAUAAUAUGCAUAUAUCAAAUUCUUCAACAAAACGACUUUAAAAUAUUUAUUAUAUUUCUAAUUAUAUUUUUAUAAGGUUUUUCUUACAUUUCCAUGAAUUUUGAUCAAUUUUUGGUCUUUCGAUAUUUUUUUCCAAAAUAUCUAUCGAUAUAUCCGUAAAAUCGAAGUACCGAUAUAUUCGUGAUUAUUGAUAUUUUCAUCUUUGGGUAUAUGCAAGCUUUCAAUGAUGGGUGUGUUAAUUUAGAUCUUUCAAUCCAAUGGCCCAAAAUGAACUUGGAAUCUGGUUGUGUUUUGCUCCAUUAAGGCACUACAAUGAAUUCCAUGAUUAAGAUUUUGUUACAUGUUGUGGUUUGGAUCCGUGUGCCCAUUUGGACCCAAAACCCUAAUUUCGGUUAUUUUUUAGGAAAUAUUGAAUCUCACUUCAUUAGGGUUUAAUAUGUAAACAAGUAACCGAUAAAAAACUACCACAAAGUGACAAAGUAAAACUCUGUAAAAAGGGUCUUCACAUAUGAAAAUUUAAUACUAAAUCCACUUAUUGAUGCUUUUGGUCAUAAUGCCUAUAGAAAACUUAAAAGCGAGCUAGAAUGUAAAAGUAUAAGUGAAGAUGCAAAAAAAAUAUUAUAUUUUCUAAUUUUUGUAUAUCAAUCUUAAUUAGGUCAUUUCCUAUUGCAAAAAAAAAAAAAAAAAAAAAAAAAAAAAAAAAAACUUGAAAUUUUUUGUACUUGUUAUAAAAUAUUUAUUUGUAAGUCUAAAAGUUAGCUCAUUGGAAGCUCUAAAUCUAUUGGUAUGAACAAUUGGAUUACUUAAUUUGAUGGUAUCUUAUUCAUUUUUUUUUUUUAAAUUAAUCUUUAAAUUUAUUUGUUUCUUUCAUUAUUGGUCAUGUUUCUUGGUAAAUAAUGUUGUCCAUUUGUGGCAAUUUUCCUAGAAAUCACGUUGUAUCUUAUAAUCUCAUACACCAAGAUCAUGUUUGAUUUCAAAUUCAGUUUUGUGGAAUUAUGAAAGGUAUCUUUUGAAGUGACACCUUCAAUAUAAAUUCAAUUUUUUUUCAAUGUGUGACCGAUAUGAAAAUUAUGGAAAGACGUCUCUUAAGAGACACCUUUAAUAUAAAUUUAUGAAAUUGUGGAAAAUGUCUUUUAAAGAGACAGUUAUAGAAUAAAUUCAAUUUUGUAAAAUUGUAGGUGUCUCUUCAAAAGACACCUUUACUAUAAAUUAAAAAAAUUUCAAUAUGUGGCUGAUAUGAAAAUUAUGGAAGGUGUCUCUUCAAGAGAUAGUUUCUGACAUGAAAAAAAACUACAAUAAUUCCUUAAUAGCUUCACAAGUACCCCUUUUUAAUUUCUUUUGUUUUUAUAAUUCAUUGUAGAAAUUAAAAAAAAACCCUUUCCAAGAACCAAGCAUAGUUUAAAUAAUGUUGAUAAUUUUCUACUGAUUCUCCCCAAACUUUUAUUGGAAACUAACAUAAUGGGGCUUAUUAUAGAAUUUUUAAUCUACCUAUCAUUUUGUUGGUCUUCAAAACCACUUUACAAAAUUCAAAACAAAAAAAAAAAAAAAACAAAACAAAAAUAGAGGGAACAUAGAUUUCUAGCUUUUAAAAAUAAAAAAAUAAAAUAAAAUAAAACCCAACAAUUUCUUAAAGUAGGUUUUGGACCUAAUGAAAUACAUAGCAGUUAAACAAUGUUAAAUGACAUAUGACUGUUUGAAAACAAUGUUAAAGACAUUAGUUCGAUCACUGUGAUUCUUAUUACAGCUAGAAUUUUAUUUAUGUAUCUUUUUGUUCGUGUAUCACAUUAUAGAGUCUACCAUUGUGAGAACUAAUGCCCCUUAAGCUUCAACACUCAUCUCAAUUUUAUGAAGGUUCUUUUAAUUAUUAUUUUGAAUUGGGAUUUGGCCACAACCUAAAUUAACCAAGAAUUGACAAUUGAGACAAACUCAUACUCCAAAUCCAAUUGGUUGAACUAAUUGCACUAUGGAAUGCUCAUAAUGUUGGUUCGGUUCAAUAAUUGAGUCGCUACCGGUAUCAAACUGAAAACAAACUAACUAAACUAUCAUUCAACUCUUUGGACCAAUUCUAUGGUCCGUACUGUCAAUUUGGUUUAGCAAUCUAGUCGUGCUAGGUAAUGAAUUGAAAACAAAGUUGGGUUGUCUCUUGACCAGUGAACCCAAUAUAUUAGAAUGUAAAAGGCAAAUGAUAAUUAUGCAUGCGCUACUUUUGUGUUUGUUGUAGUGUUAAAUUAUUUUGAAUGUGUAUUCAUAUGUUAUCAUUUUUAAUAAUUAAAUAUAUUGUAGCAAAGUGCAAAAGGCAAAUAAUAAUCAUGUCUCUUGCUACUUUUAUGUUUAUUGUAGAGGCAAAUUAUUUUGAAUGUGUAUUUAUAUGUUAUCAUUUUAUAAUUAAAUAUAUUAUUUAUCAAGAUUUAUACAAUAAUGUAAACUUAAUAAUUUUUAAGAUAAUAGAGUAGGAUAAUGUAAUGGAUAAAAUUUUAUUAUUUCAUUCUAGAAUAUAUCAUUGAAAUAGUAAAUCAUAAAUAUUAUAUAUUCAUACUAUUUAAUAAAUAUACAAAUAUGGAAAUGAUAUAUGUUGACAAUUUUGUUCAUUUUAAUGUUUAACCUUAGAAGUCUUUUUAAAUAAUGACUUACUCUUCAUUGAAGAUCAAGAGUUGUUGUUCGUCCAAUUGGGAAGUCAUAGGUAUGUCUAAAAAUGUUUGGCUUAUAGCAAAUUAGGCUCCCAAGAGGUAUAAAGAGAAACAAUACCUUCUUAAUUAAAGAAAAUUGAUUUUUUAUGAAUAUUGAAAGAAAUAGGGGAUGCUUGAGUGGAAAGCAACACUCAAGCGCUAGGAUCGCUCAAUCGCUUAGCAUUGUUCAAGUGCCCAAGGUGCUCAAGUGAUGGUUAAGUGUGCCCAAGGCGCUCACGAUUUUUCUGCUGAGAUUUGGAAGAUAUUUUUGAGAAUUUCAUGCAAAUCUCAUUUGGAAACCUUAUGAUACCAAAUCUCUUUGAGAUAUUUGCCUAUAAAUACCUCAUUAUAACCCUUCUAGGGUUAAAGAUUGGAGAGAUUUCGAAGAAGUCUCCUUGAGAGAAAGCAUAAUGAGCCACACUAUUCUCGAUCUCUCAUUCGAAGGAUUCAAGCAUUGAAUCUUAGGUUGAAGACUUUCAUCCCUUCAGCAAGGUUGAAGAGUAUUCAUUGGAGCAAUCAGAGGUUGCUACGUUGCGGAUGUGGAUCAAGUUGUAGGUACUUGAAAGUAAGUCUUUAGAGUAAAGUGAUCAAGUAAAUAUGUAUAACUUGAUCUCAUAUAGUAGAUUUAGAUUAACAGUCCUAAACCUCAUGAUUUUUUAUCUCGAUAGUUAGUGUGGGGGUUUUCCACAUAAACAUCCUUAUGCUUGAUUGCAUAUCUUUAUUAUCUUAUUUGCAUUGCCUAUUAUGAAAAAAUUUGAUAAUAGUGACUAAGUAUAUCCCAAACAAUUGCUAUAAUAAUGUGCAAAUACAUAUAGCAUGUGUUUAUUUUAUAGAAAUUUUUUAUUUAUACAUAAUUUCACAUAUUUUAUAGGAUAUUUCUCAGAUUUUAUCUACAAUCAUAUUGAAUAUUCAUAAAGCUAAUUUCAUUAUUCAUUUAUUAUAAUGGUAAUAUUCAAUUUAUUUUUUAUUUAUUUAUUUUUUAUUUGAUUUUUCUUAUUUAUGUUGAAUAUUAUAAUGAUAAUAUUAAAUUUAUUUUUUAAUUACAUAACUGUAACUAAUAUGAUUAUCACUACUGAUUGCUGAAAAGUUAAAUUGUAGAUGUUAUGAUUCAUUAUUUAUGUUGAAUGAGAAUUAAGCAGUUAAAUGUGAAAGAGGGACUUCCCACCUCUAUUUCUUUUCUAAAAAUGAGCGACUGUCUCCUACUAAAACAUCAAUACCAAUUCUGGAAAGAGGAAGAAUAGCAACAUAUAGCUCACAUUUCACACAUUGUGGUAUAAAUGAUUUUCUUCAAAAGGCAAUAAGUUGUGAUUGAAACUUUCUAGUCAUAUUGUUUUCUUCCUGCUUAGUACAUGUUUUAUCACUCUAGGGUUUAAUCCUUCAACAAUACUUUCUGUUAUCUCGACUGCCUUUAAUUAACCAUAAACUAACUACUUUUUAUAUCGACUUUGCCUUAAGGAAUUGUGAAUUAAUUGGAUCUACUCAUACUACCACCCUAUAAAUUUUCUUCCCUGCUAACUUUACGUAGUUAAUGUUAGAAAAGUUAAAAACAUUUUCUAAAUUCAUUGUCAAAUACACUCUUAAUUAUGAUAAAAUCAAUAUAACUCAUAACAUGUUUAGAUGAAUAUGUGAGAAUUAGAACCCUUUUAAUAUUUGAAAGCAUUUUUUUCCCAUAAAAUUUGAUAUUUUUUAUAAAAUUAAUAAUUAUUUUUAAAAAUAUAAAAUAAUCAUUGAAGUAAUUUUUAAACUAGUAACUAAUAGAUGUUUCUUUUAAUUAUUUUUAUUAUGUAAUAUAUCAUCAAAAAUACUAUCAAGUCACUUUCUCAUGCAAUUUGACUAAAUCAAAAUAGAUCUUAAUAUUAUUAAAUAUCAAUUUGUUUUUAUUGUUGAAGUCUUAACUUUUUUUCCUAGUGAUGUAUUACUAUUGCUAUGAGUUAAAUGAACAAUCUUUAUCCUUAAAAAUAAUUUAUUUUAUUUUAGCUAUUGUAAAUAAUUUUGAUAAAGAUAUUUUGAAACUAAUAAUUUAAAAAUUAUUAAUUUGAUAUAUUUAGGAACAUCCUUAAAUAUUAAAAUAUAUAUAUAUAUAUAUAUAAUUAUGGACCCCGCAUUUCGGCUCAUGCGUUUCCCACUCGAUAGCGAGCUCAAAUUUUAUUUGAAAAAUGAUUUUAAUUGUUUAAGAAAACUGACUUGGAGUCGCCACUUAUUUUUGUUUUAUUUUUAAAGGGUAAACAAAAUAAGAAAGAAAACCCUAAGUGCGACUCCUUGUUUUGGAAAAGGUGGCCUAUGAAAACCGGAUCGGGCUCGGGGGUCAGGUUACUUAUCGGGAAGGUACGGUAUGAACCGUAGCACCCCUCUAAGUCCCUAAAGUCGGGUCUCUACUAAUAGAAUGAAGUUGACGUGGUCAUCAACAAGAAAAACAAUGAACACUCAAAUCGAUCGUGCACAAUAUGAGAAUCAGAAUAUGCAUACAGAAUGAUCAAAACAAGAAUGAGUGCGUACCUGGACCUCCAGUCACGAAUGCGCUGUAGAAAAGAAUCCGUGAGUUCCUUUCUUGCCCAUGAUCAGCCUCCCGAUUGUCCUUCUCCUCCUGGAAACUCUCUGCCCUCCCAAUAUCUUUUUUUUUUCUUCCCCCUCUUGUUUCCUCCUCCCGCAAGCCAAUAUCCACUCCUCUGUUCCCCUGCUCCGCAUGUCUGGAGCCCCAACCACCACUAUGGUUGUGGUCAGUUGCUCUCCACACUUUUCAUGCAGCUGAUGUUUCCAGAAAACGGUCCCCGCCCCAGCCUUUCUCGAGUUGACACGCAUAAAACCUCAUAAAUGCUCCACCUGAUAAGAAACGGCUGCAGCUAGAUGGGGGUCUACAAAUAUGCCCCUCUUUAGUAGAGUUCACGAAUGUAAAAGACAUGAACACUAGAGUGAAAAGAAAGUGUGAAUAGUGAGUGGAAUGAAGUGGACUCUACUGAAGAACCAAGGAGACCCCCAUAGGGACACUGGUGAAACACGAACUCGCUCAGACUAACAGAUGGACAACGAGGCUCUAAUCCCAAUAAGGAAGGAUGUCUCAAAAUGUCUCUAAAGUCACACUGAGGACCCAGGCUCUCUCUAAGAUGUCUCCAAAAGUGACUCGAAAGACCAUAUCCAAGAUGAGUAACUGUCGAACCACUCUGAAGUACAUGAAAGAAUGCGUCUAAAGGAGACUGUCCUACGCGAACCACAUGAAAGCAACAAGUGUAGGGUGCUCAAUAACAUGACAGAAAUACGUAUCAUAGACUCAAAGGAUCGUGUCAUGAGCAAUGAGGAGGGAAAUCUGGAAGAACAAUGACGAAUAGGCGAUAAGCACAAGGUAACCAGGUGAGGAAAAAAUGAGAGUAAGUGUGAUACCAUGAAAGCCAGAGUGGGCAAUGUCAGUGAAUGUGAAUACCGGGGAACUGUGACUCAGAAUGAUACAAAGGAGGAGAAGUGACUCUGAUCAUCAAUAACACGGAAAGAUGGAGACUCAAGGUGCCCGAAUGGACAAUGUACAACGGCUCUGAACGCCAAACUAAAGAAAGAUGAUGGCGUCGAAUGCCUGAAUGAGCAUGAAAAAUGGCUUUGAACGCUGAAACUAAGAAAAAUAGUGACUCAAAAUACAUGAAUGAGUAUGAAAAACGGCUCUGAACACCAAAAACUAAAGAAAAAAGAAAGUGAUGGCUAUGGAUGUGGAUAUGAGACUACAACUCUGAACAUCAAACUGAGAAUGAAUAACGACUCUGAAUGCCAAAGUGCAAUUGUGGCUCUAAAUGCCAAAUGGGAAAUGUACGAUGACUCUAAACACCAAACUGUAAGCACGGCUCUGAACGCCAAAACGAAACAAGGGCUCUGAAUGCCAAAUGGAAAGCGAGCAAUGGCUCUGAACGCCAAAAUGAAACUAGGGCUCUGAACGCCAAAUGGAAAACGGACGAUGGCUUUGAAUGCCAAACUGAAAGUACGGCUCUGAAUGCCAAACUGAAACAAUGGCUUUGAACUCCAACUAAAAAGAAUGAUGUGAUAACCCCAAAUGUCGAUCCAAAACCGAGGCUCUGAAUGCCAAAUGGAAAACGAACAAUGGCUCUGAAUGCCAAAUGGAAACAAUGGCUCUGAACGCCAAAUGAAACAAUGGCUCUGAACGCCAAAACUAAAAAUGAUAUACUGAUCCUGAAUGUCGAACUAUAACCAUGGCUAUGAACACCAAAUGGAGAAUGAACGGUGGCUCUGAAUGCCAAAUGAAACUAUGGCUCUGAACGCCAAAUGGAAACAAUGGCUCUAAACGCCAAAUGAAACAAUGGCUCUGAACGCCAAAUGGAAAACGAACAAUGGCCCUGAAUGCCAAAUGAAACAAUGGCUCUGAACGCCAAAUGGAAACAAUGGCUCUGAACGCUAAAAUGAAAAAGUGAUAGAAAUGGACGUCGAAAUGAAAACGCGGCUCUGAAUGCCAAAAGAAAAUGAACGACUCAGAACGCCAAACUGAAACGCCAAAUGGAGGAUAGAUCUAGGUGUCAAACUAAAAACGAACAAUGGCUCUGAACGCCACACUGAAAGUAUGGCUCUGAACGCCAAACUAAACUGAAUACCCAUGAACGUCAAGUUGAGAAGGACGACUCUGAAUGUCAAAAUAGAGAAUGACAUGGUGGCUCUAAACGCCGAACUGCAAGGGAAUGAUGGGGGGAAAUAUGCCUCAGUGUAGCAUGUCACCAUAGCUCUCAAUCCAUCGAAAGUGUUUGAAAGAGACUCCAUGAGUCUCAUAAGAUGCUCUAGUAGUGAGUCGAGAUGAUCAAAUCAAAUGAUCCACUAGGGAAUCUCAAAAGAAAGACGAUCUGAUAGGGGUAACCACUGUGAUCUCAAUACAACAAUCUACUGAAGAAUAACAUAUAGCGAGGCAGUCACAACCCGAAUGUCCUGCCCCACUGAAAGCUCAUCUCGAUGAAUAUCGCCAAAACAGUGACCUAUGGAGCAAAUACGAUAUCUCUCGGCCGAGUGGUGAAAACUGUAACAAAUUUGUGAUAGAAUGACCUUCUUCAUAUCCAAAUGAGGGAAAUAUGCCUGGCAUCAGAUGUAUCCAAUCUGUCCCGAUGAAUCAUGAGUAACUCAAUAGGGAUGCAUCGUAGAUCUGACAAGUGUCCCGACAAAAUGAUGAUGUGAGAGUCCACGAGCCUGAGGCGACUCCAUCCAAAAAUCGUAAUGACACCAGAAAGUAUGAGCCUGAUGAAACGACUCAAAGGAAAGCCCACCGGAGAAUCAUGACAAAAUGAAACCGAAUCCUCAACUCGGCAUGUAUCUUGUAACUAGGGAUGAUCAUGCAAACCAGAGGGGAUCUAUGAAUCUCAAUCGAAAUGGAAAAUAUGCCCCAGUAUGGCAUCAAAGGUGUAACAAGCCGGGAAAAUCAAAUGACAUCAAAUCAUGCAUCGACAGAUAUGUAAUCCCGGUCAUCCGAAUCCAUAACAACAUCACACUCAUCAAGCUAAGAUGCAUCUAUCAAAUAGAGGGGCACGAUGGCAUCUGAGCGCCGAGAAGUGCGUGUCUAACUGGAUGACUCCCGAGAGGCUCCACUGAGGAAUCAUCAUGACAAUAGUGAACAAAUCGUUGUCUUAACGCGUGUUCUGUGAGUGGGAACGAUCACGUAACUCCAUGGAGAUCUCCAAACCUCAUCCGAAAUGGAAAUAUGCCCCAGUGUGGCAUCAAACGUACAAUAAGUCGAAAAUCGAGUGAUAUGGAGUCAUCUAUCAUCGGACAUGUGAUCUCCGUGAUCCAAAUCAAAUCCAAACAUCCAGGGAACGUCUCUCAGAAUAAAAAGUAUAAAAACAACCCGAUGUCGAGAAAUGCGGACCUAGAUGAAUGGCUCCACUAGGGAUCCACUAAAGGGAUCAUCAUAAAAUAGCGGAAACAUCAUCGUCUCAACGCAUACCCCGCAGGUGGGGAUAAGCAUGCAACUCCGUAAAGAUCGGCAAAUCUCAUCCAGAACGGAAAUAUGCCCUAAUAUGGCAUCGAAUGUGUGAUAAAUCAGAAAAGAUCAGGUGUCAUCAAAUCAUCCCUCGUCAAAUGCGCUAUCCCGGUAAUCCAAACACAACUGAAACGAAUCUAACCAUCAAAAAGGCGUCUCCCAGAAGAAGAAGCAUGACAAUAUCUAAAAGGCAACCAGAUCUCAAACACCUGUCCAAGCAGAGGCUGUCGAAGACGACAUCUGAUCCCAUGGCCUCAAGGUGGUCUUAAGACACGGGACGUAACGUAGGCUAGGGUGAUAGGGUGAUAGAAAUGAAGGGAAACUAGACCCAAAUACCCAAUGAUCAAAACUCAUGCCCUUAUGUAUAAAAUGCAAUAUGUAUAGAGAAGCCCGUGAGCCAUGGACCUGAAUGUGCCCAACGUGAAUGUGAUAUCAAUAACGAGGUGAUGAAGAAAAAUGAUCUGAUAGCCGGAUGUGUAAGAAUGAUGCAUGUGAAGUGUCAAACUAGGAAUAAAAGGGUGUGGUAAGAAAAAAAUGGCAAAGGGUGAUAUGAGAAUGAUGAAUCAAAAACGAAGACGAGAAUGAUGAUGAAAUGAGCAAUAUAAAGGGGAGUAGUGAUCAACUCAAAUCAGACAUGGAGUGAAGUCACAUCAACAAUGAACGUAAUGAUGGAUAGAACAAUGACCCGGAGUCCUUAGGAGAAGGCCACUCAUCUCGCUCUCAAAACAUAAGACAAAAUGAAUACAAAGAAUGAAGGGUCUCGGGAAGCUCACAUACGAACUCCCAUCAACAAACAUACUCGAUACAGUGACCCUCGAAUAUUAACAUACACGCCCAGCAAUGGAGAAUACUAUGCACAUACACACAUGUGCUUAUUUUUCUUUCCUUUUCGGUUUUUUUUUUUUUUUUUUUUUUUUUUUUUUUUUUUUUUUACAUAUAUACAAAAGCACAUACCCUGAACAUAAACAAAUGAACCCCAAAGAUGAUAUCAAUAAUGAAUAGACACACUCCCAAGUGCUAAGGUAACAAAAACUCUCUCUGACAAGAUGACCUUCUCAAACUAAGGAUCUCUAAAUCAGUGUCCGUAUGAUAAAUAGUGGAAAUGAUGUAACUAUCCCCCCAUGUAAUGAACUGAGGAGGAUUACCGCUCGAGGUGGAGAGAAUAUGAAGCAAAACAAGUAGAUAGAAUAAAGAAUGAGAGAUGAAAAACACAACUAAUGAGAUAUGAAGGAAUGCAGUAGGAAAAAAUAAUGAGAGAAAGAUGCACCUGUAGGUCCAAGGCUCAUGAGGCUUCCAAACAAUGCAUGCAUACACUAAAGGGCCCCAAUCCCGAUGUAAAAAUGUGAGUAAGGUGAUAAGAUAGAAAUGCUAUAAUGCACACGCGAGACUCAAUGGGCUAGCAAUGGUUUAUACGUCAAAAGGGAAUAACAAGGUAUAUGGCUAAACCGAAAUGAUGGCCACCCAUCCUGCGACCAUGGUCUCAAACAUAGUACCUCUUUAGCUGAUCCACGUUGGUAGGCUCCGAGAAUUGGUUUCCAUCUAGAUCCAUCAACCAUGCAGCGCCCUCUGGAGUCAACUCUCUGAUGAAGUAAGGUCCGCUCCAAUUGGGUCUGAACUUCCCUUAGGAUCUCUGAUCAAUCCCCUGAUGACCUUCAGAACCAAGUCACCUACAUGUAGUGGUCUGGGCUUGACCCGCUUUUUGAAAGCACGGGCCAUCUUCCUCUGAUAUGCGCGAACAUGGUCAGCUACCCUCAAUCUCCUCUCAUCAAGGAGAUUGAGCUGAUCAAAUCGAGCCUGAGCCCAAUCUGCCUCGGGAAUCUACUGCUCUGAUGCUACUCUCAAUGAACCCAUUUCAAUCUCAACUGGUAGCACUGCCUCCAUACCAUACACCAAUGAAUAGGGUAUGGCCCCUAUAGAGGUGCGAAAAGAAGUCCGGUAAGCCCAUAAUGCGUAAGGGAGCUUCUCUGACCAAUCCCGAGAAGUCUCAACCAUCUUCCGUAAAAUCCUCUUAAUAUUCUUGUUCGCGACCUCUACUGCCCCAUUCGUCUGGGACCUAUACGCAGAUGACCUAUGAUGUUGGAUGCCAUAUCUCUGCACUAAGGUGUCAACCUCUACUCUGAAAUGCACCCCUCUGUCUGAGAUCAACUCAUGAGGGACUCCGUAUCGGCAGAUGAUGUGUGAUCUAAUGAAACUAGCAACUCCAGAUGACGUCAAUCUCGCAUAUGAGGCGACCUCCACCCACUUGGUGAAGUAAUCAAUAACGACAAGGAUAAACUCAUGACCACUGGAAGAUUUCGGCGAAAUCUUCCCGAUGAUAUCGAUACCCCACACUGAAAACGGCCAUGGUGAAGUCAAUGCAUGCAACUCUGAGGGCGACACGUGAAUGAGAUCUCCAUGUAUCUAACACUCGGGACAUCUCUGAACGAACUGGCAACAAUCCAUCUCCAUGGUCAGCCAAAAAUAGUCAGUCCUCAUGAUCUUACGAGCCAACAUAUGUCCUCCCAUAUGUGGUCCGCAGACUCCCGAAUGAAUCUCUCUCAUCACUCGAUCGACAGAGGCGCGGUCCAAACAUAAUAGCAACAUCCCGUCAGGUGAUCGUCUAUAUAACAUCUCGCCACAAAUCAUGAAUCGGGCCGCUAACUGUCUCAAUGCUCUCUUAUCCUUGGCUGUAGCGGUCUCAAGAUAUACGCUGAGUCUCAAAAAAUGAUAUAUGUCAUGGUACCAAGGCAAACCAUCAUCUGGUUCCGCAUCAUCAAUCAAGCAACAGUAAGCGGGAGUGGAUCUCGACUCGAUCAAUAAAAGACGAACAGUGGCAUCAGCACGAAUAUCGAUCAUGGAAGCUAGAGUAGCUAAGGCAUCAGCAAAUUGAUUCUGCGCUCUAGGCAGGUGCGUGUAUCUCAAAUCGUCAAAUCUAGCGACCAGUAGCUCCAAAUAUGUGUGAUAAGGCCUGAGCUUCGCAUCUCUAGUCUUCCACUCACCCUGAAUCUAUCUCAAUACCAAAUUGGAGUCACCAAACACCUCCAUCUGUCUAAUCUCGAGCUCAAGGGUCGUCUCCAAUCCCAAGAUACAAGCCUCAUACUCAACAAUGUUGUUCGUGGCCGGAUGUCGAUCCGAGAAUGCCAAACGAACAGAUCUGGGAAUGUGAUCACCGUGAGGGGAUAUCAACAAAACGCCUAUCCUGCAUCCAGAAUGGUUGGCUGCACCAUCAAAGUACAUGCGCCAACCCGACAGACUAGUCACAACUACAACAUCCUCAUCUGGAAAAUCAUCGUCAAUAGCUCUAGCAUCAGAAACUGGUAAAGAGGCUAAGUGAUCUGCGACAAUGCUCCCUCUAAUGGACUUCUGAGUGACGUAAUGGAUGUCAAACUCCGUUAGAAGUACCAACCAUCUCAUGAGGCGACCAACUAGAGCAGGUCUAUCAAACAAAUAUCUCAGAUGAUCGAGACGGGAUAUCAAGUGCACGGAAUACUCAGUCAUGUAAUGUCUCAAUCGGCGAGUGGCCCAAACCAAUGCCAAGCAAUAGCGCUCAAUCAUGACAUAUCUCGUCUCAUAGUCUAGCAUCCUCUUACUCAGAUAGUAAAUGGCUCGGUCUUUGCCCAAAUUAUCGAGUUGAGCUAACAUGCAUCCCAAAGCCACGUCUGAGACUGAUAAGUAUAGGAGUAGAGGGCGGCCCGGUGUAGGAGGCGCUAAGACUGGAGGUGACAACAAGUACUCCCUGAUCCUCUCGAAUGCGCGCUGACACUGAUCAUCCCAAACAGUAGGUUGACUCUUCCUCAAGAAUCGGAAAAUGGGCUCACAGAUGUCUGUCAAUCUGGCAAUGAAUCUACUGAUGUACUGAAGUCUGCCCAGGAAGCCUCUGACCUCUCUCUCUCUGUCCUCGGUGUAGGCAUGUCAAGGAUGGCUCUAAUCUUGUCCGGAUCUACCUCUAUGCCUCGCUCACUGACCAUAUAUCCCAAGAGUUUCCCAGAAGUCACUCCAAAAGUGCACUUCUUGGGAUUCAGUCUCAAUUUGAACUGUCUGAUCCUCUCAAAGAAUCUCUCUAGAGCUGCCACGUGAUCUGAUCUAUCUCGGGAUUUCACUAUCAUGUCAUCUACAUAAACCUUGUGUAGACCCUCAAUUUUGUCCUCCUGGCACAUGUCUUAUUAGAUACUUGUUCGAUACUUUACAGUUAGCUCCUUGGUGGCCCAUAUCUACUCACACUACUUACCUUUCUUGAACCACCUCGGAGACUCUGGUUGAAAGAUUGCCUAACCCCUUAUCAUGACCUUGGCAGCCCUAAUUUAGACUUAGGCACUUUCCUGAACGCUUUAGGCCCAUUUAAGCAUUUUUAAACCCACUUUUUAUAUGGCUUGCAUGAUUGCAUGGCCUACAUGACUUAUGUGGCUUAUAUGGAUUUCUUCAUUAUUUUUAUUUUAUUUUAUUUUAUCUUAUUACAAGUUUUCUAAAUCUUAUUUCUUGGCUUUUUGGGCAUGAGGAAACGAGCCAACAUCUAUUUGGAAGGAGAAUCAACAGAAUUUUGAAAAAGAGGAGAUUUUGUUUUUAGAAGGAUAGCACAUAUAUUAUUUCCAUGGGAGAAUCGGUUAUAAAAGGGUAGAAAAUAAGAAAGGAAAGUGGAUUUCCUUUUUUUGGAUCAGAGAAGUUUUAUUUUUGGAAGGGGGGGAUUGUUUUUCUUGAGGAGAGAGAUCUAAGACAAGGGGGACUUUUUCUUUGGCAGGGAGAUUUUUUUUCUUUUGGGAGCAGAAAUUCACAUACAAAAAGCAAUCUUUUUUAGAGGAGAGGAAGACACGCAUUUUUUUUGGGGGGGGGGGGGGGCCAGUAGAAAAACCUAAAAGACUAAUUGGGCUGCCAUUUUGAAACAUCAAGAGAGUAUUUUUCCGAUACAAUACAGGUUAGUUUUCGAUUUUUGAUACCGUAUUUCCUUUUUUUAGUUUGGGUUUUAGUUGUUUGAUUUAAUUAAUUGUUUGUGAUAAAUUCCUUUUAAUCUCGAUUUCGAACAAUCUUUUAUUUUUUUUAGAUAANNNNNNNNNNNNNNNNNNNNNNNNNNNNNNNNNNNNNNNNNNNNNNNNNNNNNNNNNNNNNNNNNNNNNNNNNNNNNNNNNNNNNNNNNNNNNNNNNNNNCCAUUUUUUAUAUGGUUGCCAUGAUGCCAUGCCCAACAUGAUUUAUGUGGUUUAUAGGGAUUUUUUCAUUAUUUUUAUUUUUUUUUUUUUUAUUUUAUAACAAUUUUUUUAAUUUUUUUUUUUGGGUUUUUGGGGCAGGGGAAAAGGAGCCAACUUUUUUUUGGAGGGAGAUUCAACAAAUUUUUAAAAAAGGGGAGUUUUUUUUUUUAAAAGGAUACCACAUUUUUUUUUUCCUUGGGAGAUUGGUUUAUAAAGGGGUAAAAAAUAAAAAAGAAAAGGGGUUUUCUUUUUUUUGGUUCAGAAAAUUUUUUUUUUGGAAGGGGGGGGUUUUUUUUUUUUGGGGAGAGAGUUUUAAGCCAGGGGGGAUUUUUUUUUUGCCGGGGAGUUUUUUUUUUUUUGGGGGGCAAAAUUUCACAUACAAAAACCAUUUUUUUUUAGGGGAGGGGAAGCCACCCAUUUUUUUUUGGGGGGGGGGGGGGGCAGUAGAAGACCUAAAAGACUAAUUGGGCUGCCAUUUUGAAACAUCAAGAGAGUAUUUUUCCGAUACAAUACAGGUUAGUUUUCGAUUUUUGAUACCGUAUUUCCUUUUUUUAGUUUGGGUUUUAGUUGUUUGGUUUAAUUAAUUGUUUGUGAUAAAUUCUUUUAAAUCUCGAUUUCGAACAAUCUUUUAUUUUUUUUAGAUUAAAUGUCUCUCUUUUAUGAUUGCAAUUCAUUAGUUCUAUGCUAGUUUAUUUUUAAUUUACAUGAAAGUUUAAAUAAAGUUUAUAUUUUUAAUUCCAAUUAGUUUAUUUUUAAAUUUGAAUGAGUUAUCGAUCUUAAUUCUUUAGUUUAAUUGACCUUGUGAGAUAAAAUUUAUAUUUUUUAUGCCAAUUAGUUUAAUUUUAGUUUAUUUUAAAUUUAAAUGAGUUAUUGAUCUUAAUUAUUUAGUUUAAUUGACCUUGUGAGAUAAAAUUUAUAUUUUUAAUUCCAAUUAGUUUAAUUUUAGUUUAUUUUUAAUUUGAAUGAGUUAUUGAUCUUAAAUCUAUUAGUUUAAUUGGACUUGUAAGGUAAAGUUUAUAUUUUUAAUUCUGAUUAGUUUAAAUUUUAGUUCAAUUUUUAAUUUGAAUGAGUUAUUGAUCUUAAAUCUAUUAGUUUAAUUGGACUUGUAAGGUAAAGUUUAUAUUUUUAAUUCCUAUUAGUUUAAAUUCUAGUUUAAUUUUUAAUUUGAAUGAGUUAUUGAUCUUAAAUCUAUUAGUUUAAUUGGGCUUGUAAGGUAAAGUUUAUAUUUUUAAUUCCGAUUAGUUUAAAUUCUAGUUUAUUUUUAAUUUGAAUGAGUUAUUGAUCUUAAAUCUAUUAGUUUAAUUGGACUUGUAAGGUACGUAAAGUUUAUAUUUUUAAUUCCGAUUAGUUUAAAUUCUAGUUUUUUUUUAAUUUGAAUGAGUUAUUGAUCUUAAAUCUAUUAGUUUAAUUGAUCUUGUGAGGUAAAAUUUAUAUUUUUAAUUUCAAUUAGUUUAAUCCUAGUUUAUUUUUAAUUUGAAUAUGUUAUUGAUCUUAAUUCUUUAGUUUAAUUGGUCUUGUAAGGUAAAAUUUAUAUUUUUAAUUCCAAUUAGUUUAAUUCUAGUUUAUUUUUAAUUUGAAUAGUGUUAUCGAUCUUAAUUCUUUAGUUUAAUUGAUCUUGUGAGAUAAAAUUUAUAUUUUUAAUUCUAAUUAGUUUAAUUUUAGUUUAUUUUUAAUUCGAAUGAGUCAUUGAUCUUAAUCUAUUAGUUUAAUUGGUCUUGUAAGGUAAAGUUUAUAUUUUUAAUUCCGAUUAGUUUAAAUUCUAGUUUAUUUUUAAUUUGAAUGUGUUAUCGAUCUUAAUUCUUUAGUUUAAUCGAUCUUGUGAUGUAAAGUUUACAUUCUUAAUUCCAAUUAGUCUAAUUCUAGUUAUUCAUGUGUUUCUUGAAAUUUAAAUGUUAGUUUUUGGAUGAUAAUUUUGUUAGUUUGUUUGAUUAGGAAGUCAUAAAUUUGUUGCCUUAGUGAUUGUUGGUCAAAUUUUUUUUUUAGGGCCACUAGAAACCCAAGAAAGUUGGCCUUUACUCUCACCACUUUAAUUGACAAGAUUUUCUAAAAUAUUUAUUUCGUGAUCUUUGUUUUCUUUUGUUUUGAUUGAUAUUUUGUUUUCUAUUUUUGUUAUUUUAAAAAUUAAUUUCUUUUAUUUUAAAACAAAACUCUUUUUCUCAAAAAAAUCGUUUUUAAAAUUUUUUUUAUUAUUCAUUUAAAGCCUUUAGAAUCAAAAUCUAUUUUCUUUUUAAAAAAUAAUAUGCAACCAUAUCUUAAUCGGUUUGCAUCCUUCUCAAUUUUCAACAAAAAUUUUGGUUUUAAACAAAACGCGAAUCAAAGCUUGUGGUCCCAAAUAAAUGGGACAAUUUUAGGCUAAAUUCGUGUAUAUUAAUUUGAGGAAUUGGUGAAACCCCUACAUAAGAAAAAAUUUUCAAAAUUUACUUUUGCUACCACCCUGCUAUUUAUCGUAAUCAUAUUUACAUUUUUUUUUUAGGAAUUGUAUACAAGAUAUGUAUGAUAAUUAAUUAUUCCGAAUUCUGAUCAUUUUUGCUAAUUAAUUAGAUAAGCAUGCUAGGAUUUAUUAUUUAUUAUUUAUCAUCUAACCCCCAUGUCCUGAGGAAGUGCAUUAGGAGUUAUAUAUGCUAUCCAGGUACGUUCCCAAAAUUUCACGAAUAUGCAUGUCAUUGCCCUUGUUUGAUGCCAUACUUGAUUGCCUCAAUGCUUGUUUGAUCAUCCUUGAUAAAAUGCAUGUCGUGCGUCAUAUUUCUGAAUUAACCAUUGAUGUUUUAUGAUAGCGCUUAAGAAGUGGUUCAGGUACACACCCUAACUCUCCUUUAUUGUGAUUGAUCUCCUUAUUUAGCAUGCUACUUUCUGAAAAUCACAUAGCUUACUUAGGUAUCUACAAUUAAUCAAUUAAUUUACCCAUUUCCCCAAUUUAGUCAGUAAAGACCUCUUUAGGGCUUAGAAGGGUGCUAGCUCCUAGAGGUACCUUCCCAAUAAGUAACCUGAUCCCCGGACCUAGACUCAGGUUUUUCAAAGACAUGCUUUUUUCCAAAAAUUAUGGAGUCACAUUUUAGGGUUUUUCUUUCUUGUUUUAUUUUCCCUUUAAAAUAAAAAUAAAAUAAGUGGCGGCUCUAACUUUUUCCAAAAUUAAUUUUUCACAAAUAAAAAUCGAGUCUCGCCGAUCGAGUGGGGGCGCACGUGAAAAAUGCGGGUCCACACCUCGACAUCCUGAUGCAUCAUGUCAUGGAAGAGUGUGGUCGCUGCUCUCUGAUAAGUGGCUCCUACGUUCUUCAAUCCGAAUGGCAUGACUCUAUAGCAAUAAGUGCCCUACUCGGUAAUGAAGGACGUCUUCCCCAUGUCCUCUGGAGCCAUCAAGAUCUGACUGUACCCGGAAAAUCCGUCCAUAAAGGACAACAUCGAGUAACCUGUUGUACUAUCAACUAGCAUGUCGAUGUGCGGGAGAGGAAAAUCAUCCUUAGGACUGGCCUUGUUGAGAUCUCGGAAAUCAACACAGACUCUCACUUUGCCGUCCUUUUUGGGAACAGGGACGACAUUGGCCAACCACUCCGGGUACUCAACCACUGAUAGAAAUCCCACACUGAGCUGCUUUUGAAUCUCCUCUUUCAUCUGCAAGCUCCAACGAGGGUGCAAUCGUCUCAACUUCUGCUUAACCGGUCUGGCAUGAGGCAGAAGUGGUAAACGAUGCUGGACGAUAGAUGGAUCAAGGCCCGGCAUGUCCUCAUAGGACCAUGCAAAAAUGUCUAAGUAUGCUCUGAGCAACUGGAUGAGGAUGUCCCUCUCAUCAGCAGAUAAAUCUGACCCGAUCCUCAACUCCCUAGGCUGAUCUGCUGUGUCGAAAUCAAUAAUCUCUGUGUCCCCUACAGCAGGUGAAACCCUCUGAUCAAUGGGAUCCGAAUCGGAAACAGAAGAUGAGUCAUCGUCUGAACCAUGCCGUGCAAUCCCAUCAUCAAUGUCAAAUAUCUGUGUUGUGAGUGAAGAUGGGGCAGAUAAAUCAAUAUCAUAAGAGACAGGUAAGUACUCGAAAAUGCUCAAAUCCAUAGAUGAAAAGUCAGAAACAUAGUCAUGACGGGAAACAAAUCCCAAUAAAACAUCAAAUGAAAGAGGUGAGUCCACAAAGUCGGACACUCCCUCAACAAGGCCAACAGGGCCAUCAAGCAAAUCACCAACAACUAUAGGAUCCUCAGCAAUCUUCGAAGCAGGGGCAGUCUGGAUCUCCUCGACGACCUUGAGGACGGACAUCCCGAAGAGAUCAAAUGGUGAAACGAGCCUAGACAGGGCUAUCUCCUCGAUCUGACUCAAGCUCACUGCAAGCAUCUCGUCAACAUACUCGUCAUGCGGUACGGCUCCGUCUACUAUGUCACUAAUCUCGAAAAAUGUCCUGUGAUCAUCGAUCUCAUUCGGGAAGCAAAGCAUCAUAAGGCUCGUACAAUCGGGAGAGGAAGGGGCGAUCAACGCAGAAGUCAAAGGGCCAGGGGCUUCGUCACUCAACUGUAACUGCUGGACGAGGCGCUGAAGCUCGGCCUCUUGGGUGGUGCUGAGUCCUCCGAUGAUCCCAUCAGACAGUGCAUGUGACUCUGAUGCCCUCACAAAGUAAUUGGCUAGGCUCAUGGUGUAUAGGCGAACAGGAUAAUAAAACAGCGUGUGAGUCAGCCGAGCCCUCACCCUCUCCUUGCGCAAUCGCGCCAUGUAAUGAUAAUCGGCCUCAGUGGGAAUGAAUCCGAGCCCGAAUGGUACAUCGUGGUCCGGAAAGGCCAUGAACUCACUAGGCCCGUGCUAACGCCGCCCCAAACCCAUGCCGGGAAGAUAAGACAUGCUCUGCAUAAUAUCGAGCACCACCGUGCUAUUGUGCUGGUCGAAGGACAUGGCUACAAAGUCUCGGCAAAAAUCCUCCAUCUCUAGAGUCUGCACCUUAUCAAAGGUGAAGCCGGUCAGAAAAAGAUCAUCAUCACUGUGGCUGAUCUGGAGCACACACUCGGCGGAAAUGAUCAUGUCCCCUGCUGACUGUACGGUGACGACCUGACCCUCGUGAAUGAACUUCACUUUCUGAUGAAGUGAAGAAGGAAUAGCUCCGGCUCGGUGAAUCCAUGAUCGGCCCAAAAGCAAGUUAAAGGAUGUAGGAAUCCUCAAAACCUGGAAUACGGUGACAAACGUGGCCGGACCUAUCAAGAGCUCAAUCUACAAGGUACCCAUAACCUUUCUCCUAGUACUGUCAUAAGCUUGAACUGUCUGCAUUGAAGGACCGAAAUCAAAGGGUGCGUAUCCAAGGGCGAUGGCGGUGGCCAAGGGACAUACGUUCAGGGCCGAACCAUUGUCCAUGAGGACAGAUGAAACUCGACGACCUGAACAGCCGAUAGAAAUGUAGAGAGGACGUGUGUGGUCUGAGCCCUCUGAUGGCAAGUCGUCAUCGGAAAACACGAUACAAGAGGCUCUGCCAGCCAUCAUCAUGUGAAUAAGUCCCUCGGGAGUGGUCGUAGUGUUGACCCUGAUCUGGCUCAAAGCUCGAAUCAGUGCAUCUCGAUGAGUACUAGAGGACGCUAAGAGGCUUCAAAGAAAUACGAGCUUGAGUGCUCUACAGCUGUCUCAGGAUCUCGUCAUCCUCUGCUCAAACCUCCUCGGGAGCAGACGUCCCCUCUAAUGGUCUGGCGGCAGUGGCAGGAGGUGGCUGUCUCAAGACUCUCCCUCCUCGGAGAAUGUACUGAACGUCCGGAGUCUGAGAAUCAUCAACGUGUGGAGCCUGAACCCCCUCAACAUCUGGGAUCAAGAUGAAUGGCACCUGGACGUUGUAAUGUGGCAAAAUCAAUGGCUCAACAGUGGCAGUCUGCACCGAUGCCGCCUCGGGAACUAAUCGGAAAGGAGUAGGCAUCCGAGGCCCUAGAGUCACCCCACUCAUCUCAUAAAUCACAUCUGGCAUGAUGGGCUCUAGGUCUGAAUCGUCCUCACUCAACAUGUGGACGUGGUCGUCUAUCUCAUCGAAGUCCAAGAAAUGAAUACCAUCAGCUGGUGGAGGGACUGCAUGUGUGGUGUGGGCCGGUAACGGGUUUGUGGAACCACUUGGCUGACCCAAGUGCACCAAACCCUGGUCGAUCAAAUCCUGAACGGCAUGCCUCAAAGCGGUGCAUCGAUCGGUCUCAUGUCCAGGCCCCUGAUGGUAUGCGCAAUGCAGAUCCAUCCUGAACUGGGGUGGAAUCGGUUGAGGUGGCGGCCUGGGAGCUAAAACAGUCAACAGCCCUGCCUUUGUGAGCUUCCGAAGAGCCUGGCUCAACGUCAUGCCUAACUGCGAGAACUGUCUCUGUGUCCUCAAAGCAAAUGGAGCAAAAGUUUGCUGAGCUCUAGGUCGGGGAUAAAGCGCUGUGGGUCUCGCAGUGAACUGAGCAGCAUAGCAUGGCUGUCCUGUGGCCGUGUAGGAAACCGGGGGUCUCUUAAUGCCCUGAGAGGCAUAAUAAGGCAAAGCCAAAGUCUGUGGCACAUAGGGCUGAUCAUAAGUCGGACGAGGUGCCCGUGGCCUGUACUGAUGAGGUGCAUAGGAAGAAUGAGGCUCGAAAAGCUGUGGGAUCGGCUAAUGGCGCCUGAGAGGCCUUUGACUGGAAGAACCAAUGGCGCUCACAUCCAUUAACCUCUAUCCUACGAAAGGCUUCUUCCCCUUAAUAUCACUAGGGGAAGAAUCUGUCCACAAUCCUCUCGAGAUGUCGUCCUCAACAUCGUAUAAAGCCAAAACCAGAGACCCAAAAUCUGCAAAUGGUACCCCGACCACAUGCCUGGCAAUCCUCGGCUGUAGGCUCCUCAAAACCAUCUGAAUCUGAUCUCUCUCUGAUGGUUUAUCCACUACCUUGGCUAUCUUCCCGCGCCAGCGGGAGAUGAAUGAAGAAAUAGAUUCCUCUGCCCUCUGUCUCAGAGCCUCAAGCUCCCUCCUCGAUACAUCUACGACAGUGUUAAACGAAAACUGUCGUAGGAACUUGUAGACCCUCUAUUUUGUCUUCCUCGCACAUGUCGUUUAUAGCAAUUCUCUGGUGGCCCGUUAAUACUCGUGUAACCUAUCUUUUCUAAGCCACCUUGGAGACUUUGGUUGAGGGAUGAUUUGACCUCUUAUUGUGACCUUUGGCAGCUCUAAUUUAGACUUAGGCACUUUAGGCCCACUUAGGCACCACACUUAGCCCGUUAGGCAUCACCCUAGGUCCAUUUAGACACUUGGCCCAUUAGGCAUCACCCUAGGCCCACUUAGGCACCUUAGGUUCACUUAGUACACCUUAGGCCCAUUAGACAUGCCUAACCCAUUAGGCACCACUUUAAGCUCACUUAGGCAUCCUAGGUUCACUUAGAUACACUUAGGCCCACUCUAAGCCCACUUAGGCCCACUUAGGCAUCCUAGGUCCAUUAAGCACCACUUUAGGCCCACUUAGAAUCCCUUGGGUAGUUCUUUAAGCUUAGUACACUAAGGUUUGUCUUCUGGAAUUCUAUUUGUUUGAUUUUUGUUUUAAGUGGGUUUUAGUUUAUUUGUUCUUGUAUUUAUUUAUUUUUAGGAGAUUAUAAGAUACUAACGUUAUGUUUCUUUAUCAUGAAAUAAUAUUUUGGUUAUCUUGUGCAUGUAUAUGAUUAAUCAUCUUUAUUAUUAUUAUUAUUAUUAUUUAUUUAUUUAUUUAUUAUUAUUAUUAUUAUUAUUAUUAUUACUAUUUAAUUGGAUGAUUUUGUUUUUACUAUUUUUAUUGCAUGGUUCUAUGGAAGGGAGAUUCGACCGUGAUUUGAAAGAGCAUUCAACCCAAGACAGAUAUGAAAAAGGGAAGAAAGAGAGAGAUGGGAAGGUUUAGAAACUUACCAAAGCUGAUUUUGGCAGGUGAAAAGAAGAUGUUCGGUGUGUAUAGGGAUGGAAUGAAGGCUAGGUUCAAAAUGGAGGGUUCUAAUCAUGUUGGACUGAUGCGGAAGAUUACGGGUUUUCUCUAGACCGGUGAGGGAUUUUUUCCAUAUUGGUAGAGUCAACGGGACCAUUGAGAAGGAAAGGAUUCUCUGGAGGGAAGUGGCAGCUGCACCAGGAAAGAAAGAAAAUAUUUUUGCAUUCAAGAAGAGAGGAAAAGGAUCAGAGAGGGGGACCUUUCCUACGGUGUCUUCCAUCACUGUGGCUAGAGAGGAGUCGGAGAGAUUGAGAAAAGGGGAAGGAGAAGGAAAGAAAAAAAAAAAGGAGGGAAGAAGGAGAGGGGAUCAACAACUGCUUCAUUCUGGAAGCGGGAGCAGGUGCAGCCGCACCAUUCAGACCAAAGGAAAGUUUGGUAUUUUGGGUUGAGGAGGAGGUGCAGUCGUACCUGGUUUUGGAGGAAGUACAUCGCACCUUUGAGAGGGUUUUCAGCACAAGGAGGGGGAAAGAAAAACAGGGAGUGCGAUCUGGAGAGAGGGGAAUCAUCAUUCACAUCUCCAUGAUUGACUGAAAAAGCCAGGACGACUAGAGAUUUUUUUUGCUGGCCUCAGCCUUGAGAAGGAUCAGUAGCGUGCUUCCUCUAAAACCAACCAGACAUCUCACCACGGGGACACCGGCUUCAUCACUGCCAGUCCGCUCAUCUUGAUGAUUCGCCUAUCACCAUAAUCAGAAACACUUACGAGGUGCAUCAAAUCUCCACAAAAAGAUUUCCGUUCACACCUUCAGCACCAACUUCACGCUGCCAUCCGUAGUCGCAUGCCUCUUCCCCCUCCUCUCGCAAUCUGCAUCCGCCAUCAGUCCACGCAUCAAGCCUUCAUCCACACGACUGCCGCUUUGAGGGAAGCAAUCCACGCACCAAUAGAGUCUCCACAGGAAGCAUCUCCACCUGAAGGAAAUCCACUUACACGGCUGCCACCUUGAGAAGGACAAUCCACGCACCUAACUGCCAGGUAAGUUUGGUUUCUAUGUGGGGUUGCUUUGAAAAAAAAAUAUAUAAAAGUCUGGUUUGAUUUUUGUUUGGAUUAUUAUAUUGGGUUGCUUUAUUGGUCCAGUACGUUUUCAUUAAUAUGGCAGCAAGAAUACUAUUUUUUAGGUUUAAUUGUUUAGUUAUUAUAUUCGGUGAUGUUUUGGUGUACCAUUUUUAGUUUGGAUUUUUGUAUUGGGUGAGUGGGUUGAUUUGUUUAUUUGCUUGAACACGUGUUUUCUUUAAUAUGGUAAUACAAUCUCACAUUUGUUUAUUUAUUUUUUUGAUUCAUCACAUUAAAGGUUAGUUUUGAUGUAUUAUAUUAAAUUCAUAAAAUAUGAUUUUAGAUAGCUUUACAUAAAAUAAAAUAAAAAACAUAUAUAUUUUAAUCUUCAUUUGAUAUGGUUUUGAUUCAUUUAAUUACUGAUUUUUUAUUUAUUUAUUUGUUACCAAAUUAAUGCUUUGUAAUUUAUUUAAUUAUAAAUAAAAUUGAUUUUAUAGGUUAGAGAUUUGGUUUUAAAAAUCAUUUUUGUUAGUUUUUAAUUUUACUUUAGGUUUAAGCACUUUUAUAAAAUUUUAGUUCAUUAAAAUAAUUUAUCAUAUAUAUGUUUAUCCAAUUAUAAAUAAAUUAUUUUUGAUUUGUUAUUCUAGCUUGAAAAUUAUGUUUUGUUCACUGUAGUUACAAUUUAUUUUCUUAGUUUGACAAAUUAGUUUCUUAGUAUUGGUUUGGGCAAUUUUUGUUAAUAAUGGAAAAGUUAAGAUUUUUUAGAGUUUAGAUAAUUUUUUAUGAUAGUUAAAAAUUUAGAAUAUUGAUUAGCAUUAUUUUGGUUCUCAAUUAGGAAAUUCAUAAUUUCAUACGUUUUAGUUUUAAUUUAUCUUUUAGUUUAGAUGUUAUUAAAAUUCAGUUUAUUAGUUCAAUUGCUUCCAUGUCACUCUUUUCAUAUCUAAAAGUUGUUAAAUUUAAUUCAUGAUUCAUCCUUUUAGUUUAUUAGUUUUAGAAUUUAAGUUGGUUAAUUUAUUUCAUUCUGCGUUGAUAUAUUCAUGUUUUAAAAUAAAAUAUAUAAAAUUAAAUAAAUAAAUAAAUAAUAAAAAUUUAUUUUAGUUUUGAUUGAUCCUGUUUUAGUUGAUAUUUUUUAGAGUUUUAAUUAAUUUGAUUGGUUUCAUAUUGUUUAGUUUAUGUUAAGAUUUUUUUAUUUUUUAUUUUUUUUAUUUUUUAUUUUUUUAUUCCAUUUUCCCAUUAAUUAUAUGCUUUCGAAUUGUAGGCUAUUAGUUUAAUCUAUUCCCAUGUUGUCAUUUUGUGUUUAAAAAUAGUUCAUUUUAGUUUUUGACUAAUUUUAUUUAUUCUAUGUGUUUUUUUUCUUUUAUUCAAUUAUUUAGUUAGUCGAUUAAAUUUAUGACUCCAAAUCAUUAAUAUUAGUUGAUACGUAUCGUUUGUACUAUUUUAAAGGUCACAUAAUAUUUAGUGUUUGAUUAAGUUUAUCUUAAGAUUAAAUGUUUUUAAAGUUUUAGUGCUUGUAAGAUCUAAGGUUUUGGUUUAUCACUUUGGUCAUCCUUUGUCAAAAUCAAUUUUUAGAGGUUAUCGGAAAAUAGUGAAGAUUGGCCUCCAUUCCCACCACUUCAAUUUUAUCGGUUGUCAAAAAUUCUACUUUGUGAUUUUGUUCUUUUUUUUCUUUUGCUUGGUAUUUUGAUUCAUACAUUUUAUUGUUUUCAAAUUAACUUCUUUUAUCUUUAAAACAUAACAAUAUUCUCAAAAUCUCAUUUCCUUAAAAACAAACCAUUUCAAAAAUUCAUUUAGAGUUCUCAGAAUCAAAAUCCCAUUCCCUUUAAAAAUUCAUUUCAAAGAUUCCUUUAGGAUUCUUAAAAUCAAAACCCCAUUUUCUUAAAAUAAUAUGCAACCAUUUUUUUUGAUCGGUUUGCAUCUUUCUCGGUUUUUAACGAAAAUUUUGGUUUGAAAUCAGACACGAAUCAAAGCUUGUGGUCCCACAUAAAUGGGAUAAUUUUGAGCUAAAUUCGUGUAUAUCAAUUGGGGAAUUGGUGAAACCCCUACAUAGAAAAAUCUUUUCAAAAAUUAUUUUUGUUGCCACUUUUGUCACUUGUUGAAAUUAUGUCUAUCUUUUUUUAGGAAUUGUAUACAAGAUGAGUGUGAUAAUUAGUGUUUUCAUAUACUUUGAUAAUUUCUGCUAUGCUAAUUAGAUAACGAGCAUGCUAGGAUUCCUAUAUUUUAUUAUUUAUUAUCUAACCCCUCAUGUCUUAUGGAAGCGCAUUGUAAGUCAUCUAUGUUAUCCAGGUACGUAUCACCUACUUUCUAAAUUUUGUAAACAAUCAUGUCACUGUGAAAUAUGCAUAUGUUUGAUAAUCCUUAGGUGCUUAGAUGUAUGCUAGAUUCGCUAUGAUUAAAUACAUGUUGUGUGCUAUACUUCUAUACUAUCUCUCAUGUUUUUUUAUGGCGCUUGGGAAGCCGUCCAGGUACGCAUCCUUAACUUUCCUUCAUUGUUAUUUGAUCUUGUUAGGCAUGCAAUAUUCGAAAUCAUCUAAUCUACUUAGGUAUCCAUAAUUAACUGAUUAAUGGCCACACUUCCCUUAACUUUGUCAAUAGAGACCUUUAUAGGGCUUAGAGGGGUGCUACCUUUCAAAGGUACCUUCCCAAUAGGUAACCUGAUCCCCGGACUUAGACUCGGGUUUUUCAAAGACACGUUUUUCCAAAAAUUAUGGAGUCAUUUUUUUUAGGGUUUUAUUUCUUGUUUUAUUUUCCCUUUAAAAAUAAAAAUAAAAUAAGUGGCGACUCCAACUUUUUUUCAAAAAUCAAUUUUUCACAAAUAAAAAGCGAGUCUCGCCGAUCGAGUGGGGGCGCACGUGAAAAAUGCGGGUCCACAGAACUCUUGGGCUAAGUCAUCCCAUGUACGGCGUCUCGAAGACUCCAAAGACGCGAACCAGCGUUGAGCCACCCCACUCAGAGAUAGUGGGAAAAGAGUGAUCAUCUGAGGCUCGUCCAAUCCAUGAGCCCUCAUCACCGUGCUGUAUAAUCGGAGGUGCAUGCGUGGACAACCAAUGCCUGUAUACCUCUCAAUAUCCGGCAUCCUGAACUUAGCCAGUAGACUGGCUAUCGACAUACCCUCUAGAUCGUCUUAGACAACGGAGCCAUCAGAUACUCUCAACUGCCUCAUGCGCUGCUCAAUGCGGUCCAUGCGCGCAUGAGCAUCAUCGAUAACAAGGGCCUGGACAACUGCGGGCGGAACAACCUCAGAAUGACUGUGUAGCACAUAGGGUGAAGCCUGGGGCACCAAAGGAACUGGUGGUGGCGGUGGAGGUGGCAACGAGUCAUGCGGUGUCUCAUCCUGAGCCACUGGGGGUCUACUCUGCUGACCACUGAUCUCCUGCCUGAGGUUAGCCAAAGUCUCCUGAAUAGAAGCCAUCGCGGCCGUGAACUGGUCGACCGUAACUACCUGCUGAUUCAUAAUUGAUCUCUCUGAAAACCGAACCAAUCUCCCCUCUACUCUGAUCCAAUGAGGUAAGUCCAGACUGAUAACAAAGGUCCAAUCCUGAAAGUCUCGUCCUCUGCUCUAAUCUACGAAGGUAUACCUAGACUCAGAACAAAGGUCUAAUCCUGGCAAAUCACGAAGAACGAAAUAAGGAUAUGGCUCGAGGAAAGUACGAAAGAAAUGAUAAUCUGAACAGAAACAAACAAGGCAUCCAAGUGAAAAUGAACGGUCUGACCGUACUCAAACUCGUCCUGAUCUCAGUGCACUCUCAACUGGAGACUAAAUAGAGGGAACAUCGGAUCCAAAAUGUGGCUAAAGAGGCUUUGAAAGCCCUCAGAUGCACCCACGUGUAGGGAGGAAGUCCUAGUUGAAGGAUCUACGACUCAACCUACAAGGUCAAGGUGGUUCUAGAUGGAUAAGGGUGGACUUUAAAAGAUCCCUAGCAGAAGCAAUCAUACCCUCCGGUAGUAUGCAACCCUCUGCACGCCUCAGAAGAGACGGGGUGCUUCCAUGCAAGGUGGUCAUCACCUCCAUACAUGCACUACCUCGACAUCCCAGGGGGUUCCUAUGGUGAAACCUCUCAAACUCGCAACUCUCAAAAGUCAGCUAGAGUGCACAGUGAAUGGUGUGGGUGCAUCUGAAACCCUAUGAAGCUAAAACAGAAGAGGAAACACACUGGCCACACAAAUAUCCAUGAAACCUAGCUCCGGGCUAUAUAGGUCUUCAAUGAUCGGACUCCAAUCUGCAUCAACGUGUCGCUCUUCUCCAGAAUACUCCCAAACAUCGGUAUAGCCCGUCGCUAGACCCUACUCCUAACCUCUAGCUCGGUCAGAGUGCAAGCACACACAAGGCCUCACAUUUGCAAAAGUGAAAACCGAAAUGAAGGAAAUGACCGAAACCAGAGGGUGGGAGGUAAGGGGAUAAAUGUGCGACCCACAUAGAUAGGCGACAUGCAAUCAUACAAGGGAGGGCAAUCAUGCAACAUACAGUCAGGCAGUGCUCAGAUAUAUUACCAUGUACACACAAGAUAAGCGAGAAUAUGACAAUUAGAUGAAUAAUGAUACAAAUAUCAUGCUCAAAGACGAUCGAGUUAAUAUGCGAGCAAGCGAAUCAACAUGUCAAAUCAAAUUAUAUACAAUGGUGAAUCUAUACAACAUGUGAUGUGAUCAAAACAAACAUGGCAAAAUCAGAAUCACUAUACUAAGCAAAACAAAACGAGCAAUCGAUGCAAUCAACAUGUCAACAUCCUCAAACAAAUAAAACAAUGAAGUACGGAAGAGGUAACUAUCUCGGGUCUUCAAUCAUGACAAAUCAAUCAUCAUAAUCAACAUACCAAUAUCCCAGAUGAAUACAAUAUCCGAACAUGCAUCAAAACUCUCAAUGUACAAUCAAAAGAUAGGCAUCCACUGAUUGACCAAUCAAAUGCCACAUUUGCUUCAUCCUAAGUUCAAGCUUGACCCUUUAAAAAUCCCCAGUGGAGUCGCCAUUUUGUGGACCUCGCAUUUCGGCUCAUGUGUUUCCCACUUGAUGGCGAGCUCAACUUUUAUUUGAAAAAUGAUUUUAAUUGUUUAAGAAAACUGACUUGGAGUCGCCACUUAUUUUUGUUUUAUUUUUAAAGGGUAAACAAAAUAAGAAAGAAAACCCUAAGUGCGACUCCUUGUUUUGGAAAAGGUGGCCUAUGAAAACCGGAUCGGGCUCAGGGGUCAGGUUACUUAUCGGGAAGGUACGGUAUGAACCGUAGCACCCCUCUAAGUCCCUAAAGUCAGGUCUCUACUAAUAGAAUGAAGCUAACGUGGUCAUCAACAAGAAAAACAAUGAACACUCAAAUCGAUCGUGCACAAUAUGAGAAUCAGAAUAUGCAUAUAGAAUGAUCAAAACAAGAAUGAGUGCGUACCUGGACCCCCAGUCACGAAUGCGCUGUAGAAAAGAAUCCGUGAGUUCCCUUCUUGCCCGUGAUCAGCUUCCCGGUCUUCCUCCUCCUCCUGGAAACUCUCUGCCCUCCCAAUAUUUUUUUUUUUCUUCCCCAUCUUGUUUCCUCUUCCUGCAAGCCAAUAUCCACUCCCCUGUUCCCCCGCUCCGCAUGUUUGGAGCCCCAACCACCACUAUGGCUGUGGUCAGUUGCUCCCCACACGUUUCAUGCAGCUGAUGUUUCCAGAAAACGGUCCCCACCCCAGCCUUUCUCGAGUUGACACGCAUAAAACCUCAUAAAUGCUCCACCUGAUAAGAAACGGCUACAGUUAGAUGGGGGUCUACAAUAAUAUUAUUUUAUCUCAAUGAGAUAAGAUAUUUGAAACUUAAUAAUUUGAUAAAAAAGAUUAUAAUUUAAUAUAACUUUUUAUAUCCUAAAGUACCAAAAUAGAUUGCAAUAAACAAAAGUUUAGGGAAAAUGAGUUUUAACUCACUAUUUUGAAAAAAAUAUAGAAAAAAGAAUUCCAAUUUUUAUAAAUCAGUUUUAUCUUCACUCAUUUAAAAAUAUUUUAAAAUACAUGCACUUUUUCAUAAUUCAAAUAAUUAUUUCUUAAAAUAACCUUUUUACUUGUGAUAUUAAUAACACUAAUUAACAAUUUUUUUAAAAGUGAGAAAUGGUUUGAGAUUAAUAAAAUAAUAAAUUUAAAAAUUAAAAAUACAAUUAAAACUUAAAAUAACUUUAAAGCUAAAAACAUAAAAAUAAAAUAUUAACUUUUACUUAGUUAAAGCACUUUGGUCGAAAAUAUAGAUAUCAAGAAAUUGUUGAAAAUAAAAUAGGAGUAAAUUUUUUAUUUUUAAUUGUAUUCAAUUUUUAUAUAUUUUAGUUUUAACUUAAUUUUCUUAUUUUAUUGUUGAUGUCAACUAACAAAAUUUUUAUUUAAUUUUAUUGAAAAAAUAUAAGAAGAUGAAGGGAUUUAUAUAAUACAAGAUAUAAAAUCAUUAUUGAUUAAUAUAAUAAAGUAAAAGGAUGUUUCAGGAAAUAAUUAUUUGAUUCAUAAAAAAGUGCAUGGAUUUUAAAAUAUUUUUAAAUGAAUGAUGAUAAAAUCAAUUUAUAAAAAUUGAGUUAUUUUUUCUAUAUUUUUUCAAAUUAGUGAGUCAAAACCUACUCUUCCCAUCAAAUUAUAUGAAAUUAUAAUUUGAUUUAUUUUUAAGUAAAAAAAAAAAUUAAAAGUAAAAUUGGUUUUCUUUAGGUGACUAUUGUAGAAAUUAAAAGAAAAACAACUUUUUUCAUUGACAGAAAAAUUAUAAAAAAUAAAUAAAUAAAUCAACUUUUUCAUUAACACAAACUUGUUUUAGAAUAAUUAAUAAUUUGGAAAUAACUUUAAAUUGUCUUAAGUAAGGGGAAAAGAAAAAAAAAAAAGAAAAAGAAAGAAGAAGAAGAAGAAGAAGAAGAAGAGCUAGUUCAUUCUUGUAAAAGCAUUUCUAAGAGAAGUAAUGAAAGACUAACAUUAAAUACACUUUUAUUUUAACCACUUGCAAACAAGCCCUUAAUUAAUAAAUAACAAAGAUGAUAAAAUAUCAUUUGUGGUCAUAUUUACUUAACAUUAAAAUUUCAUGGCAUGCUUCCUAACAUUGAAUGGUCUAGGUUGUGUAAUUUGGUUGUAAUUCAUUUUUCCCAUGAGAUUUAAAGCCUCUUUGUAUCUUUAGAAAAUUUUAUGAGCAAAUAUAAGAAUGCCUUAAGGUACUUUGAUUCUCGAGAAAUUUGAAUGAAAAUGCAACGAAAGAAAGUAGAAAGAAAAAGUAGAAGAAAACAAAGAACGAAAGAAAACAAAAAAAUAGAUAUAGAGUCAAUAAAUUAUUUGUUUAUGUACUAUUUUAAACUCGUUUAAUUUAUUUUAAAUUUUUUAUAUAAAGAUUGAAUAAAAAUUUAUAAGUUUCUAACUAAUUUUAAUUUUAUUUAUUUCUUUAUUAAAGUAGGCUUAGAGGAUUGAAAUUUUCAUAUAAAAAAAAAUGAUGUAAGGUUUUUCUAACUUUUUCUUAAUCAAACAACACUCUCAUUCAAAUAUGUAAUUUUCCUAAAAAUGAAAGACUAAGUAAAUGAAGUUCAAUUGAGGUGAAAUUUAAGUUAAAGGAGUUUGUUGAUGAGUCUAGAAAUUUUAAAAAUUAAUUUCUAAGUCAAAUGGAUACCAAAGAUUAUCAAUUAAGCCUCAACCAAAAUCAAAUCCAAAUUUGCCCAAAACAGAAUAUGUUGCAAUGCUACUCACUUUCUCGAAUUUUCUCACCAAUUAAAUAAGUUCUAAAUAUUAUGAAACUCUCAAAAUCUAAUAUAUAAUGAGUUUAAAAAAAUAAAUAAAUGAUUUAUAAACCUAAAAAAAUUCUAAUUACACCAAACUCUAAAAAAUAAAAACUAUCUCGGGAUAACUUGUCGAAAAUCCAUUAGCAUUUUCAUAAUUACUUUCCUAUGAAAUUGAAGUUGGAAUGGCAUGAAAUUAAGCUCUAUAAUUUUCUUUUUUAUUUUAAAAACAUAUAAAAAUAAUUAAAAAUUAUUUUUAUAUGAAAUAAUUAUUAAUAAAAACUAUAAAAUAACCUUUUAGAUAUUUGGAUAUAAUUUAUGAUUGAUGUUACCUUAAAUUUUAAUAGGAAGGGUUAGGAUGUAGGAAGAGGCCUGAUUUAAGCUUGUCUCAACCGAAAGGGCCGAUGCAAGCCUAACCUGGCCAAUAACUCAGGGGCCUGCAUUGACCUAGUGAGUCUUGCCUUGCUGAGCUAGAUGGGCCUAAGCCUGGUCCUGGCCGGCAAGGUGCCUCCAGGAAGAUCCGGAAAGCUUCCCUUUUCCUAUGAGUGGGUAAGCAGUCCUCAUCAGGAAUAUUGCAUGUUACCCCGUAAGUCUUGCAACCCAUGUUCAACAUCAUUUUCUUCUUUAAAGGGUGGUCCACACUCCUUCCUAUCUUAUCUUUUUGUGGUGGAUAUUCACAAGUCUCUUAAAAAUCAUUUGACAAAACUCAUCUGAUAUUCAAAAGUCUUCAUCUACCUCUUUCUUCUGCCUAAUGGUGAUUUGAACAUAUUUUUUAAUACUUAUUUUUAGAAAUUGUUUUUAAGUUAAAAAACAAAAAAAAAUAGCUUUUUAAUAUUUCAUAAAAAUAAGAGUUUUGACAAGUUGUCUUUUAAAAGCAGUUUUUAAAAACAAAAAACAAAAAACUCAAUUGUUUUUAGAAAUUAUUUUUCUAUUUUUAUUUUGUAAAAACAUUUUAAAUCCAAUUGAUAUGAUAUUAACUAAAUUUAAUUCAAGUCUUAUUAAAAGUGAAAAAUAGUUUUAUAAUUAUAAAUAAAUUAAAAAUAAAUCAUGCUUAUUAAAACAUGAAUAGUAAUAUUAUAAUAAAAUAAUAAAUUAAAUUUUUUUGGUAUAAAAUAUACUAUUUUGGUUUAUGUUAAAAAAAUAUGGAUAGUAACAUUUUCGUAAAAGCAUAAUUUGUUUUCUUAAAUAAAUAAUGAUAAUUUAAAAGUAACAAUGAUUAAUAAUAUUUUAUUUAAAAUAAAUAACUAAGAAAGUUUAAAUUUUUAAUAUGUAAAUUAAUCAAGUUUUUCAUUACAUGCACACAUGUCGUGUUCAAUUACGCAUACAAUAUUCUGGAAUAUUUCAUUGAACCGCAAUUAAUUAGAUUGAUUUUUUGAAUUCCAAAUUAUUUUCUUUAAAAAUUGUUAAACUUAUUAAUAAAUUCAAUAUAAAGUGUGCCCCUUGAUUUAAAGUUCAUUUUUCUAAUGAGAAAAUUUAUAAAACUUUAAUUAUGUGUAAAAAAUUAAUAAGUAAAUUCAUUAUAAGUCAAUUUCUAUUUAUUAUUUAAAUUUAAAUUAUUUUUAAACAUUAUUAGACUCGUUAACGAAUCUAAUAUAUUAAGGUUUGUUUAAUUUAUAAUUAAUUUACUUAGUGAAAAAAAUCGGAAAAAAAAAAUUCUGCAUAGAAAAAUAAUAUAGUCCUUUGGGACUAAUUUUUAUCAAUAAACUUUUCUCAUUAAUGAGUCCAUUAUUUGAUUUUUAAAUUAUUUUUAAAAUUUUCUAAAUUUAUUAAUAAAUCCAACCUAUUAAGUAUUUAAAUUUAUUUGUGUAGUGAAAAAAUGGGAUCAAAUUGCAAUCCACAUAAUAUCGGUAGGUAGAAAAUGAAUUCUUCUGUACCUUUAGCAUUAGUUGAUAGGCCAUCGUCUUCAUCCACCUCUUUCUUCCAAGGCCAAGGCUCUUCCACGUUGCUCUGCAACUGCUUUCUUGAAUUGUUCUUGGAUCCACUAUUCACUUCCCUUGCAAACCAACAAACAUGGCUGGGGCUAUAGUAGGAGGAGCACUUCUCUCGGCUUCUAUCGAAGUUCUACUUCACCGGAUGGCUUCUCGCGAGGUCCUCACCUUCCUCCGGCGACAGAGACUCAGUGCUACGCUCCUAAGGAAGUUGAGGAUAAAAUUGCUGGCAGUUCAGGUAGUGCUCGACGACGCUGAGGCCAAGCAAUUCACAAAAUCAGCUGUAAAAGAUUGGCUGGAUGACCUGAAAGAUGCUGUGUAUGAUGCAGAGGACCUGUUGGAUGAUAUCACCACUGAAACUCUACGCUGCAAAAUGGAGUCUGAUGCUCAAACCAGCGCAACUCAGGUACGUGACAUCACCUCUGCCUCGCUUAAUCCGUUUGGAGGGGGGAUCGAGUCCAGGGUAGAGGAGAUCACUGACAAACUAGAAUAUCUUGCACAAGAAAAAGAUGUUCUGGGAUUGAAAGAAGGCGUUGGAGAAAAAUUGUCACAAAGAUGGCCCGCGACUUCCUUGGUAGAUGAGUCUGGGGAGGUGUACGGAAGGGAAGGUAAUAUAAAGGAGAUAAUUGAAUAUUUGUUGUCCCAUAAUGCAAGUGGGAAUAAGAUAAGUGUGAUCGCCCUGGUGGGUAUGGGCGGUAUUGGAAAGACCACACUUGCUCAAUUGGUGUAUAAUGAUAGGAGAGUGGUGGAAUGUUUUGAUCUUAAAGCUUGGGUUUGUGUUUCCGAUGAAUUUGAUCUUGUCAGGAUAACGAAAACCAUUCUUAAGGAAAUCGAUUCUGGGGCUUCUGAAAAAUAUUCUGAUGAUAGUGAUUUGAAUCUGCUUCAACUUAAAGUGAAGGAGAGACUUAGUAAGAAGAAAUUCUUACUUGUCCUUGAUGAUGUUUGGAAUGAAAACUAUACUAAUUGGCAUAUGCUACAAACUCCAUUCACCGUUGGUCUAAAUGGAAGUAAGAUUAUUGUAACUACACGUAGUGAUAAGGUUGCAUCGAUCAUGCGUUCAGUUCAUAUUCAUCAUUUGGGACAGUUAUCCUUUGAGGACUGCUGGUCGCUAUUUGCAAAACAUGCAUUUGAAAAUGGAGAUUCUAGUCUACAUCCAGAACUAGAAGAAAUUGGCAAAGGGAUUGUAAAGAAGUGUAAAGGAUUGCCUUUGGCUGCAAAGACCCUAGGGGGUGCCUUAUACUCAGAGUUACGAGUAAAAGAAUGGGAAUUUGUAUUGAACAGCGAAACGUGGGAUUUACCAAAUGAUGAAAUUCUCCCCGCCUUAAGGUUAAGCUAUUCUUUUCUUCCUUCACACUUAAAGCGGUGUUUUGCAUAUUGCUCAAUUUUUCCUAAGGACUACGAAUUUGAAAAGGAAAAUUUGAUUCUAUUGUGGAUGGCAGAAGGCUUUUUGCAACAAUUUGAAAGCAAGAAAACAAUGGAAGAGGUGGGUGAUGGGUACUUUUAUGACCUAUUAUCAAGGUCAUUUUUUCAGAAGUCCAAUAGUCACAAAUCAUAUUUUGUAAUGCAUGAUCUCAUUAACGACUUGGCUCAACUUGUUUCUGGAAAAUUUUGUGUUCAGUUGAAGGAUGGUAAAAUGAAUGGAAUUCUUGAAAAGCUCCGCCAUUUAUCAUAUUUUAGAAGUGAAUAUGACCAAUUUGAGAGAUUUGAGACCCUAAAUGAAGUUAAUGGUCUUCGUACCUUCUUUCCUUUGAAUUUGAGAACUUGGCCUCGGGAAGAUAAGGUUUCAAAGAUAAGAUAUCCAAGUAGUCAUAGGUAUGGUUUAGAGUUUCGCUUGAGUACUAGAGUUUGGAAUGAUUUGUUGAUGAAAGUUCAAUAUUUACGAGUGUUGUCAUUAUGUUACUAUCAGAUAACGGAUUUGUCUAAUUCAAUUAGUAAUUUGAAACAUUUGCGCUAUUUAGACCUUACCUACGCACUCAUCAAAAGGCUACCGGAGUCGGUUUGUAGUUUGUAUAAUUUACAAACAUUGAUAUUAUACAAUUGUAAAUGUCUUGUUGAAUUGCCUAAAAUGAUGUGCAAAAUGAUUAGCUUACGUCAUCUUGAUAUCAGGCAUAGCAAAGUGAAAGAGAUGCCAAGUCACAUGGGUCAAUUAAAAAGUUUACAAAAAUUGAGUAACUAUAUAGUGGGCAAGCAAAGUGGGACAAGGGUUGGAGAGUUGAGGAAGCUUUCCCACAUUGGUGGGAGUCUUGUCAUUCAAGAGCUGCAGAAUGUGGUUGAUGCUAAGGAUGCCUCAGAGGCCAAUUUGGUAGGCAAGAAAUAUCUGGAUGAGUUACAGUUGGAAUGGAAUCGUGGAAGUCAUUUUGAACAAAAUGGAGCAGACAUAGUGCUCAACAACUUACAACCUCAUUCAAACUUAAAGAGACUUACUAUUUAUAGUUAUGGUGGCUCAAGAUUUCCAGAUUGGUUAGGUCCUUCAAUUCUGAAUGUGGUGUCGCUACGUCUCUGGAAUUGUAAGAAUGUGUCAACCUUCCCACCGCUUGGGCAGCUACCCUCUCUUAAACAUUUAUAUAUAUUGGGGUUGAGGGAGAUAGAAAGGGUGGGCGUUGAGUUUUAUGGCACUGAUCCCUCCUUUGUAUCCCUAAAGGCUCUAUCAUUUGAGGGUAUGCCAAAAUGGAAGGAAUGGUUGUGCAUGGGAGGCCAAGGUGGAGAAUUCCCUCGUCUCAAGGAGCUUUAUAUAGAGGAUUGUCCCAAGCUAAUUGGGGACUUACCAACCGAUCUGCUUUUCUUGACCACACUACGGAUUGAAAAAUGUGAGCAGCUUGUGGCUCCACUUCCAAGGGUUCCAGCCAUCCUUCGAUUGACAACGCGCAUCCGUGACAUCUCACAGUGGAAGGAACUACCACCACUACUGCAGAAUCUCUCAAUUCAAAAUUCCGAAUCUCUACUGGAGGAGGGAAUGUUGCAAAGUAAUACUUGUCUUCGAGAGUUGAGAAUCAGAAAUUGUUCUUUUUCGAGACCCUUGUGCAGAGUUUGUUUGCCCAUUACAUUGAAAUCAUUAUAUAUAGAGGAGUGUAAGAAACUAGAGUUUCUCCUACCUGAGUUCUUAAAAUGUCACCACCCUUCCCUUGCCUAUUUGUCUAUAUUCAGUGGUACUUGCAAUUCUCUCUCAUCCUUCCCACUCGGCAACUUCCCAAGUUUGACUCACCUCAUUAUCAGCGAUCUCAAGGGGCUUGAAUCCCUCUCCAUUUCAAUUUCAGAGGGCGAUGUUACAGCUUUGCAUGGGUUGCACAUCAUCAGGUGCCCUAAUCUUGUGUCUAUUGAAUUGCCAGCUCUCGACUUCUCACGAUAUCACAUUCUCAAUUGCAAGAAUCUCAAGUGGCUGCUGCACAACGCUACAUGCUUUCAGUCAUUAACAAUAAAAGGUUGUCCUGAAUUGAUAUUCCCAAUACAAGGUCUGCAAGGACUGUCCUCUCUUACCUCUCUCGAAAUCUCAGAUCUUCCAAAUCUCAUGUCCCUUGACUGUUUGGAGCUUCAACUGCUCACCUCUCUUGAAAAAUUAGAGAUCUGUGACUGCCCCAAGCUCCAAUUCUUGACAGAAGAGCAGCUGCCCACCAACCUUUCCGUUCUAACAAUCCAGAACUGCCCAUUGCUGAAAGAUCGGUGCAAGUUUUUGACAGGGGAAGAUUGGCAUCAUAUAGCUCACAUUCCACACAUUGUGAUCGAUGACCAAGUUAUGUAAUGAAGGUGGCAUUACACCAAUUUAUAGUCAGGUACUUGUUCUGUCCUAAAAAUGAUUGUCUCAGGAAAACUAACAUACUUAAAUACCAAUUUUGAAUUGAUCCAUUAUCAAUAGGAAAAAUAUGCUUUAAAUUUUCUAAUUAUUAUAACAAUUUCUUGCUUUCUUUCAGGUCAUCUGUGAUGCUUCACUCUGGCUCUGAUCAACAUAUCUUCAUAAGGAAUCUUUUAAGACUCCCUUGCUUAAUUAGGGCCUUGUCAAAUGCUUCAGAUUUCAUUUAGAGUGAAUUGAUGCUUAAAAGCCAAGCAGCUCUGCAGGUCUGAUUUGGUAAAUUGUGUUUCUUGUAUAAUUUUGUGGACCUUGAAUUUGUUUUCAGUGGCUAAUUUGCUGAAAUCUGAUGGCAGGCCUUUGAUCCUUGUUCUCUCAACAAACUCUAGCUGUCUAGUAAUGAUUUCCAAUGGGGCCAUUUUUUUGUUGUGAGUUCAGGUUCAUGACUCUUUUUGGACAACAGUAGCCAAGAUUUUUUGCACCCAAAGAAUCAUGAGUUGAUACUCUGCUGGAGGAACUACAGAAGCUCAACUCUGUUGGAGAGUGGAGGAUGCAGCAGGCUCUAUGAUUCCAGUUAGUGAGACAUUUCAAUUGCUUUGGUUUAACUUUCGAAGCUACAAACUACAAUACUCAUAAUCUCAUAUGCAUUAAUUUUCAGGUUCUUUGAGGUUGCAUCAGCAUUGAUAUCUUAGUUCUUCUCUAAAAACAACAGGUAUGUUUCUUUUAAUUCAUACUUUUCAUAAGCUGACACAUUGUGGAGUUCCAUCAUUUUCAACACAAGAUAAACCUAAUACUAAAUUCUAUUGAAGCUAAAACAAAAAUCUUACUGCCUGAGGUUCUGUCUUCCAUGAAUUUUAUUCACUAUGUUCAUAUGGCAUCUAAGCAACCUAGACGUUAACAUUUUCCUUGGUCUACAUAUUGUUUUCAUCUCUUUCAGCUUUGAUUAAUCUGCAGACAUUCGGUUUAGGCACCUCAAACUCAAAAUCUUCAGCUUCUGUCAUGCCAUCUCCUUCUCAUUUCAUGAUUGUCAUCCACCUUUGAGCUUUACUUUGUUAAUGGUAAGAUAGUCAUAAUAGUACUACAAUAGUUGAGCAUGGAUUGACAACAAUGCAUGCUUUCAGUCUUCAACAUCACACGGUUGUCCUGAAUUGAUAUUCCCAAUGCAGGGUCUUCCCUCCAACCUAAAUUCACUUACAAUAACAAACUGCAACAAACUUACAUCCCACAUGGACUGUGGCCUGCAAGGGCUGGCCUCUCUUACCUCUCUCAAAAUCUCAGGUCUUCCAAAUCUCAGGUCCCUGGACAGUUUGGGGCUUCAACUGCUCACCUCUCUCCAAAAAUUAGAGAUCCGUGACUGCCCCAAGCUCUAAUCCUUGACAGAAAAGCUGCUGCCCACCUCCCUUUCUGUUCCAACAAUCCAGAACUGCCCAUUGCUGAAAGGUCAGUGCAAGUUUUGGACAAGGGAAGAUUGGCAUCCUAUAGCACACAUUCCAAACAUUGUGAUCGAUGACCAAGUUUUGUAAUGAAGGUAGCAUUACACUAAUUUUUAGUCAAGUACUUGUUCUGUCCUUAUAGUAAUUUUCUCAGGAAAACUGAUAUGCUUAAAUAGCAAUUUUAAUUUGAUCCAUCAUAAAUGGGAUAAAAUAUGCUUUAAAUUUUCUAAUUAUUAUAAUAACUUCUUGCUUCUUUCAGGUUAUCAGUAAUUCUUCUCUCUUGUAAAUUGAUGCUUAAAAGCCAAGCAGCUCUGCAGGUCUGAUUUCGUAACUUGUUUUUCUUGUAUAAUUUUAUGGACCUUGAAUUCGUUUUCAUUGGCUAAUUCACUGAAACUCAUGGAAUGCCUCUGAUCCUAUUUUUCUCAAUAAAUUCGAGCUGUCUAGCAACAAUCCUUCCAAUGGGACCUUUUUUUAUCGAGUUCAAAGACUCUGUCUGGAAGAUUGUAGCAGAUAUUUUCUAGCAUCCAUAGACUCUCAUGAUUGAUAAUCUGCUUGAGGAACUGAGAAAGCUCAACUCUGUUAGAGAGUGGAGCAUGCAACAUGCUCUGUGAUUCCCAUUAGUAAGAUAUUUUAAUUGCUUUUGUUUAACUUUCUAAGCUACAAAUUACAAGGAUUUAUAAUUCCAUGUGCAUUAUUUUUCAGGUUCUCUGUGUUAAUAUUCUAGUUCUUCUCUAGAAAAAACAGAUAUGUUUCUUCUGUGUUAAUACUUUUCAUAAGAUGACACAUUGUGGAGUUCCAUCAUAUGCAUGACAAGAUAAACCCAAUUCUAAAAUCAACUCAGCCUAAAACACAUUGUGGAGUUCCAUAUGGCAUCUUAGCGCCGUAAAUGUUAACAUUUUCCUUAGUGUAAUCAUUGUUUUAGCUUCAAUUAAUCUGCAGAUGUUCAGUUUAGACAUCUCAAACACAAAACCUUCAGCUUCUGACAGGCCACCACUUCCUAGUCUCUGCUCAUCUCCUUCCCAUUUAACUAUUGUCAUCAACCUUUGAUUUUUUUACAUCGUUGAUGGUAAAAGAAUCAUAAUUGUACUACAUUUGUUGAGCAUGGAUGCUACCAUUUAAUUUCCAUAUUCAAGCUUUUCUUGUACUUACAAAUGAUAAUUUGAGCUCUGGAUUUUCUUCUUUUAAAUUUGUGAUUCUGAGGCAGAUGCUUGGAGAAGAGAGAAGUCAAACCAUAUUCAAAGUCAUAGCAGUGCAGAGUAUGGUUUUGUUCCACCAAGUUCAGGUCAGUUGAGUGGAAUCUUAUUAAUACUUCAAGGAGGCAUGAUCAAAUUGGCUGAUUUUCCAAACUUGAUGACUGCCUCUAACCAUGAGCUAUUUUUUUGUAUCAACUUUGUGUUAAGAAAUUAUGAACGUAUUGGAUCUGCUCAUACCACCUCCCUUCAUGAUGAAUUUUAACAACUCAGUACUUGGAGGAUGGCUACUCAACUAAACCCUAUUUAUUGGAGCACAAUUUGAGCUUUUCUUCCUUACUCAGGUAGAGUGCUAUAAAAAUUCAGUCUAAAAAGUAUCUAUCACCCCCUAUGAAUUUGAAUGUCAGAUGCAGCUGAUUAGCAUGUGACCAUUUUGAUUUUCAGAUGGUGGCACUUUGAAUCUUUGGAACAGUUGUAGGAGGAAGCUUUGCCAAAGCCUCCCUAUGCAAUACAUGGGCCUUGGCUGCA
This 159080-nucleotide long non-coding RNA is filed under the name Vitis vinifera (wine grape). RNAcentral describes it as "long non-coding RNA (VVIN_LNC003898)". The record is from RNAcentral. Lineage: Eukaryota; Viridiplantae; Streptophyta; Magnoliopsida; Vitales; Vitaceae.